UGCUUUUGACAGAGUAGUGGAUGUAUCGGCACGUGUGCUGUUAUGCUUGUCUCCACAUGCUUCCUUGUAUCCUUCUCACUUGCCUUAUAUGUUCCUCAGGCAGAUGUGGUAUCUUCCCUAGAAGCAUAAGAUGUUGAAGAUGAGUACUCGAGAGCAAUGCCAGGUAAGUAAUCAAGUAAGGGGUUCCAGGCAGUCAGUUCCUGGCUGGAAGCUUGAUUCCAAGUGCUGACUGAUUGCUCUCUCUCUCCUUAUCUUGCAGGUAAGAACAAGGCCAAAGGAAAAGACAGGGAAAAAGCAUGAUAUGGGAUACUCUUGCUUUUAACCCUGAUGAUAUGAGAUAUUCUUGCUCUAGUAUAGCUUGUUUACAGAGGUAUUAUCGGGGGGAAAGAAAGCUGAAUAUUUCGAAAGGCUUCGUUGGGAGUGCCCUGUCAGAUAAGAGGAAGGGUUGAGCAUUUUUGCAGGUCUGCCUGUCCGUUGGGAUGGAGGUCGACAUAUAUAGGAGUCUCCCUAACAUCAAGUAAUAAUGCUAUUCCUUUACCCUACCCUGCUUGGUCAUAGCACGGUAGUGGGAGCUGCCAGCUUCACAUGUUUUAACUUUGUCAGAGCACUUUGAAAAAGUGGUCUGUGGUAUCUGGAAAGCUGAUGUUGCGUGUGAAGAUUACAGACAAGCUUUAUCCAAGGAGAUCCAGCUCUUGAAGUUGGGAAAGUGAUGCCUCUUCGGUUUUCGAACAAGCAAUCCUGUCGGGGAUCUGACUCUCGAGAUUCGAAGAACGAUGCCUCUUCGAUUUUUGAGAAAGCAAUCCUGCUGGGGUCUGGCUCUCGAGAUUCGGAGAGCGGUGUCUCUUCGAUUUUUGAGAAAGUAAUCAUGUUGGGAGUCUGGCUCUCGAGAUUCGGAGGGCGGUGCCUCUUCGAUUUUGGAGCAAGCAAUCUUGUUGGGAGUGUUUUCUCGAAUGUGAGUAAAGGUUGGGCAUGUUUGCUAGUCUACCUUGCCACGAAGCACAGAGGUUGACACACAGGGACUUUCCAGUUAUCCAGCAGUGGUACUGUUCCUUUACCCUCUCUUCGAUUUUUGAGAAAGUAAUCAUGUUGGGAGUCUGGCUCUCGAGAUUCGGAGGGCGGUGCCUCUUCGAUUUUGGAGCAAGCAAUCUUGUUGGGAGUGUUUUCUCGAAUGUGAGUAAAGGUUGGGCAUGUUUGCUAGUCUACCUUGCCACGAAGCACAAAGGUUGACACACAGGGACUUUCCAAUUAUCCAGCAGUGGUACUGUUCCUUUACCCUUGUGGGUAAUAAUAUGGUAGCUAGACCUUCAAAAUUUAUGUGUCUAAACUUUGUUAGUGUUGUUUCUUUGCUAUUAUUUUACCCUUCUUGGUCAGAGCGAUGUAGUGGGAGCUGCAAGCUUCACGUGUCUCAACUUUGUCAGAGAACUUUGGCAAAGUUAUCUGUGGUACCCAUGAGCUACUGUUGCCUGUGGGAAGUGGGUGAUUGAACAGUACGAUUCAUGUGCUUUCUACUUCUCCAGAAAUCUUCGACAGAAUGCCCAUAAUUUCCGCAAAGCUGAGUGUGCGUGUGACAGGUGCUGACAAGGCUGGAAAAGUAGGUGCCUCUUCGAUUUCUGAGAUCGGCCCUCGUGGUCUCUGAGCAGCCCAGCUUUUGAGAAAGCAAACGCCUCUUCGAUUUCUGAGCAGGCGCCUCUUCGAUUUCUGAAGCUUCGUCGAGUGCAGAUUUUUAUAAGGGGUGACAUUAAGUUCCAAAGCACACUUGAAUAUCCACCAGUAGAAGCUCCAUUCUUGCACUUCUAUGAUCUUGAUUUGUCCGACCUCUUCUUUCUUCAACACCUUUGAAAAUGUCUGGCCCCUCCGACCGUCGUUUUGACUUGAACCUUGUUGAAGAGGCAGCCCCGCCUUCUCCAGACAACAUAUGGCGCCCAUCCUUCGUCUCCCCUACUGGUCCUCUUACCGUCGGGGAUUCCGUGAUGAAGAAUGAUAUGACCGCUGCGGUAGUGGUCAGGAACCUUCUCACUCCCAAAGAUAACAGACUACUUUCCAAACGGUCUGAUGAGUUGGCCGUUAAGGAUUCUCUAGCUCUCAGUGUUCAGUGUGCAGGUUCUGUGUCUAAUAUGACCCAACGCCUAUUUGCUCGAACCCGCCAAGUUGAAUCAUUGGCGGCUGAAGUGAUGAGUCUCAAACAGGAGAUUAGAGGGCUCAAGCAUGAGAAUAAACAGUUGCACCGGCUCGCACAUGACUAUGCUACAAACAUGAAGAGGAAGCUUGACCAGAUGAAGGAAUCUGAUGGUCAAGUUUUACUUGAUCAUCAGAGAUUUGUGGGUUUGUUCCAAAGGCAUUUAUUGCCUUCGUCUUCUGGGGCUGUACCGCGUAAUGAAGCUCCAAAUGAUCAACCUCUGAUGCCUCCUUCUUCUAGGGUUCUGUCCAGUACUGAGGCUCCGAAUGAUCCCCCUCCGGUGCCUUCUCUUUCUGGGGCUCUACCGACUGCUGAGACUUCUCCUAAGCAACCUUUGUGAAGGCUCCCUCUUGUUUGUUUAUUUUGACUCAAGUAUAUGUACAUAUUUGUAACUGAUCGGGGAUAUCAAUAAAUAAGCUUUCCUUCAUUUCAACGUAUUGUGUUAAAUACACCAAAACCUUCUUCGCUAAGUUCUUUGAAUUUUCUUUUGUUGAAGCUUGUAGUUGAAGCUUUGUGAGUGGAGCAUGUAGGUUGAGGUAGUGUUCCCUUAAUUUCCCGAGUGAGGAAAACUUCUCGGUUGGAGACUUGGAAAAUCCAAGUCACUGAGUGGGAUCGGCUAUAUGAAUCUUAGAACACCAUUGUGUUCUGUCCUGUGUCAUGUCCUCCGUUAGAUCCAAGUACUCUAAGUCUUUUCUUAGGGUCUCUUCCAAAGUUUUCCUAGGUCUUCCUCUACCCCUUCGGCCCUGAACCUCUGUCCCAUAGUCGCAUCUUCUAAUCGGAGCGUCAGUAGGCCUUCUUUGCACAUGUCCUAAUCACCGUAACCGAUUUUCUCUCAUCUUUCCUUCAAUUUCGGCUACUUCUACUUUACCCCGGAUAUCCUCAUUCCUAAUCUUAUCCUUCCUCAAGUAUAUGUAAAAGGAACAAAAAAGAAGAGGCUGAAGAGUCUCCAUAAGACAAGAACUUUUAUGUCACAGAGUCAGGUAUUAAUCUUGUCGUCGGUAAGUUUCUCAAGUAUCUAUAUUCACAUUUGUUGGUCAAGUUUUCAGAAUUAUGUUCACAUAUAAUCUGAAUUCAUUGCCAAAUGUUGAGGAAUUGAUUGUUAUUGACUAUUGCGAUGAAUUGGUCUCAAACUACGUUUUCCAACCAACACAGUUUGAUCAGUUUUAAAAAAAAAACACUGUUUGAUUAGUCUCGUUCAAUACCAUUACGUGAUCAGCUUAAAUUUACUUUUCAUGUUCAAACUUUUAAUAGUUAAACUAAGAAAGAAUGGGCCAUAUUUUAUUUCUUUUAAAAGUUGUUCACAUAGAAGUGGACAUUGACAAAGUAGAUCAUGAAUAACAUUAUAACAUUGUAAUUUGGAUGAAAAUACACACAUCCAAUACUUUAAUUAGAUGCAUUAUACUUUAAAUGAAAAUAAAUAAAUUUAAUAUUCUUAGAGAAGGUCACAAUAGAAAUUUCACAACUAAGAACGGAUUAGAGCAUGCCAAUACUUAAAAAGCCGACUUGGCUUUGUAAUGGGAAGGGUACAAAGAAAUUUCACAGCUAAAAAUUAAUUAGAUCGUGACAAUGAGGUAGAUGAGGGGGUUCUUUUCUCCAAAUAAACUCUUAAAGUAUUUUUAUAUAAAACUUAUAGUUUUGAAACAAAUAAUUUUACAUUAGAAAAGAUAGCUUAUACUUUCACUAAAAAAGAGAUCUGAUUUUUAUUAAUUAACAUUGAAGUUUUUGCCUAUUCAAGAGAUGUGGGUCCCGUAUUUCAAUCAACACAUGUGAGUUUCAUCUCUAUUAAAAAGAUGAUACAAAUGAUGGUUACAAAUAAAUGGUAAGAACAAUAUUUUUAUUUACAAAAAAAUUAUUAUGCACUGCUAUCUAAUAAAGUAAACAAGGUCAAAAGGAGGACAAAGUGGGUUUCUUUUAGCGCUAAUAUUCUUUUAGAAACUAUAUAUUUGAUUGUAUGAACAAUAAAGUCAUUGUACAAUUUAAAUUUAAAACUCAUAAAGAAAAUUAUACAAGGCAUACAAAGUUUAUUAAUCAACAUUGAACCUUUUGUGCAUAUUCUAUGAAAACAUAAGGAAAUUAUACAAUGGUCUCCUCACAAGAAAUUCUCAACUCUUUCAUUUUUUGUGAACUUGUGAUACACGCUAAAGGGGAUGAACUCUUCAAUGAAAUUUUGACACGUAAAAAUGAGACCUAUUCGUAAGUUUAUUGAAAAUAAUAAAGCUCAUAUGAGUAGCCUAGAAUACAAUUUCCUUGUGUUUUCAUAGCAUAUGCACACAAAAUAUAAUGUUGCAAAAUAAGUUUUAUAUUUUAUGUAUAUAAUUAUAAGUAUAAUAUUUUCUCAUCUUCUAGUACAAGUUUUGUGCAUAUUCUACAAAACCAAAAACAAAUUAAAACUCAACAUCUUAGCAAUAUUUUCUCAAAAAAAUAAAAAAACAUUUCGUAGUAAACGAAUAUACUUUUCCCUCACACUAAAUUUCGUAAAUAUUUUAUGAAAAUGUAAGGAAAUUACACUAUGGUCUCCUUGACACGCCCCGAUCCCGAUAUUCCUCGAAUACCAGGAUAGGCACGUGUUGGCCGACACCCGAGGGUGACGAAAGCCAUUUAUUGAAUGCAAAUGCUGAGAAUAAGAAAUAGAUAAGACCUAGAAAUAUAAAAGAAUAAUGAUUAUGCAUUUAAGAAAUGUGUUCAGAGCAUACAACUAACUAGAACACUAAAAGAAAUAAUAUAAAAAUUGAGUUAACAAAGGAGUGGGUCCUACACCGAGAGGACUCGAAGAUGCCGAUGCAAAAGUGCUUGGACGUCGGGAUUGUAUGCACCGAUUUUAAGUCCUGAAGGGGGCGCAAAACAAAGGUGAGUGGACCAAGUUUAUAUAUACAUAAUAAUAAAACAAUUAUCAACGUACUAACCCCCAGGUUUAUAUAAAGAAAACUACUAGCAUAAUAAGUGAUAGGUUUACUGAAAACCCUAGCAUGCCAUAAAACAUCUCAACAGGUAUAAUACGGAAAAACAUAUCAUCGCAUGUAUCAUUUCGUAGAUCGUCUCGUAAGUGUGGUGUGCUGCUAGUAAGAUCAUUGAAAUAAAAAUAACUCCCGACCCUAUGCCAGCACCGUGGUCUCUGCGCCCGUAGCCAGAUAUUACCAACUCCCGGCCCAAUGCCUGCUCCGUGUCCCUCAGCCCGUAGCUAGGGAUUAUUUCUCCCGGCCCAUAUGCCAACACCAGAUCCUCGCCCUAGGCGACAUACUGUCCACUAGGUACGCACAAAUAGUUAUGCCUCUCAUAAAUAACCAUUUCAUAGUAUAAAGUCAUCCAUCGUCUAUACCAUAAAAAAGGGUUUUGAAGACACGUUCUAGUAUCCUAUCGUCAUCCAUCAGAUAGUCUACCAGUUCAUGGUUUUUAUAGAAAAUACGAUAUAUUAAAAUAUAGCUCAAUAUAGGCCAACAAUUAAUUCCUCACUAAAAACACGAGACGAAAAUCAACAUAUUCAAUAAACAUGCUUAACAUAAAAUCAAAUCAUAAACUCGUAAGGCAUGCUAUUCAUUUAUGAAAUUGAACUAUAAAAAUCAUGUAAUUUUAGAAGGGGUCCACUCACAGUACUUAGGCGCAAAAAACUGCGCUACUAGCGAAGACGGAAACGUCACAAUAAUUGUCCCUAAACAUUUAAAAAAACUCUACUCAAACAAUUUAAUUUAGGAAAACGGACUUCAGAAACGGGUCCAGGACGUCGAAAUUAACCUAAGAGAGGUCCCAGACAAAACCUUGAAAAGUCAACCCUAAAGUCAACGCUGACUGUUAACCGAUCAAAGUCAAAGCUGACCGUUGUCCGAGUCAACGGUCAGAGUAAAGGGUCAAAGGUCAACUAGGUCUGGGCUAAGGGUUUGGAUCAGGAUUAGGGUUUAGGUUUAGGUUAAAUAAGGUUAUGACCUUUUGUGUUUUGGUUUUGGGUAGGAAUAAAUGGGUGGUUUGGGCUUGAGCCUAAACCCAUACAACACACACAUACAAAUGCCAGCACACACACCUGCACGACAUAACACACACACACGGUACAACACACUCACAUACACACGCACUGACACACACACACACACACACCACCUACAUGGACACACACAAACACACACACCACACACAAACACAAUCCUCAGCCUAAGGCAAAGCACGGCCCAAUACACACACACACACACACUCACUCACAUGCACGGCCCAUGCAUGGCACGGCCCAUAGGCCAAUUAACCCACCAAAAGAAUAGAAACUGGGCUGGCUAAAACGGGCCUAGAGCCCGUGGGCUUGAGAAACGGCCUAAAAGGCCUGGUGUCACUGGAAUUAAUGGAGAAGAACGCCAGAGUAUUUUCUGGGAAUGAAGGACCGAGAAUCACAGAGGUGAAAUAGGGGUUAAAACCCUUGAAUUUCCAAUCAAAUUCAACAUGCAAGGAAUAGGAAUUAUACCUGAGGUUUAAUGGAAGUCAAUUCGAGUCCACAGAACUUCGAAUUUGUCGAGCUUAAACAUGAUUUGCGCUGGAGCCUCUCAUCGGGAAACUGGUAAAGGAAGAACAGGGAAUUACAGAGGUCGUUAUCAGUGAAUUCCAACUCAAAUUUCUUCCAUAAAAUUAGAAAACCCAACUAGGGAUCGAUUGGAAGAAAUCCUAAGCUGAAUCAAUGACUGGAACAUCAAGUUCCAUCUCUAGCUCGGCGGAACUCAUGGAGCUCUCCAUUCCGCUCCAUCCCGUAACCAGCUCGAACAUGCAGAGCAACACUUCAAAUAUACAAACCAACCAGAUGACGGAUUUGGUGGUUGAGGGUCAUGAUUUGAUUGGAAAGGAUGAAGGUUGUGGGUGAGGAUGCAUGGUGGUGUGCGUGGUUUAUAGAGGGAGAGGGAGUGAAACAGAAACAAAAAGAAGAAGAAGAAAGAGUCAUGGGGGGGGAACAAAGAGAAAGAGAGAGAGAUGAGGUUUGUUAGGGUGCUACCACGUGACAGUUUGAGGGAGUUUAGGAAUUUGGAUAAAAGGUCUAGAUUUAGUCAAGCUAGGGGACCAAAAUGAUAAAUUCAAUAAAACUUUGGGAAAAUAUAAAAUUACAUAUAAGUUCAGGGGUGGGGUUUAACACUCCUCUCAAGAAAUUCCAAGAAAUUCCUAGCUCCAUUAUUUUUCGUUAACUUAUAAUUCAUGGGAUCAAUUUAUGAAAGGAUGUAUGAUACACGUAAAUAAGAUCAAUUUAUAAGUGCAUUGAACAUGACAUAUUAUGUUAAUAGAGAAACAUAUAAUUUUCUUAUGUUUUCAUGCCAUGUGCACAAAAAGUUUUAUUGGUGUUGAAAAUUUUGUAUGUAUAUAAGCAUAUUUUCUCAUCUUAUAGUAUGCUAAAAGGAAACCAGAUAGUAGCAUCUUCCUAAUAAAUUCUCUAACUAACUUACACCAGGCCUAUGAAUUCACUCGCAACAAAAUUUGAACUGAGAAAAAAAUUCAUCUUACACUAUUCUCCAAUGAAAUAAGAAAGGUCAAAAUGAGGGCAAAGUGACUUUCUUUUAGCAAUAGUAACCGUUUUUUUUUAACAAACAAUAUAAUCCACACUAAGGAGCUGAGGGAGGUGGGUUAAGCCUCACAAUGACUAACAAUAAUGUGGUUCAAAUUCUCCUUUGGUGAGAAUUGAACCUAAGAACUCUCACUUACAAGUGAAGAGGAAUACCACUAGACCUUACUAUUAAGUUGCCUAAUAAUAGUUCUUUUAAAAACUAUAUAUUUGAUUACAUGAACAAUAAAGUCAUUGUAUAAUUUAUAUUUAAAACUCAUAAAGAAAGUUAUUUAGGAAAUAAAAUUAUAUUUACAAAGACAUACAAAUUUUAUUAAUCAAUAUUGAAACAAUUGUGCAUAUUUUAUGAAAGCAUAUUGAUGAGAUUAUAAUAUAGUCUCCCACAUGAAAUUCUCAGAUCUAUUAAUUUUCGUGAACUUGUGAUACACGGUAAAUGUGUGAAUUCUUCAAUGAACUUCUGAUACAUGUAAAUCAAAUCCAUUCUUAAGUUUAAACUAGAAAUGACGAAGCAACCAAGAAGAACGAAGUAGACCCAGGAGGAGCCAAUAACGCACCAACACAAAACUAAAAUACUCAUUAGGAGAGACUCACAAAUAACGUCAAGAAAAUAGUAAGGCUAGGAGAAUGGAGAUGGGCACCCAUUGGCCACAAGCUGAAGAAAGGGGUCGGGAGCUGUGAAUUUUAUAAAUAUAUGAUUUUGGUAGAGGAAAGGAGAGAGCCGCUAGCAGUAGUUUCUUAUAUAUUAGCAUUCCAAGAAUCCAUCCUGUUGACUUUUAUUAAUGUACUUCUGGUACAAUUUUAAUAAGAGUAUUAUCGGAAAGUGUAAAUAUGUAUUUUACACUAAUAAGAAAGAUGUAAAUUUGGGAGCUCAUUUAUUUAUGGUCUCUUUUAACCAGUGAAAAUGGAUAUACAUAUUUUAUUAGUCCACCUCUUAAAAAUGCAAAUAUACAUUUUAUUCACAUGUUUACACUAAUCCUUUGAGAGCUUUCCAACCAAAAAAAUUUAAAUUGUACAUUUGUAGACAUUUUGCAUCUUGUAUUAGGAGAUAAAAUUUUCAAUGUGCUUGGUACGAGAUAGUACACCACAUGCUAUUAUAUAAUUGGAAUAAAAAAUUAAUUUUUCAAGUGUUAUUCUAUUUGUAUAACGAUAUGUGUUAUAUUACUUUGUGUUUCGUGCACUGAAAAAUAUCUCUUAUCAGAUAUGCUAGUGGAGUACCAAUUUGGGGUUGUUGAAAUUAAUAUUUUUUUUUUUGUCAAAGGGUUGUUGAAAUUAUUUAAAAGAAUAAAUUAUAGUAAUGGUAUCUCAAUUUUAAUGAAAUUAGAGCAAUAAUUCUUCAACUAAAAACCUAUUAUCAUUCGUCAUUCAACUCAUCAAAAUGUGUAGUUAUGAUCAUUUUCGUCAACUUUGUCAAAAUUUUGUCAGAAUGAAUUAUGUUAGAAGGACCAUUGCUACAAUUAGAUUAAAGUUGAGGGAUCGUUCUCCAAUUGGGUUAAAAUUAAGGGACCAUUCUUCAGUUAAAUUAGAGUUGAGGGACCAUUGGUAAUAGAUUUUUAGUUGAGGGACUAUAACGGCUCGUUUUACGAGUUAAGAGACCAAUGCUAAUAGAUUUUUUGUUAGAGAUCAUUAUUUCAAUUAAGUUAAAGUUAAUUGACUAUUACUACAAUUUACUAUAUUUAAAAAGCAACUUAUUAAAAAAUCUGAUGAAUGGUGAACAGUAAAGUUUAAUGAAAAUUUUAUGAGGAUAGUGUUACCCUGGGUUUUUAAUUAAAAUUACAGCCAGUAUCUUCGCUUCUCCUUUCCCCUUUCUCCAUGUCGUCCUUCAAAUCGAAGGUUGGCGACCUUCAAUUACCUGGAGAAAUCAACAAUAAGCCAUAAUUCCUUCAAUUAGAGGAUGCUCUGCCUGUCUUCUGCUGACUUUUCUUUAAAUUUUGAGCUUAUAGUGCUCACAUGGGAACAUAGAGAGAGAGAGAGAGAGAGAGAGAGAGAGAGAGAGAGAGAGAGAGAGAGAGAUUGAAGUUUUUAUGGAAGGAAAGAAAUUUGAGCUUUGUGUAGGAUAGAGCAGGCGAGUGAGAUUGCAUGCGACGAAUCCGUUAGGUUUCUGACUUCAAAUGGCGCCGUUGUGGUCUGAUCCGUCCGAGUUAUGGAGAUCGGACAUUGGAGCUCCUAACUAGCGAUAAUUUGGAGCUGCAGAUCCGAUGAGAAAUUCAAAAUAUUUGGAAUGGCUAUGGGGAAACGGGAUGACACAGAGAGAUUGGGUGAUUAGGAUUGUGCCGUGGGCUGGGAGGUCGCGGCGGCGGCGGAAGGAACCCAGACCUAUGGGUAAAACAGUAAAAUUAUUAGAAAUAUUUUGAAAUUUAUGGGCUGGUAUUUGUUCAAUUAAUCUACGGGCUGCUAUGUGUUUAAUUAAUCUAUGGGCUGGUAUGUGUUUAAUUAAUAUAUGGGCGGGUGUUUGUUUAAUUAAUCCAUGGGCUGGUGUUUCAAUAUGACUUGGAUUUAACGUGAAAUUAUUAGAAAAUUUCUAUUAAACCAUUUGAUGGUUAUUACUUGCACGUAAGUGAAGACGCAGAAGAUAAACAUUGAAGAAGAUAAACAUCGAAGGAAAAAUGGAGAAGAUAAGAUUAUUAAAGAAAAAGGUUAGAUAAAUUAUCAUCCAACCUUAUGAUAUUUUUAGUCAUCUCUAUAUGGGCUUGUUUGACGGCCUGAAAGAUAUUGGACCUUAGAGAGAAAAUUAGAUUAAUAGCGAUUUGAAAGGUAAAACUUGUAACCUAUGUAUAAAGAUAAAUUAGAUAACACAUUUUAUUAUGAAUUCAUAACUCAUCAUUACAACAACAACAACAACAACAACAACAACAACAAAGCCUUUUCCCACUAAGUGGGGUCGGCUUUCAUAUAUGAAUCCUAGAACGCCAUUGCGCUCGGUUUUGUGUCAUGUUCUCCGUUAGAUCCAAGUACUCUAAGUCUUUUCUUAGAGUCUCUUCCAAAGUUUUCCUAGGUCUUCCUCUACCCCUUCGGCCCUGAACCUCUGUCCAGUAGUGACAUCUUCGAACCGGAGCGUCAGUAGGCCUUCUUUGCACAUGUCCAAAUCACCGGAACCGAUUUUCUCUCAUCUUUCCUUCAAUUUCGGCUACUCCUACUUUACCUCGGAUAUCCUCAUUCCUAAUCUUAUCCUUUCUCGUGUGCCCACACAUCCCACGAAGCAUCCUCAUCUCCGCCACACCCAUUUUGUGUACGUGUUGAUGCUUCACCGCCCAAACAUUCUGUGCCAUACAACAUCGCUGGCCUUAUUGCCGUCCUAUAAAAUUUUCCCUUGAGCUUCAGUGGCCUACGACGGUCACACAACACGCCGGAUGCACUCUUACACUUUCAUCCAUCCAGCUUGUAUUCUAUGGUUGAGAUCUCCAUCUAAUUCUCCGUUCUCUUGCAAGAUAGAUCCUAGGUAGCGAAAACGGUCGCUUUUUUGUGAUCUUCGCUAGAUUGCUCCGGUCAUUAGUGUGGAUAAGUAUAUAAAUGGAUAGAGAUAGGAAAGCAAACACAAGAUGUACGUGGUUCACCCAGAUUGGCUACGUCCACGGAAUAGAGGAGUUCUCAUUAAUUGUGAAGGGUUUACACAAGUACAUAGGUUCAAGCUCUCCUUUAGUGAGUACAAGUGAAUGAUUUAGUACAAAUGACAUUAGGAAAUAUUGUGGGAGAAUGAUCUCGUAAUCACGAAACUUCUAAGUAUCGGAGUGUGGUAUCGUCUUGACUUGCCUUAUCUGUCUCAUAGGUAGAUGUGGCAUCUUCUCUGGAAGUACUCUUCCUCCAUCCAGGGGUGGUAUCUUUAACUGGUGGAGAUGCACAAGGUAAUGUAUCAAUUUCACUUGAAGCUUACUUGUAGUUUCAGGCUUGGUCAAGCGCGAUACAAACCAUGUAGUAGGAGUCCCCCAAGUCGCCGAGCUAGGGGAUCUGCUGAAAGAGGUGACAGACAAGGUAAGCAAUCAGAGCUCCGGCUGAUUGUUCACAUUCUCCCUAUCUUGCAGGCAGCAUGAAGGAUAAAGAGAAGAAAAAUGAGAAGAGAUGAUAUGGGAUACUUUUGCUUUUGAAGAAGUAACUUUCCACAGGCUUAUUCUUGAACUGAGCUGGAGGGUUUUCUGGUUUCCUCCAGAGUAUAAGGCCGACUGAAGAAUUUGAGGGUCAAAACAAGUCCAUCAAAUCUAGAGUACGUUCGACCCUGCUGAUAUGGGAUACUUUUGCUUUUGACAGAGUAAUGGAUGUAUCGGCACGUGUGCUGUUACGCUUGUCUCCACAUGCUUCCUUGUAUCCUUCUCACUUGCCCUAUCUGUUCCUCAGGCAGAUGCGGUAUCUUCCCUGGAAGCAUAAGAUGUUGAAGAUGAGUACUCGAGAGCAAUGCCAGGUAAGUAAUCAGGUAAGGGGUUCCAGGCAGUCAGUUCCUGGCUGGAAGCUUGAUUCCAAGUGCUGACUGAAUUGCUCUCUUUCUCCUUGUCUUGCAGGUAAGAACAAGGCCAAAGGAAAAGACAGGGAAAAAGCAUGAUAUGGGAUACUCUUGCUUUUAACCCUGAUGAUAUGAGAUAUUCUUGCUCUAGUAUAGCUUGUUUGCAGAGGUAUUAUCGGGGGGAAAGAAAGCUGAAUAUUUCGAAAGGCUUCGUUGGGAGUGCCCUCUCAGAUAUGAGGAAGGGUUGAGCAUUUUUGCAGGUCUGCCUGUCCGUUGGGGAUGGAGGUCGACAUAUAUAGGAGUCUCCCUAACAACAAGUAGUAAUGCUAUUCCUUUACCCUGCUUGGUCAUAGCACGGUAGUGGGAGCUGCCAGCUUCACAUGUUUUAACUCUGUCAGAGCACUUUGAAAAAGUGGUUUGUGGUAUCUGGAAAGCUGAUGUUGCGUGUGAAGAUUACAUACAAGCUUUAUCCAAGGAGAUCCGGCUCUUGAAGUUGGGAAAAGUGUUGCCUCUUCGGUUUUCGAACAAGCAAUCCUAUCGGGAUCUGGCUCUCGAGAUUCGGAGAACGAUGCCUCUUCGAUUUUUGAGAAAGCAAUCAUGCUGGGGGUCUGGCUCUCGAGAUUCGGAGAGCAGUGUCUCUUCGAUUUUUGAGAAAGUAAUCAUGUUGGGAGUCUGGCUCUCGAGAUUCGGAGGGCGGUGCCUCUUCGAUUUUGGAGCAAGCAAUCUUGUUGGGAGUGUUUUCUCGAAUGUGAGUAAAGGUUGGGCAUGUUUGCUAGUCUACCUUGCCACGAAGCACAGAGGUUGACACACAGGGACUUUCCAAUUAUCCAGCAAUGGUACUGUUCCUUUACCCUCUCUUCGAUUUUUGAGAAAGUAGUCAUGUUGGGAGUCUGGCUCUCGAGAUUCGGAGGACGGUGCCUCUUCGAUUUUGGAGCAAGCAAUCUUGUUGGGAGUGUUUUCUCGAAUGUGAGUAAAGGUUGGGCAUGUUUGCUAGUCUACCUUGCCACGAAGCACAGAGGUUGACACACAGGGACUUUCCAAUUAUCCAGCAGUGGUACUGUUCCUUUACCCUUGUGGGUAAUAAUAUGGUAGCUAGACCUUCAAAAUUUAUGUGUCUAAACUUUGUUAGUGUUGUUUCUUUGCUAUUCUUUUACCCUUCUUGGUCAGAGCGAUGUAGUGGGAGCUGCAAGCUUCACGUGUCUCAACUUUGGCAGAGAACUUUGGCAAAGUUAUCUGUGGUACCCAUGAGCUACUGUUGCGUGUGGGAAGUGGGUGAUUGAACAGUAAGAUUCAUGUGCUUUCUACUUCACCAGAAGUCUUCGACAGAAUGCCCAUAAUUUCCGCAAAGCUGAGUGUGCGUGUGACAGGUGCUGACAAGGCUGGAAAAGUAGGUGCCUCUUCGAUUUCUGAGAUCGGCCCUCGUGGUCUCUGAGCAGCCCAGCUUUUGAGAAAGCAAGCGCCUCUUCGAUUUCUGAGAUCGGCCUUCGUGGUCUUUGAGCAGCCCAGCUUUUGAGAAAGCAAACGCCUCUUCGAUUUCUGAGAUCGACCCUCGUGGUCUCUGAGCAGCCCAGCUUUUGAGAAAGCAAACGCCUCUUCGAUUUCUGAGCAGGCGCCUCUUCGAUUUCUGAAGCUCCGUCGAGUGCAGAUUUUUUAUAGGGGCUGGCAUUAAGUUCCAAAGCACACUUGAAUCUCCACCAGUAGAAGCUCCAUUCUUGCACUUCUAAGAUCUUGAUUUGUCCGACCUCUUCUCUCUUCAACACCUUUGAAAAUGUCUGGCCCCUCCGACCGUCGUUUUGACUUGAACCUUGUUGAAGAGGCAGCCCCGCCUUCUCCAGACAACAUAUGGCGCCCAUCCUUCGUCUCCCCUACUGGUCCUCUACCGUUGGGGAUUCCGUGAUGAAGAAUGAUAUGACCGCUGCGGUGGUGGCCAGGAACCUUCUCACUCCCAAAGAUAACAGACUACUUUCCAAACGGUCUGAUGAGUUAGCUGUUAAGGAUUCUCUGGCUCUCAGUGUUCAGUGUGCAGGUUCUGUGUCUAAUAUGGCCCAACGCCUAUUUGCUCGAACCCGCCAAGUUGAAUCAUUGGCGGCUGAAGUGAUGAGUCUCAAACAGGAGAUUAGAGGGCUCAAGCAUGAGAAUAAACAGUUGCACCGGCUCGCACAUGACUAUGCUACAAACAUGAAGAGGAAGCUUGACCAGAUGAAGGAAUCUGAUGGUCAGGUUUUACUUGAUCAUCAGAGAUUUGUGGGUUUGUUCCAAAGGCAUUUAUUGCCUUCGUCUUCUGGGGCUGUACCGCGUAAUGAAGCUCCAAAUGAUCAACCUCUGAUGCCUCCUCCUUCUAGGGUUCUGUCCAGUACUGAGGCUCCGAAUGAUCCCCCUCCGGUGCCUUCUCUUUCUGGGGCUCUACCGACUGCUGAGACUUCUCCUAAGCAACCUUUGUGAAGGCUCCCUCUUGUUUGUUUAUUUUGACUCAUGUAUAUGUACAUAUUUGUAGCUUAUCGGGGAUAUCAAUAAAUAAGCUUUCCUUCAUUUCAACGUAUUGUGUUAAAUACACCAAAGCCUUCUUCGCUAAGUUCUUUGAAUUUUCUUUUGUUGAAGCUUGUAUGUUGAAGUGAGUGGAGCAUGUAGGUUGAGGUAGUGUUCCCUUAAUUUCCCGAGUGAGGAAAACUUCUCGGUUGGAGACUUGGAAAAUCCAAGUCACUGAGUGGGAUCGGCUAUAUGAAUCUUAGAACGCCAUUGUGCUCGGUCCUGUGUCAUGUCCUUCGUUAGAUCCAAGUACUCUAAGUCUUUUCUUAGAGUCUCUUCCAAAGUUUUCCUAGGUCUUCCUCUACCCCUUCGGCCCUGAACCUCUGUCCCAUAGUCGCAUCUUCUAAUCGGAGCGUCAGUAGGCCUUCUUUGCACAUGUCCAAACCACCGUAACCGAUUUUCUCUCAUCUUUCCUUCAAUUUCGGCUACUCCUACUUUACCCCGGAUAUCCUCAUUCCUAAUCUUAUCCUUUCUCGUGUGCCCACACAUCCAACGAAGCAUCCUCAUCUCCGCUACACCCAUUUUGUGUACGUGUUGAUGCUUCACCGCCCAACAUUCUGUGCCAUACAGCAUCGCCGGCCUUAUUGCCGUCCUAUAAAAUUUUCCCUUGAGCUUCAGUGGCAUACGGCGGUCACACAACACGCCGGAUGCACUCUUCCACUUCAUCCAUCCAGCUUGUAUUCUAUGGUUGAGAUCUCCAUCUAAUUCUCCGUUCUUUUGCAAGAUAGAUCCUAGGUAACGAAAACGGUCGCUCUUUGGUAUUUCUUGAUCUCCGAUCCUCACCCCUAACUCGUUUUGGCCUCCAUUUGCACUGAACUUGCACUCCAUAUAUUCUGUCUUUGAUCGGCUUAGGCGAAGACCUUUAGAUUCCAACACUUCUCUCCAAAGGUUAAGCUUUGCAUUUACCCCUUCCUGAGUUUCAUCUAUCAACACUAUAUCGUCUGCGAAAAGCAUACACCAAGGAAUAUCAUCUUGAAUAUGUCCUGUUAACUCAUCCAUUACCAACGCAAAAAGGUAAGGACUUAAGGAUGAGCCUUGAUGUAAUCCUACAGUUAUGGGAAAGCUUUCGGUUUGUCCUUCAUGAGUUCUUACGGCAGUCUUUGCUCCUUCAUACAUAUCCUUUAUAGCUUGGAUAUAUGCUACUCGUACUCCUUUCUUCUCUAAAAUCCUCCAAAGAAUGUCUCUUGGGACCCUAUCAUACGCUUUUUCCAAAUCUAUAAAGACCAUGUGUAAAUCCUUUUUCCCAUCUCUAUAUCUUUCCAUCAAUCUUCGUAAGAGAUAGAUUGCCUCCAUGGUUGAGCGCCCUGGCAUGAACCCGAAUUGGUUGUCCGAAACCCGUGUCUCUUGCCUCAAUCUAUGCUCAAUGACUCUCUCCCAGAGCUUCAUUGUAUGACUCAUUAGCUUAAUACCCCUAUAGUUCAUGCAAUUUUGUACGUCGCCCUUAUUCUUGUAGAUAGGCACCAAAGUGCUCGUUCGCCACUCAUUUGGCAUCUUCUUCGUUUUCAAAAUCCUAUUGAAAAGGUCAGUGAGCCAUGUUAUACCUGUCUCUCCCAAAACUUUCCACACUUCGAUUGGUAUAUCGUCUGGGCCUAUUGCUUUUCUAUGCUUCAUCUUCUUCAAAGCUACAAACCACUUCUUCCUUCCGGAUUCGACGAUAAAAAGAGUAGUUUCUACACUCUUCUGAGUUACUCAACUCCCCUAAAGAAGCACUCAUUUCAUGUCCUUCAUUGAAAAGAUUAUGAAAAUAACCUCUCCAUCUGUCUUUAACCGCGUUCUCUGUAGCAAGAACCUUUCCAUCCUCAUCCUUGAUGCACCUCACUUGGUUUAGGUCCCUUGUCUUCUUUUCCCUUGCUCUAGCUAGUUUAUAGAUAUCCAACUCUCCUUCUUUGGUAUCUAGUCGUUUAUACAUAUCGUCGUAAGCCGCUAACUUAGCUUCUCUCACAGCUUUCUUCGCCUCUUGCUUCGCUUUUCUAUACCUUUCACCAUUUUCAUCGGUCCUAUCCUUGUAUAAGGCUUUACAACAUUCCUUCUUAGCCUUCACCUUUGUUUGUACCUCCUCAUUCCACCACCAAGAUUCCUUUUGGUGUGGGGCAAAGCCCUUGGACUCUCCUAAUACCUCUUUUGCUACUUUUCGGAUACAACUAGCCAUGGAAUCCCACAUUUGGCUAGCUUCCCCCUCUCUAUCCCACACACACUGGGUGAUUACUUUCUCUUUGAAAAUGGCUUGUUUUUCUUCUUUUAGAUUCCACCAUCUAGUCCUUGGACACUUCCAAGUCUUGUUCUUUUGUCUCACUCUUUUGAUAUGUACAUCCAUCACCAACAAGCGAUGUUGAUUAGCCACGCUCUCUCUUGGUAUAACUUUGCAAUCCUUACAAGUUAUACGAUCCCCUUUCCUCAUUAGAAGAAAAUCUAUUUGUGUUUUUGACGACCCACUCUUGUAGGUGAUCACAUGUUCUUCUCUCUUCUUAAAGAAGGUGUUGGCUAAGAAGAGAUCAUAUGCCAUUGCAAAAUCCAAGAUAUCAUAUGUUCUUUCUCCUUAUUCUUGGACAAAAUUGCACCUAUAAAACAAAUAACAACUUAGAUCAAGGCCAAGAGUCUCACGCGCCCACGAUGAAUUUGGAGGGGGGGCUUUGGUCGAAAAACCUCCGAUGCCAAAGUUAGAAUUUUGAGGGAAAAGUGUUUUGAGAAUUUUGAGUGUUUAGCAAGAGUGAAGACUAAGGUUUUUAAAGAAAAUAAGGUAGAAUAUAUAAGGCAUGGCCGGCCCCCUUGGGAGAGAAGAUGACCAGCUUCUUGUGUGUAUUUUUGGGUUUAAUUGGUAGUUUAAUUAGACAUUAAUAGAUUAAUUAGGUAAUAAAUUCACUAAUUAGCUAAUUAACAUAAUUUAAAAGGAAUGUUUUGGGGGUUACCUUGUGGAGAAGAUAUGAUGAGGGACGGAUGAAAUAUGUUAUAAAUAAAUACCUAUUUGGGCACUUUUAACUUGAUUGAGGGAUGAUUGUCCACUGCUCACGUGUAUAAAUUCCGGUGUGCCUCAAAGAUAAUUUUGUCCUUUUAACCCAAAAAUCCACGUGUCGCCUCUUGACUAUUUUUUGCUCCACAAUCAUGUCCUGUCCACUUUACUUUUAACACAACGAACAACGAAUUAGAUUAAAGUCUAUUUUAACUAGUACAUGCUUACAUAUAUUGUGUGAACAAUUUCAUUUUAUUUUGUUUUGUAUUAUAAAGUGUUGAUUAUUUUAAAAUUUCUUGAAAAAGCUUACAUGAGGUGCUCGGAUCAGAGUCGAUCGUUUUCGAGUCGUAACCCUUUUCGGAGCAGUGGGGAAGAUGGUGGCUUGGUAGUUGUGUUGGGUGAUCUCUGCCUCUUAUGAAGCUUUUUCUAUUUUUCUAUUUUUCUAAUUUUUAUUGUUAAUUUUCUUUUUAUUUGUUUGUUAUUAAAUUUUGUGGGAUCCACAUAUGUGUCACGUUAACAUUCUAACAGAAGUUUUGACGAAAAUAUAAUGGCAAAUUGAUUUGUAACAUCCAAUUCAAAGGCUACACUGAUCGAUUUCAAUUUCAAAGGUCACCUUAAUUAGUGCGUCGAUUUCCGACUAUUUGCGUUAAAGACACAUUUUAGAAAAAUCUACUACACAAAGCAGUGGGGAAGAUGGUGGCUUGGUAGUUGUGUUGGGUGAUCUCUGCCUCUUAUGAAGCUUUUUCUAUUUUUCUAUUUUUUAUUGUUAAUUUUCUUUUUAUUUGUUUGUUAUUAAAUUUUGUGGAAUCCAGAUGUGUGUCACGUUAACAUUCUAACAGAAGUUUUAACAAAAAUAUAAUGGCAAAUUGAUUUGUAACAUCCAAUUCAAAUGCUACACUGAUCGAUUUCAAUUUCAAAGGUUACCUUAAUUAGUACAUCAAUUUCCGACUAUUUGCGUUGAAGACACAUUAUAGAAAAAUCUACUACACAACGUGUGGGGGGUGUUGAUUUGAACGCCCGGUGAAGCACGGGAAGACCAAAACAUGUAGCCAGAAAAUUCGGUGUCUCGCCUUCCCAACUCGCUCGACCUAUAUAUGUGUGCUGAAACACAGAGUCGAAAACAAACAACGCACGACAUUCUCCGUUUCUCAUCAAACUAGAUUAUUUUACGUUCUCUCUGCAAAGCGUUGGAAUUUCUGUUCUUCUUUCAUCACCCAAGAACAGAUUACGUAAUUGAAUUAAGUUUUGAGUCUCAUUGUUUCCGUAAAUUAUGUCUCUGGUUUCGGUCGGAAUGGGUGCUCUGAGAACGUCAUUUCAAAUGCUGUUUGAUGCUGUAAAAUCAGCGCAGGAGGAGAAUACAAUGUUCCAACACCUACUCGGAAACAUCAAAUCCACACUGGAAUCUCUACAACCACUUAUCAAAGACAUCGAAAAGUAUAACUCCAAGGAGGGGCGGGAAAAUUAUGCAAUACAGAUGGAGGAAGGAGCAAAGCUUGUUCAAAAGUGCAGCAAAGUUGGCGUGUGGAGAAAACACACAUACACCAAGAAGCUUAAUCAACUGGACAAAUCUCUUCGAAGAGUGUUUGAUGUGCUUAAACUGCAGGUUAUGAGGGAUGCGAGGGAGACGUUGGUUCCUUUGAGGAAUAUCGAGACGGUGCUCUCUCGAAUAGAAGAGAGAUUGAAGAUAAAAAAUAACCAGCCUGAAAUGGUUAAAUGUUCGUCUGCGGUGCCUGAAGCGCCAUCGGUUACAGUCGGGUUGGAUUUGCCGUUGAAGGAGUUGAAGGUGAAGCUCCUUAAGGAUGAAAAGGUGUCUAUGCUUGUGCUGACCGCUGCUGGAGGAUGCGGGAAAACCACCUUGGCUAAAAUGUUUUGUCAAGAUCAAGAAGUCAAAGGUAUACUAUUUAUGAUUUCAACCAUACACAGUAACCAAAAUUUGUUAAAAGAAAAACAACGAAGGGGACAUGAAACUAAAGCGCACGAAAGGAAUAUAAGAAAGAUUAGAAAGACCUAUAUUCUCUGUACUAAAGUUAAGCUGAUGCCUUCCUUUUAUUAACACCUUUCCUACAUUCUGUUUGAAUAGAUACAUUCAAGAACAACAUCUUCUUUGUCAAUGUCUCGAAAAAACCCAACUUGGACCUUAUUGUACACGAACUAUAUCAACGGAAGGGGUCCGAGCUGCCUGCUUUCGAAAACGAAGACAUGGCAGCUAACUGGUUGCAACAAUUUCUGAUGGAAUCAAGACAAAAUCCUCUACUGUUUGUCCUGGAUGAUGUUUGGUCAGGAUCAGAGUCCCUUCUUGAGAAGUUUGAUCAAUUCAAGUUUUCAAAUUACAAGAUUUUGGUCACAUCAAGAUUUGCAUUUCCAAGAUUCGGUUCUCCUUAUCAUUUGGCACCAUUGAAUGAUGAAGAUGCAAUGGCUCUUUUUCACUAUUCUGCAUCCUUGGAAGAUAAGAGCUCUUAUACUUACGAAGAUCUUUCGAGAAAGGUGAUUUCUUAGUCCACAAUACACACACACACACACACACAUAUAUAUAUAUGCUUAUUUAUGCCUCAGAAGAAGGUAAAGAAAUAACAUUUGAGCAUCCACACACGUUAAUGAACUGUGAAGAAUGAGGUAAGAAGAAUGAAUGACUAGACAGUUUACAAUUUUAUCAUCUUUAUGAAACCAUUUAGAUGAUUUUCAACAAUUUAAUCAAAUAAUAAUAAUUGAGUUCAUUUUGGAUAAUGAUAUUGCAGAUUAUCAAGCGCUGUAAGGGAUGCCCACUUGCCAUUGCAUUGGUUGGGAGAUCACUUCGCGGCCAGCCUAUAGAAAUCUGGCAGAAAAGAGUAGUGGAAUGGUGCAAAGGUUCAUCUAUUCUUGAUUCUGACAAGGAUUUACUUGCUUGCCUCCAAAGCAGCUUAGAUGCCUUGGAUAAGGAGAAGGUUAUCAUCAAGGAAUGUUUCCUCGAUCUAGGUUCUUUUCCGGAGGACCAAAGAAUUGCUGCUGCCGCUCUCAUUGAUAUGUGGGCGCAGUUAUAUGGUCUAGAUGAAGAAAUUCUGACCAUUGCCAACCUUCACGAGCUCACCGCUCGAAGUUUAGCUAAUCUUGUUGUCACAAGGUAUGCAGGCUGCUCAUAAGUUUUUCUAUUUAAUUAUGUAUGCCGAACAAAUCAUUAAAGAAAAUAGUAUUGAUCAUCCAGACAUGAGAGGGAGACAGAUGGCUAUUACACUGAACACUUUGUCACCCAGCACGACAUGCUUAGAGAGUUGGCGAUCCAUCAGGCGAGUCAAGACCCAAUAGAACAUAGGAAACGACUAUUUAUAAACAUAUGUGGGGUCAAACUUCCUAAGUGGUUGACAGAACAAAAGUAUAAAGCGAUCAAGGCUCGACUAUUAUCUAUCUCAACAGGUUCCAUCAAUCUCUCCUUAGUUAAUACUUAAUACAUGUGCACUCGGGACACACGUGUGCACACACACACACACACAUUUAGGACUUCCACACAUUUAGGCUAAUAUCUUGAAGCUUAUUGUUUGCAGAUGGAGCCUUCUCAGCAAAAUGGCCAAACAUGCAAGUACCCGAAGCAGAGGUUCUAGUUCUGAAUUUUCAAACAAAGAACUAUGCCUUACCUGAGUUUGUGGAGAAAAUGGAUAAACUAAAAGUUCUAAUACUAAAUAAUUAUGGUUUGUUACCUGCUGAACUAGAUAAUUUUGAACUACUUGGUUCGCUAUCAAAUCUUAAGAGAAUUAGAUUAGAACAUAUUUCAGUUCCUUCCAUAAGCAAGGUCCUCAAACAGUUGAAAAGUUUGCAAAAGAUAUCUUUUUUCAUGUGUGAUAUCGGCCAAGGUUUCGUCCAAAUUUUAGAUGCACUGCCAAAUCUAGUGGAAUUAAACAUUGAUUAUUGCCAUGAUCUGGUGCAACUUCCUGCCAACCUAUGUGACCUUGUUCACCUUAAGAAGCUUAGCAUCACCAACUGUCAUAAGCUAUCUGCCUUGCCUGCAGACAUUGGAAAGCUAGUCAAUCUAGAAGUGUUGAGGCUUAGGUCAUGUGCAGACUUGUUAGAGUUGCCAGGCUCGAUUAGGAACCUUGAAGUUUUGAAAUUUCUCGACAUAUCCGAUUGCUUUAGCAUAAAGGAGUUGCCCGAGGACAUUGGUGCAAUGUGCAGCAUGGAAAAGAUCAACGUGAGCCAGUGUUCAAGACUGAGAGAGCUGCCUGCUUCUGUUAUGGAUCUUGAGCAGUUGAACGAAGUGAUAUGCGACGAGGAGACGAAAACCUUAUGGGAACCCUUCUCGCCAUUUCUCACAAACAUGAGCGUAAAGGUGAUCAAAGAAGAUAUCAACCUAAAUUGGCUCAACAAGCUUCCAUCCUAAGGCUAUGGUCCUUCCAUCAAUGAGUGUUGGUGCAAUGUAUGCAGUAUGAUUGUGUUUAAUGUUAUUUUUCCUUUGUAAUUUACUUCUAUUUUAUGUUUUAUGUGUUUUUAAAUAACAUGGCAGCACUGUAAAUUAUUGUAAUUAUUCACCAUGGCUGUUAUUGUAAAUAACAUGUUUGCACUCCUCAUUGUUCAAUUCUUCAUUGAUUCUCUUUGAUUUAUCCAAUCAAUGGGUGUUUGUGCAAUGUAUGCAGGGAUAAAGGCAAGGAAAGAAAAUAAGGAAAAUUAAUUAAAAGGACUUGAAAACUUUGAGUUUUAACGAAAAUGACAAAAUAAAUGGGAAAAUGAAUAGUACCAUGAUUGACUUUUUAGUGUAAAAAUAUGGUUUUUUGUUAAAAUGAACAGUAUCGGAAGUUUUUUGUUAAAAUUCCCAAGAAAAUAAGAGUUAAAAAAUAACUGGCCUUUGAUUUAUUCAAUCAAUGUAUUAACUCUAUUGGUUGUUUCUCCGCUCUCUCUCUCUUGUUGAACCUCUUCAUCCCCUUUCAGUUAAAUAGGUCAUAACAUUACUGUUUUAUUUUAAGGGUAAUGCUAAGGAUAUUAAAUUUGUAGACAAAAUUUUGCAAAUUAAGUGACAUAGAAGUUGAUAAUUAGAUUAUGAUGUGCUUAAUCCUAUUGGUAACAUAUUAUUUAGUUUGCAAAUUUUGUCCCCAUAACAUUACUCGUAUUUAAAACUAUUUAUUCAAGAGCACAACAUUUUUUUUACUAUUUUAUUUUAAACUAUUUAUGCUACAGCACAACAUUUUAAAAGUAGUUCAAUACCAAAUCAUAUGUACUAGAAAAUUAUAUAUCUCCUCGUCUCCUAACAGCGUGUCAAAUGUCUUUCCCAGCUCGUUCGUUUUCUUUGGGUGAAAUUCAUUGCUUGUUCGUUAAGUUGUAUAUAUGUGUGCUGAAACCAACAAACAACUUACAUAUCAUUCUCACUUGCUCAUCAAACUAGAUUAACAAAGAGGAUUAAGGGUCAGUUUGGGAUUGCUAUGUUUUUAAAAAAACUAAUUAUGUUAUGUUUUAUGAAUAAUCAGUUGUAAAAUAAAGCCGAUGACCGUUUGGUUAAUUGAAUUUUAAAAGUCCUAUGAAUAUGAAAAGCAGCGCAAAAGCGUUUGGUAAAAUUUAAUGUAAAAGUGAUAUAAUUGUACACAAUGAUAGAUGGACAUAGUAGUAGGAAUGGGGGCAACGACAGCAGUGGUAGUAAUGGAGGUGGUGGUUGCAGUGGAGGAAGUGAUGGUGGUGCUAAUAGUGGGAUGUGUUGGUUGAGGUGGAAAGGUAACACAGGUGGUAAGGCGUGGUGGUGCUAAUAGUGGGCUGUGUUGGUUGAGGUGGAAAGGUAACACCGGUGGUAAGGUGGUGGCAGUGGUCAUGAUGGCAAUGGUGGCAGUUGGAGUUAUGUUAGUGUCGACAAUGAUAACAAUGAUGGUGGUAAUGAUAGUUGUGGUUGUGAUGGCAAUGGUGGUAGUUGUGGUAAUGGUGGUGGUGAUGGUGUUGGCGAUAACAGCAUCGAUGGUGGUAGUAGUGGUGGUGGCAAUGGCGGCAGUGCGGUGAUGGUAGUGAUGGUGGUGACAAUGAUGGUAGUGAUGACAGUGGUGGAGGUUGUGGUUAUGGCGGUGGUGGUGGUGGUGACAAAAAUGAUGGUUGCAAUGACGAUGAUGGUGUAAGGUUAGUAUUUGGAGUGGUAGGUGGUAGUCUUUACUUUAUUCUCUAAGGAAUAGAGGAACAGAAUGUGUGUGGAAGGCUAAACAAUGUCAUUUAAAAAAAAUUAAUGAAGGUAUUACAGCAAUUAAAAAUACUUAUUAUAGACCUUUCUUUUUACUAAAGCAGCUUUUAAAAGCAACUUGCAGGCUGCUUUUAAAAGCUAUUGUCUGGAGCCCAUUGUUUAGAGUCUCUUUGUUUUGGUAAGUAUGUCUCUGGCUUCAAUCAGAAUGGGUGCUCUCAGAACGGCAUUUAAAAUGUUGUUUGAUGCUGUAAAAUUAGCGUAGGAGGAGAAUAAAAGGUUCCAACACCUCUCCCGAGACAUCAAGUUCACACUCGACUCUGUACAACCACUCAUCAAAGACAUCGAGAAACGUAUAACUCGAAAGAGGGACUGCAAAAUUUUGCAAUACAGAGGGAGGAGGGAGCAAGCUUUCAACAAUUGUUACAUCUCAAUCUCAUUGGCAUUUCUGAAUCUAGAAGAAAUGUACAUCGACUAUUGCAGUGAUUUAAUAGAGUUGCUUACCAAGAUUUGUAAUCUUAGUAAAUUAAAGAAGCUUAGCGUCACUAACUGUUACAUCUCAAUCUCAUUGGUAUUCCUGAAUCUAGAAGAAAUGUAAAUCGACUAUUGCAGUGAUUUAAUAGAGUUGCCUUCCUCUCCCUUUCAUUGUUUUCACUUUCUUCUUCCUCCUCCGACAUACACACACGGACGACAACGGCAACACCACCAUUUGUGUGGCCGUGAAAUCCUUAAUCCAAAACCCUAAAAAAUCAAGAACCUUCCUCACCGCCACUGCCCUCGCUUCGCUUCUCGCUGUCUCCAAUCCAGCCUAUCUUCAUCUCGCUGUCUCCAAGUUGUAUACUUUGAAGGAGGAGAAAUUGAAGAUGGAUAACGGAGGCAGCGACUCAAUCCUCUUCUUCUCGCUGUUUUCAGUCCAACCUCUUUUCCUUCCACAAGCAGCGACUCAAGGUUAUCUUCUCCACCUCCUCCUCGUUUUCUUUUUUCUGAAUUGAAACAAAUUCAAAGUUGUAAACUUUGAAGAAGGAGAAAUUGAAUUGUUGUUGUUCUUUUUGUCUACAGAUUCUUGAAGUAGCAGAGGAAAAAUGAGAGUUUUAUGUUUUUGUUUGUUUGUUUGUUUUUUUUUUUUUUUUUUUGCAAUUAUCAGUUUUGGCUGUGGUAGUCUAGUGGGUUUCUGGGUUUCUGUGUUUCCAUUUCUAUUGCAGAUCAGCAAAGCCAUUUCUGGUGGGUUUCUGGGUUUUGUGGAGAUCGGCAAAGGAGCACUGUUUCUUGUUUGAGGGUGUUAUUGGACUUUAGAAAGUUUCAUUAAAGGAGCACUGUAGCUCUGCGUGCUUUGAAAAAAAGCCAGUUUUCCAAAGCAGCAUUUUAGGUGCUUCAGCUUUUCUGAUGAUUUCAGCUUAUUCAAUCCAUUUUUUUUGAGUUUACCAAACACCUUCAACAUAAAAACUUUGAAAAUAAGCAACUUUUUUUUAAGCACCUCAAUGCCAAACCAUACGUAACUGUCAUAAGCUAUCUGCCUUAGCUGAAGGGAUUGGAAAGUCGGAAAAUUUAGAAAUGUUGAGGCUAAGAUCCUACACAGAACUGUUAAAGUUUCCAACCACGAUGAAGAACCUUGGAAAGGUAAAAUUUCUCGACAUAUAUGUUUGCUUCAGCAUCAAGAUGUUGCCUAAAGACAUAGUUGAAAUGGGUAGUUUAAAGAAGAUCAACAUGAGACAAUGCUCAAGGUUGCAAGAGCUGCCUCCAUCAGUCAUGGAUCUUAAGCAGUUAAAGGAAGUUGUCUGUGAUGAAGAGACAAAAUACUUAUGGGAAUCUCUCAUUGUGUCUCAACAACGUAAGGAUAAUUAUAUCAACCUAAAUUGGAUCCACAAGACUCAGUUCUGAUACUUGUGUUUCCUCGGUGAACGUGGGCUUCAUAAAUAGUAGUGUGGGAUAUUGCACGGUAUAAUCAUUUGUUGUUAAAUGAGCACUAUUUUGACAACCUUAAGAAAUUUUCUAAACUAGUGAAAUGUGAAGGGAAAUUUAAUAUCUGAGCAAUAAGUUUAAUGUGAAAGUUGUUUUAUCAGAGGGAAAAUGUGGUUUGUGUUUUUAAUGGGACUUCUUAAACUCUACUCUAACAUAGUUUCACAAUCAAUCCCUAUACGCAGUUUCUUAACCUUUUGGUUUGAAAAUUUGUAUGUAUAGUUCAACACCAUAGUGUGAUUAUGCUUCCCAAAAUACGUUUUAUAAGUAAAGGAACCAAAAAGAAAAGGUUGAAGAGUCUCCAUAAGACAAGAACUUUUAUGUCACAGGGUCAGGUAUUAAUCUCAUCGUCAGUAAGUUUCUCAAGUAUCUAUAUUCACAUUUGUUAGUCAAGUUUUCAGAAUUGUGUUCGCAUAUAAUCUGAGUUCAUUGCCAAAUGUAGUGGAAUUGAUUGUUAUUGACUAUUUGCGAUGAAUUGGUCUCAUACUAUAGUUCAACACCACCAUCUGAUUCAUGCUCUCCAAAAUAAAUUUUAUAAGUAAAAGGAACAAAAAAGAAAAGGUUGAAGAUUCUCCAUAAGAUAAGAACUUUUAUGCCAUGGUGUCAGGUGUUAAUCUCGUCCUCGAUAAGUUUUUCUAGUAUCUAUACUCACGUCUAUUGGUCAAGUUUCCAGAACAUGUGUUCACAUAUAAUUUGGAUUCAUUACCAAAUCUAGAAGAAUUGAUUGUUGUUGACUAUUGCAAUGAAUUGGUCUCAAACUAUGUUUUCCAACCAGCACAGAUUGAUCAGCUUUUUUUUUUUUUUUUUUUUUUUAAUAAAAAAAAGUUGUUUGAUUAGUCUCGUUCAAUACCGUUACGUGAUCAGCUUAAACUUAGUGGAAAUUAGGUUCACAUCCUUCUUUUUGUUACUCCAUUGAUUAAAAUCCUAUUCAUUUUCAAUUUUUGAUCAAGGUCCUUGGGUAUUAAUUACAUCAUUAAUUAUUUGAAUAAUAAAAUAUUUUUAUUUUUAAAUAUAUUCCUUUAGUGUUAAAAAUGUUACAUUUAGUAUAUUUAUAUUUAUGGUUAAAAAUUUUACCAUAUAUUUUUAUUUUUAGUUUGUACCUAUUUUUAAUUUGCAAAUAUUUUUUAAUGUACCAAUUUUCUUUUCAUUUUUAAUUUGUACCCAUAUAUUAGUUUCUUUUUGUGCCCAUAUUUUUAAAAUUUUUAUUUGUGUUUGGAUUCAUGUGUAUACCGUCACGUGACAUUGUAUAUUUAAUCAAUGAUAGAAAAAUUACAUAUGGUAUAUUUAUGUUUUAUGCCUAAACUUUGUAUCAUAUAUUUAUAUUUUUAGUUUGUACCCACUUUUAAUUUGCAACAUUUUUUUUUUAAAUUUGUAGUAUUUUCUUUUUAGUUUUAUUUUGUACCCAUGUAUUAAUUUCUUUUAGCGCCUAUAUUUUUUUUAAAACUUCAUUUGUACUCAUAAUUUUCUAAUCUUUUAUCUGUACCCUAAUUUAUUUAUAAUGUAUCCAUUCUUCUUUAUUAAUGUACCACUUUGUUAUAUGUGAAAUGUACCAAUUUUUUUAACACUAUUGAUAGAUUCUUUUGCCAUUUAUUAUUUCUUAUUUUAACAUAGUUUUUAUCCAUUUAUUCAAUCAAAAUGUUUGAAUUUUUUUAUUGUAACUGUUUCUAAUAGUAUUAUAAUGAGGGAUUUUAAAUUUAUAGGAUUAUAAAUCUCAUAAAAUAUCAAACAAUUAAUGUCAAAACUAUAAAAAUAUAAAUAUUAAUAGUAAUAUAAUGAGGUGUACAAAGUCAAGGGACUUUGAUCAAACUUUGAAUACUAUUAAAGUUUUAAUCAAAGAAUGUUAAGGAUUAGAGACCGCAUCCAAAAUAUCUCAAAAUAUUUUUCUUGUUCAAAAUUUUAAUAGUUAAACUAAUAAAGAACGGGCCAUAUUUUCUUUCUUUUAAAAGUUGUUCACAUAGAAGUGGUCAUUGACAAAGUAGAUAAUGAAUAAACAUUGUAAUUUGGAUGAAAAUACACAAAUUCAAUACUUUAAUUAGAUUUAUAUACUUUAAAUGAAAAUAAACAAGUUUAAUAUUCUUAGAGAAGGGCACAAUAGAAAUUUCACAACUAAGAAUUGAUUAUAGCAUGCCAAUACUUAAAAAGCUGACUUGGCUUUGUAAUGGGAAGGGUACAAAGAAAUUUCACAGCUAAAAAUUAAUUAGAUCAUGACAAUGAGGUAGAUGAGGGGGUUCUUUACUCCAAAUGAACUCUUGAAGUAUUUUUAUAGAGAACUUAUAGUUUUGAAACAAAUAAUUGUACAUUAGAAAAAGAUAGCUCAUAUUUUCAUUGAAAAAGAGAGCUGAUUUUUAUUAAUUAACAUUGAAGUUUUUGCCUAUUAAAAAAAUGUGGGUCUUAUUUUUUAAUAGAGGUAGGACCCACCAACACAUAUUAGUCUCAUCUCUAAUAACAUUUUUUUGCAAAAAUUAUUCACUGCUUCCUAAUAAAGUAAACAAGGUCAAAAGGAGGACAAAUUGGUUUUCUUUUAGCACUAAUACUCUUUUAGAAACUAUGUAUUUGAUUGUAUGAACAAUAAAGUCAUUGUACAAUUUAAAUUUAAAACUCAUAAAGAAAAUUAUACAAGGCAUAAAAAAUUUAUUAAUCAACAUUGAAACUUUUGUGCAUAUUCUAUGAAAACACAAGGAAAUUAUACUAUGAUCUCCUCACAAGAAAUUCUGAACUCUUUCGUUUUUCAUGAACUUGUGAUACACGGUAAAGGGGAUGAAUUCUUCAAUGAAAUAUUGAUACACAAAUGAGACCUAUUCAUAAGUUUAUUGAAAAUAAUGAAGCGCAUAGGAGUACUCCAGCCCAUAAUACAAUUUUCUUGUGUUUUCAUAGCAUAUGCACCCAAAAUAUAAUGUUGAAAAAUAAGUAUUAUUUUUUAUGUAUAUAAAUAUAAUAUUUUCUCAUCUUCUAGUACAAGUUUUGUGCAUAUUCUACAAACCCAAAAAUAAAUUAAAAAUCAACAUCUUAGCAAUAUUUUCUCAAAAAAAAAAUAAAAAAUUGCUCGGUAAACAAAUAUAUUUUUCCACACUAAAUUUCGCAAAUAUCCUAUGAAAAUAUAAGGAAAUUAUACUAUGGUCUCAUCUAAAAAAAAAUUCCAAAAAUUCUCAGCUCUAAACUUAUAAUUCAUGCAAACGGGAUCAAUUUAUCAAAGGACUUAUGAUACACGUAAAUGAGGUCAAUUCAUAAGUCCAUUGACCAUGACAUAUCAUGUGAAUGGGAAUAGAGAAGCAUACGAGUUUCUUAUGUGUUCAUGGCAUGUGCACAAAAUGUUUUAUUGGUGUUGAAAAUUGUGUAUGUAUAUCAGCAUAUUUUCUCAUCUUGUAGUAUGCUAAAGGAGUAGAUCGCAACAUCUUCAUAAUAAAUUCUCUACCUAGCUUACUCUAGGCUUAUGAAUUCACUCGCAACAAAAUUUGAACUGAAAAAAAAAAGUGACUUUCUUUUAGCACUAAUAAUAGUUUUUUUUUUUUUUGAAUAAACGAUAUUAUAUACCCUAAGAGGGUGGGGAGUGAGCUAAACCUCACAAUGGCUAGCAAUAAUGUGGUUCAAAGUGGUUCAAUGUGGUUCAAAUUUGUCUUUUGUGGAAAUCGAACUUAAGACUUCUCACUUACAAGUGAAAAGAAACACCACUAGACCAUAGUAUUAAGUGGCCUAAUAAUAGUUCUUUGAAAAACUAUAUAUUUGAUUGCAUAAACAAUAAAGUCAUUGUAUAAUUUAUAUUUAAAUUAAAACUCAUAAAGAAAAUUAUAAUUGUCAAGCCCUGAUCCCGACAUAUGUCCAAGAUCGACACAUGAUGUCAGCUCAUCCCUAUUUAUUUAUCAUCUCAUCUCCGAGACAAGUCCAAAACCCAAUCAAUGAUUCAACCAAGCAGUGACUUUCCUUUAUUUCAUGGCUGAAUCUAACAUUUGCAUUAGACUGCCUAUGUACCCUAAAUAGGGAUCAAGCCAUUCAUAGUUCACCAUUCACUACACUCCAAUGUUUAUCACAGUACGUUCUAACAAAAAGGCAUAGCAUCCCUCAAUCAAUUAUUAAAACUUGACAAGCAUGAAAUUACUAGAUUUAGGGCUACAUAAUAAACCCACAUGACAAUCAAGAUUUCCACAUCAUCCAUCAUAUAAAUCACUAUGUUUCAACAUAAUAUUGCAAUUCAUAGCAUGCAACAUCUCAAAGAACAAUCAACGAAGCGUAAUAUUAUUCUCUAGCCACAUUGGUCAACGAGUCUAACCAUAAUAAUAACAAUCAUAUCCAACAUCAUUCCACAAUCACUCCAAUUAAUCAAUUCCAUGAAUCAAAGAAGCACGAUAUUAACAUUUAACUACGUUCAUCAAUCAAUACGAUCACAUAUUAAUUCACAAAAUUUAAUAAAGGAAUCCUACAUAAUUUCCUACCUGGAUUCCAAGUAAUAACAUGAUAAAUCUAAUUUAUAAACACAAUGUCUACUGUGAGCAAUUCCUAUUCACUCGAAUCUAGGGGCCGGAAAUGAGCAAGAAUAGGGAUUAUGGACAGUCACCGGAAUCUAACUAAAUUAUGGUUGCCUAUCGAACUGUACUGAGUACAACUAAUCCUCAUCACCCCUAGAAUGCAUAUGGUCCCCUAUUGCGAAUAUACCAAGCAGAACCAUAGGCAUAAUCUAAGCAUGCAUGCAGUGAUCACCCAUCGAGGAUAUACCAAGCAUGAUCACCCUUGAAAUACGUAUGGUCCCAUAUCACAGAUAUAACAAGUAGGGCAAUAUCCUAUAGCUUUAGGUUGUGAUCACCCAUCGCGGAUAUACCAAGCAUGGUCACUCCUAGAAUGCGUAUGGUCCCCCCAUUAUGGAUAAACCAAGCAGAACCAUAUGCAUAGUCUAAUAAUGUAGGCAGUGAUCACCCAUCGUGGAUAUACCAGGCAUGAUCACUCCUAGAAUGUAUAUGGUCCCUCAUUGCAGAUAAACCAAGCAGAACCAUAAACAUAGUCUAAUAGUGCAUGUGGUGAUCACCCAUCGCAGAUAUACCAAACAUGAUCACUCCUGAAAUACGUAUGGUCCCCUAUUGUGGAUAUACCAAGCAGAACCAUCCUAACCACUGCUACAUGGUGCAGUCAUAUCAAUACACAAUAAUUACCAAAUUAAUAUGAAUCAUAAUUCCUAGCAUACACACCAUCAAUCCGAUAAGACAACGAUCAUUGAAUCACAUCGUACACAUUCUAUAACAUGUGUCAUUUCAUCAUGAAUCACAAUUUCAAUUGUACAUGCUAUCAAUUCCACUUAACUAACCAGUCUCCAAUUAUCCAUACAAAUGAGUUCUACGGAAUAGUUCUAACGAGGUUCCAACUCAUAUUUUCAUACAAUAUAUAUAUGAUAGAAAAGUAAUAUUUUAAUAUAAAACACAUUUAUAAAACCAUGCCAUAUCCAUUAAAUAUACUAGCAAGGGAAUUUUUAGGGUAAUCAUUGAUACCACAUGAUUAGAACAUUAGUCCUUGCCAAAAAAAAAAAAAAAAAAAAAAAAAAACCUAACCCUAGAUUACAUAUUCAAUUUAAUCUCUUGAAGUGUACUUUUAUCAAAAUUUAUAUUCAAUUUUUGUUAUUUAAUGUGUAUUUUUAUUUAAUCUCUCUACAUUAAAUUUUAAUUUUAUUAAUGCACAUAUUUAGUCCUUUAAUUAUAAAUGAACACAAAUGAGAAAAUAUUUAAAAAAAGUUGCGAUACAAAAAUAUAUAAAUACAUAAGUGUACAGAAAUGACUGUGCAGAAAUAUAUAAAAUUAACUUUUUUUGCACCGAAAUAUUUGUACCUGCAUGAUUGUACCGAAAUAUAUUAUAAUGAAUCUAAAUGUAUGUACCAAAAUGUAUUAUAUAGAAUUAAUGUACCAAAAUGUCAAUACCGAAAUGUAUGUACCAAAAUGUACAUACCAAAAUGUAUAUGUGAACACGGAAAAUUCCUGAAACGAAAGAGACAAGAACGACGUGCACAAACAAAAUAUUUGUAUUUUUGAAGAUUUUGGGUUACAAUCUCUCUCUAUUUUGAUCCUCUGAUUCGAUCUCCGUAAGGUGUUGAUUGAUGGAUGUUUUGUUGAUCCAAGGGUCGUUGAUGCUUAAUCUUGGAUGAACUGUUGGAAGUUUCUUCAAAGGGCCGUGGGCUUGAUCUUUAAGGUGGAUUUGAGCGGAUCUUCAAGGAGCCGUUGGGGCUUGAUCUUGAAGAACAGUGAUGAACGGAUCUUCAAGGGGUUUUGGGCUUGAUCUUGAAGAACAGUGAUGAACGGAUCUUCAAGGGCUUUUGGGCUUAAUCUUGAAGAACGGUUGGAUGUGUGUGGAUUUGUCGAUGUUUGUUGAUCCAAAGGGCCGUUGGGGCUUGAUCUUGGAUGAACGGAUGAUGAACGAUGGUGCUUUCUUCAAGGGCCGUCGGGGCUUGAUCUUGAAUUGGUGGAAGUUCUUCAAGGGCCGUUGGGGCUUGAUCUUGAAUUGGUGGAUGAUUGUUGAUCCAAAGGGCCGUUGGGGCUUGAUCUUAGGAUGAACGAUGAACGAAGAACGCUUUCUUGAUUCUUCGGGAACCUGGAUGCUUGAGAGCUUCGGAGUUUCAGAGCUUCAGGGCUUCAAGGUGUAAUCUCAAUUGGUCCCCCCAUUUGGAAUGAAAUAGCCUUCUAUUUAUAGAAAUUUCCAAGGCCUAAUUUUGAAUAUAAUAUUCCAGAUGAAAUAAGUCGUUUCUGCCAGGUGUUGACACGUGUCCUAUUUGAUGACUUUUCCAACUCAUUUCAAUUUUCAUUGAGUCACACGCUACGUGUAAAAUUUAUGUAAUACAUGAGCGUUGACACACUUUGAUUUAUCGGUCAACAUUUAUUUACCGAAAUUUCGAUGUCUACAAAUGCCCCCACUUCAAGGCACGUCGUAUACAUGUGCUUGUCACGUGUAGGAGAUGCGUUUUGAAGUCCCUUACUGUAGAUGUCGAUCCAAGGGCCGUCGAGGCUUGAUCUUGAAUUGGGCUGGAGAUUUCUUCAAGGGCCGUUGAGGCUUGAUCUUGAAUUGGGCUUGAGAUUUCUUCAAGGGCCGUUGAGGCUUGUUCUUGAAUUUUUGUUUGAAAUUUCUUCAAGGGCCGUCGAGACUUGAUCUUGAAGGUUGAAAUUGGACCACAAGGAGCUUCAUGUGGUAGAUGAUCUUUGGCUUUGGUAGUGGGUGAAUCGGCACAUAUUUUGUUGCGCUUGUUGACUUUCCACAGCUUUGAUCUUGAACUGGGUUGAAGGAUUUUCUGGAUUCCUCCAAUUGUUGAUUUUCCACAGCUUAUUCUUGAACUAGGUUUUGAUUCAAGGGUGGUAGACACUUAAUCUUGAAUCGGACUUGUAAUUUCCUCAAAAGCCGUCGAGGCUUGAUUUUGAAUUUGGCUGGAAGCUUCUUCAAGGGCCGUUGAGGCUUGAUUCUUGAAGGCUGACUCGAACACAUGGCAAGAAGGCACGAGGUGAAGGUGACGACUUGUUGCUUUGUUCAAUCUUUCUAAUUCACACCUGAGCAGUUUGGUCAACGGUAUGAUCUUCAAGAUUGAUGGGCUCUUCUUCCAGUUGGUGACUUGAUCUUUAAGGAUUUGAUUCAAGGGUGGUGAAUCGGCACGUGCAGCCCACAACGCCUAGUAAGUCGACCCAAGAAUUUGAGGGUCAAAACGAGUUCUUCAUCUCAGACUCUUUCUGCCGAGUUGACUGUGCAUGCUGCAUUCUUCUCUGCUUGUUUCUUCAGGCAGAUAUGGCAGCUUCUCGAGUUCUUCAGCUCGGACUCCUUCUGCUGAGUUGACUGUGCAGACUGCAUUCUUCUCUGCUUGUUCCUUCUGCACCUUGUCUCCACAUGCUGCAAGGUAUCAUUUUCACUUGCCUUAUCUGUUCUCCAGGCAGAUGUGGCAGCUUCUUUGGAAGUACAACAGCAGUGGGAAACGAGUACUCGAGAGCAGUGCUAGGUAGGCAAUCAGGGAAGGGUUCCAAGCAGUCGGUUCCUUACCCGAGUUUGAGUGGAAGUUCCGGCAUAUUGUUUUCUUUAUCCUUGUCUUUGUAGGUAAGAACAAGGACAAAGGAAAGGACAGGGAGAACGCAUGAUAUGAGAUAUACUCUUGCUUUCUACCCUGGUGAUAUGAGAUACUUUUGCUUUGGAGUCAUUGGCUUGCAGAGGUACCCCAAGGAAUAAGGAACAUUGAAUGACUCGAGAGGCUUCGUUGGGAAAGCAUUUUUUUGGAGAUGAAGAAAGGCUCUGUAUGUCUGCCUUGCUAUGGAAGGCGAAGGUAGACAAUUAUAGGAAGUUCUUUGAUACCUGUAGAGGUACUAUUCUUUCACUCGUGUCGGCAACCAAUGCGUGAUCGAUCUAUAUGGCUUCACAUGCUUUCUUCUUUAUCAGAAAUCUUUGACAAAUUGUCCGUAAUUUCCGCCAAGCUAAGUGUGCAUGUGACAGGUGUUGACGCGGCUGAAAAAGACUGACGCCUCUUCGAUAACUGGGAUCGGCGCUUCGACAAAUUACCCGUGAUUUCCGCAAAGCUGAGUUUGCGUGUGAUGGGUGCUGACGUGGCUGAAAAAGACUGGCGCCUCUUCGAUAUCUGGGAUCUGCGCUUCGACAAAUUGCCCGUGAUUUUCGCAAAGCUGAGUUUACAUGUGACGGGUGCCGACGCGUCUGGAAAAGCAAGAUGCUUCUCCGAUUUCUGAGCUUGCCUCUUCGAUUUUUGAAUGGCCUCUUCGUAUUCUGAGCUCGCCUCUUCAAUCUCUGAAAUCCCGUCGAGUGCUGAUUUUUUUUUAGAGGCACGCUGUUCGUUUCAAAGCACACUUGAAUUUUACUUGUGAAAACUCCCUUCUUGCACUUCUAAGAUCUUGAUUCGUCCGACCUCUUCUUUCUUCAACACUUUGAAAAUCUCUGGUCCAUCUGACCGUCGUUUUGAUUUGAACCUUGGUGAAGGGGCAGUCCCUUCUUCUCCAGACAACAUAUGGCGCUCAUCCUUCAUAUCCCCUACUGGUCCUCUUACCGUUGGGGAUUCAGUGAUGAAGAAUGAUAUGACCGCUGCGGUGGUGGCCCGGAACCUUGUCACUCCCAAAGAUAACAGACUACUUUCCAGGCGGUCUGAUGAGUUGGCUGUUAAGGAGUCUCUGGCUCUUAGUGUGCAGUGUGUGGGUUCUGUGUCCAACAUGGCCCAACGCCUAUUUGCUCGAACCCGUCAAGUUGAAUCGUUGGCGGCUGAAGUGAUGAGUCUCAAACAGGAGAUUAGAGGGCUCAAGCAUGAGAAUAAACAGUUGCACAAGCUCGCACACAACUAUGCCACAAACAUGAAGAGGAAAAUUGACCAGAUGCAGGAAUCUGAUGGUCAGAUUUUACUUGAUCAUCAGAGGUUUGUGGGUUUGUUCCAGCAGCAUUUGCCUUCGUCUUCUGGGGCUGUACCGCGUAACGAAGCUCCAAAUGAUCAACCUUUGGCUCCUCUUCUUCCUGGAGUUCCGCCGAGUGGUGUGACUUCAAACAGUCAACCUCCGACGUCUCUUUUUCCUAGAGCUCCACCGAGUACUGAGACACCACUUGAGCAAUAAAGACUCCCUCCCGUUUGUUUGCACAUUUGUAAAUUUUUUUUUUUUUUUUUUGGUAUGUAGAAUGCAAUUUUAUGUAAAAUUUCGAGAAAAAAAAACAAAUAAAAUGGACUUUUAUUUCUCUUAAUGCUUUUUUUUUGUUUGCUGUAUAUAUUAUACACACACACAUUUAUAUAUACACAUACAUACAUACAUACAUAUAUAUAUAUAUAUAUUUUUUUUUCUUUCACGUGGAGUGAUCCACCAUCCCAAACCCAUUUUCCCUUUGUUUUUUUUUUUUGCAUGGUGCUAGCCAUCAAGAAUCCACCUUCCCUUUUUUUUUUUAUUAUUUUAUUUUAUUUUUUGGUCUGCUUUCACAUGGUGCUGAUCCACCAUUCCCCUUUUCUUUUCUUUUUUCACGUUGUGCCAGAUGCACCAUCCCCUCCUUUUUUUUUUUCUUAUAAUUAUUAUUAUAUUUUUUUUUCUGUAUAAAUUUGGGUGAUGGGUAGAGGAAUUUGCAGGGAGCGGAGCAAGGAGGCCGAGAAGAUGGUGCUUCGAGCUUCACGACCGGCUAGUCGUUUGACGGCAGUCGUUGAAGUUCUUUGCUAUCAUGGUGGUCAUAGUGACGAGCUCGAGGGAGGCUAGGCGCUGCGGUGGAAGAUGGGCAGAGAUGAGCGGUGCAGCUUUGGAAGUAGCAGGAGAUGACGGAGAAUGAGUCUCGCUCGAUGGCGUUUGAGAUUGGGCUGCCCCAUGCAUUCACAAGUACAUCCUUACCUCGAACCUUUGCGGGGACCAGCUUCUGCUUGGGAACGAUCCUGCAGUGAUGAAGGUGGACUUGGCGAGGCGGAGUGCUAAGACCGGGAGCUGGAUUCGACAGAUGAAGACUCGAAGUUGAUGCCGGUGUUGUGGCGACGGAAGCGUUGUGCAGCAACGUUGUGGGCCCUGGCGUCCGUUUGGCUGUGGGACCACGCUUUUGUACUUGGAGGAAGGGAGCUUCCGAGACUCGACCUCGAAGCUGCCGGUGCCGCCGCUGUUGCUGAGCUUUGAGUCCAGAAGUGCACUGCCCGUGCUGAUGUUGCCGAUGCGGUCGGGAAGGAGGAGUUGACAGCAGGCUGAUCACUAUGAACGGCUUAAGCGGCGGAGAUGGCGACUUGGUCUACUUCAACGGCAAGGAGGAGAUGCAUGAGGCUCAACUCUUGUAGUGCCGUGAGGUGGGAGACCUUCUUGUGGUUGUCAGGGUCUCUGACGGUGGUUCUGACGGCGUAGCCCUUCUGGAGUAGCAGCUUGACCAGCAGAGACACCACGAACCCGGUUCUGCCGAUGACGCAAGCCGUCUUCUUCGAGAUGGGUUGUUGGGUGGCCAUGGCUUCCUCUUCCUCUGUCAGAUUUUUAGUUGAAAAGGUGGGUGAUUUAUAACUCUUUGGAGAUUGGGAACCCUUGGCCGUGGCAGGAACUGAUAUGUUACUUUGUAGAUAUCUCUGGCUUGCUGAUACCGUGCUGUCUAAAGAAAUGCUUUCGUUGCUUGUUUGAGAUGCAAAAUUUGAGGCGUGAUCAUUUCCUGUAUCUAUCAUUCCUUUCGUCUUCUGCAUCGCUUCAAGUAUUUGCUUAAGAGCUUUGAGAUCAUUUCCUGAUUUUUUGAACUCAAGAUCUGCCAGCCUUUUUUUUCAUUUCAACAUAUACUGAAGAUGAUGAAUUUGGAGCUUUUAUAGGUUCUUCUUGUUGUUUGAAAUCUGAUCGUUGAGAACCCUUGCUUCUGUGUGGCUGCCUCCAUGGAGCUGCUUCUAUUGGAAACUUUAGAAUUGGAGAUGGGCUUCAUGACCAGAUCAGUGCCUCUCAUCUGCGGUGAGCUGUCUUUCUUUGUAUUUGCGAGGAGUAUCCCAGAAUAAGUAUCUUGCUUGUUUUCAUUGGUUGCUCUUGAUGAUCUGGAGAAGGGGAAGAGAGAGAGAGAGAGGGAGAUCGAGGAUGUUGAUGUCGGUUGGUUGGGUUGAGCUUGGUGUCGGCGCGGUGGAGCGAAUUGAGAUCAGGACCAAAGCGUCGUCGUCCAGGCUGAUCGAUUUGCGAUCACAUCGAAGCGCAAGCUUCGUGACCGAGUCGAAGUGGGCGAAGAGAGCAGGCAGGAAAGGAAGAAGCCCAGCCUGGGCGUUGAGAGAGGCGGUGCCGGCUCUGUCCGUCGACUCUCAGACACCGGUGGCAGACGAGCGAGCUCCGUUUCCGGUCGCCGGCGCAGAGGAAAUGGAAAAUACUCGCCAGACACUCGUCGGGAAGAUCAGACGUGUAGUCAGGGCCCUGAGUGACUUCCCCGUACAACUCGGAGUCUUCGUCGGUCGAGGAUGAAGCAAUCGCCACCGUUUUGAAGCUGAACCGUCGGCUCGUUGAAAUUUCUCUGGAGCUGUGCUCCGCCGGAGCCUCAGGAAGCCAAGAGGACUGUCCCAUAGUGCUGCUGCAAGUGAAUUGAACGCGCCGCCAGAAGAGAGACAGAGGGAGAGAGAGGUGGUGGUUGGUAUUUUCAACGUUAUCUUAAAAUGCGUGUGUGGGAUCUGUGAGCGACGGCGGAUCUUAGACUGAUCAUCGAGAGCGCGGUAAAUUUACCGGAGGAGGAGACGGCGCUUGAGUCGGUGACUGGAAUGGAGAAGGGUCUGGUUGGAGGAGAAAACCCGAAGUGGGUUUUGAGAGCUGGGCUUAUUGGGAUUUAGAAAGAUGGGCCGCCCUCUUUUUUUUUUUUUUUUUUUCACAAAGAAAAUGUUUGUAUUUGUAAUAAAAAUAUACUCUCAAUAGUCAAAUAUUCAAUAAAAUCUUAUUUAUUUAUUUAUUUAUUUUGAUGUGACUGAACUCGAAAUUGAAUGCUCGAGCUGCCUACGUACCCUUCCAACGAAAAGAUCAAGUCAAAACGUAGUUCAAAUACAUACAUAUUUUUUUUUGGUAUUUUCUCUUUUUUUUUUCUUUUUUUUUUUUGUGCCAUUUGCAGUUUCAGCUCAUGCAAGCAAGGAGCGUUGGUGUUGCCUUUUAUGCUCGUGCAGACCAGGAGCGUUGUGCCAUGCAGUUUAGGCUCGUGCAGGCGAGGAGCUUUGGUUCGUGCAGUUUAGGCUCGUGCGAACAAGGAGCAUUGGUGAAUUUGUCAAGCAAUUUUGGAGAGGCGUUCCUCACAAUCUUCAUAGCAAGGAGCCUUGACCGAGUGAUUGAAGAAGUCUUCGGGCAAGAAAUCACGCAUCGUGAUGGGGACGGACGAUCUAUAUGUCGAAAUUUCAUCAUCUUCAACACGUUCAUGUUGCUUUGAAGGUUGACAAGAGCUGCUUUGCCCCCUUUCCGAUUGGCGGACUUGUGGAGGAGACGUAUGCUUCUUGUGCAAUUUCUUAGGAGUGACUUGAGUCCAUCAUUCAACUUUGCUUGUCUUGGAGGAUGCCCUCAGCGGUUGAGGUGAAAACUUUGAGUCGGAAGAGCCAGAAGUGAAGGUGGUAUAGUUUGACUUCACCACAUCGUCAAGAUCUAGCUCGAUGAUUCCUUUCUGAGCCAGCUUCAUGAUGAGAUCUUUCAGCACGAAACAUUUUUCUGUCGGAUGACUGAUGAAGCGGUGGAAUUUACAGUACCUUGGACUGUCAGUGCGAUUCAUCUCUUCUGGCCGUUUGCACUCAGGCAAACCAAUCACCUUCUUUUCCAGCAAGUCUUCUAACAUGGCAACCACAUCAGAGUCGGGGAAUGGAUAAGUCCUCUCCUCAAGCUCCUUCAAAGUGCGUCUACGCAUCUCUUGAUCACGAAAAGCUUCAGUUUGAAUCGCCUUGCCUCGUGUGGAGAUUUUGAUGGGAGCUGUGACCGUCAUCGCUUCCUUGGUGGGUUUCCAUGCAGCCUUUUCCACCUUUGUCCAAAGAACUUUGUCGUUCUUGUAAUCGGCGAUCGGUUCUUUCUUCCCAUGAUGGGCGAUGCUCAACUCCAUGUCGUGGGGGCGAGUGGCCAAUUCCUCGAAGGUCCGUGGUUUAAUGCCUUGAAGGAUGUAUUGCAAACCCCAUUGCAUGCCUUGGAUGCACAUCUCGAUUGAAGAGGUUUCUGAGAGCCUGUCUUUAUAGUCGAGGCUUAGAGUGCGCCAUCUGUUGAUGUAGUCAAUGACUGGCUCGUCCUUCCACUGUUUUAUGCUCGUUAGCUCUAGCAUGCUCACAGUGCGGUGGGUGCUAUAGAAGCGGUUGAGGAAUUCCCGCUCUAAUUGAUCCCAGCUGUUGAUGGACUUAGGCUCUAGGUCCGUGUACCACUCAAAGGCGUUUCCUUUCAGCGAGCGCACAAACUGCUUGGCAAGGUAGUCCCCUUCGGUCCCUGCGUUGUUGCAAGUUUCAACAAAAUGGGCAACGUGCUGUUUCGGGUUUCCUUUUCCAUCAAACUGCAUGAACUUUGGUGGUUGAUAACCCUUUGGCAUCUUCAGGGCAUCAAUCUUCUUGGAGUAGGGCUUCGAGUAGAACAAUGAGGUAUGUGAGCUCCCUUCGUACUGUGCCUUGAUGGUGUUGGUGAUCAUUUCUUACAGUUGCUGGAUAGAAAGAGGUCCCAUAAGUGCCGCUGCUUGGUCUGGCUCCGGCUUCGCAUCGUUUUUCUCCACCUGAGGCUCAUCUUCUUCGUCAUCUCUUCUCUUUAGUGGAUCAUUCUCUAGGUCGGGUUUAUCGAUGUCCUGUGGCUCCAGUCGGCUAACGAGUGCAGCAAUUUGCAAGUCUUUUUCUUCCACAAUCUGUGUUAGCCUUGCAAUCGCUUCAUUCAUUUGAGCCAGUUGUUCUUCAACGGAGGUAACACCAAUAGUCAUAACUUGUGCGACCAAUAGACGUGACUUUCCUUUAGACAUUCAGGAUGCUAAUGAAGAACGUCGUUGGCUGCUUUGGGAUGUCAUCUUGUGUGCCUCAACAUCAUGCUUCGGUGCCCCCAGCGAGGUCAGGUUGAUGACAGACUCACACCUUGGAUGCUCCCCUUGCUCUUUUAGCGGCACCAAUUUUGAAGUGGCAUGUUGAGGAACAGUUGUGGCGCCAAUGAAUUGUCCGUUUGGGGCAGAAGUGCUUAGGAUCCUUCCCUCAGUGGUUGCAAGAACGGCUUGUCCCUUGCUUGAUGCCAUUGACUUUGAGGUGUGCUUGGAUUCCUUGAACGGAAAAAGAGAUGAGAGGUAGAGAUUGUCCCACUGGGCGUGCCAAUUUGUGAACACGGAAAAUUCCUGAAACGAAAGAGACAACAACGACGUGCACAAAUAAAAUAUUUGUAUUUUGAUGAUUUUGGGUUACAAUCUCUCUCUAUUUUGAUCAUCUGAUUCGAUCUCCGUAAGGUGUUGAUUGGUGGAUGUUUUGUUGAUCCAAGGGCCGUUGAUGCUUGAUCUUGGAUGAACUGUUGGAAGUUUCUUCAAAGGGCCGUGGGCUUGAUCUUUAAGGUGGAUUUGAGCGGAUCUUCAAGGAGCCGUUGGGACUUGAUCUUGAAGAACAGUGAUGAACGGAUCUUCAAGGGGUUUUGGGCUUGAUCUUGAAGAACAGUGAUGAACGGAUCUUCAAGGGCCGUUGGGGCUUGAUCUUGAAUUGGUGGAAGUUCUUCAAGGGCCGUUGGGGCUUGAUCUUGAAUUGGUGGAUGAUUGUUGAUCCAAAGGGCCGUUGGGGCUUGAUCUUAGGAUGAACGAUGAACAAUGAACGAAGAACGCUUUCUUGAUUCUUCGGGAACCUGGAUGCUUGAGAGCUUCGGAGUUUCAGAGCUUCAGGGCUUCAAGGUGUAAUCUCAAUUGGUCCCCCCCUUUGGAAUGAAAUAGCCUUCUAUUUAUAGAAAUUUCCAAGGCCUAAUUUUGAAUAUAAUAUUCCAGAUGAAAUAAGUCGUUUCUGCCAGGUGUUGACACGUGUCCUAUUUGAUGACUUUUCCAACUCAUUUCAAUUUUCGUUGAGUCACACGCUACGUGUAAAAUUUAUGUAAUACAUGAGCGUUGACACUUUGAUUUAUCGGUCAACAUUUAUUUACCAAAAUUUCGAUGUCUACAGUAUAUACCGAAAUAUAGUAUAUUAAAUUAAUGUACCUAAAAGUCAAUACUCAAAUGUGUGUACCAAAAUGUACGUACUGAAAUGCAUUAUAUUGAAUUAAUGUACCUAUAUGUUUGUAUCGAUGAAUAUACCGAAAUAUUCAAAUGCAUUAAUGUAUCUAAAUGAAGAACAUACAAAAUUGUUAUUAGAAUAUAUAUUAUAAAAAAAUUAGUUACCUAAAUGUAGACAUUAAAAUAUAUUACGAUGAAUGAAAUAAAAAUUAAAUUUAAAUGUAAUUAAUACAUCAAAAUAUAAAUAUAAAUAUAAAUAAAACAUCAAAAUAUAACUAAUAAAUGAGAUUAUUAAAUGUACUAGGGAUUAGAGCAUCUUCAAAGGAGAUGUCAAAAUUGCCACGUAGACAUACAACAGUAAAAAAUGGUAGCAAAGUCUCUCUAACCGAGCCUUCAAUUUCUUACGUGGAGCUGAAUCAUUUGAAGGCAAAGUAUUUUGCUGUCAAAUUUGACAGCAGAUGUCAAAUUCAUUAAAUGAUUUUUUUAAUAGAUUAAUAUAAUAUAUAAUAAAUGUUGUUAUGUUUUGGAAAUAUUUGAUUGGUUGCCUUAAUCAUUGGACUCCACAAAAAGAUAAAACAUUUAAUAAAUGUCAUUAUUAUUUAACAUAUCGGGUGAAGCAAAAUAUUGUACAAAAUAUCAAAUUGCCACACAAGCUAUCAAUUAUCAUUUGAUGUUUAAAAUUUGACAUCUCAUUUAGAGAUGCUCUUACAAAGCAGAUCACAUCCAAAAACAUUGAAAGAAGGAAAUCAUUUAAGUAAAUAAGCAAAUGUGCAUCCACAACCCAAUUAAAAAAAAAUGACGGAAACCACUUGCAUAGAAAGGAAUCCUAUGAGAAGAGAAUUAAACUUCUCCCUUGGCUUAAUGUCAGAUUCCGAUGAAUUAAUCGAAAUUUGUUGUUUCUCCAGCGGAUUUUGCUUCUUUUCUUGCCCUUGUUCUGCCCUGCAUGGUCAUUUUGAGGGAAAAUCGAGGUGGUAAAUGUGUUAGGGUUAUUGAUGCUUAGAUUUUGAUAUAAGAUUUGUCGAAAACGAUAACCAAAUGAAAAAGAUGUGAAGAUUUGAAGUUAGGGGAGCCAAAUGGAGAAGAAAAAAAUAAUCAAGAAUAGCAGCAGAGCUGCUAGUUUUACACGCAGUUCAAAUUUACCAAAAUCCCCUUUUAUUUAGAAAAUUCGUAACUUUCUCGUUCGAAUUUCAAACUCCAAUAUGUUUGCGUUUAUGCGUUCAUAGUAACACAUACUAUCUAGUGAAUAUAACAGAAAAUUAACCCUUAAUUUCAAAAAUGUUAUUUUUUGUAAAAACUUUCAAAUAUAUCCAAAAUUUCACUUAAAUAGACACACAUACCCUUAAAUUUAUCAAUCAAAUAAAUUAAAGGCUUUUUAGCCAUCAUCGCCUCAAGCACCGGUCCAACGUCACCUUGACUCCUACACUCCACCACCAUAACCUUAUCCCCUUCGACCUCCUCAUCAAUGACAAUGAGCAUUGCCGCAAUUAUCGCCAAUCAUGCCUUCAACGCCUUUUUUCUUCCCAGGACUCGAGUCUUAGCCCCCGUCGCUAAUUCAUUGACACACAAACUCUUUCCGUAUCUAUGACAAUCUCGUCUUUAAUUUUACGUUUUUAGUCAUUUUGAAUGUGUGAAUUGACGAAAAUGCCCUUAGAGGCGAGGGUGUUGACUUUUGUUGACCAGCAUAUUAUAAGAUGUAUGAAACAUUCUUUUAGCAUAUGAUCGUUGUCACAUCCCGCCCUGGGCCCCUACCACAUCCUGGGCUUGACUCCGCCGUACCACAACAUUGUUCGCUUUAGGCCCCGACCAUGCCCUCACGAUUUUGUUUCUGGGAACUCACACGAGAACUUCCUAAUAGGUCGCCCAUCCUGGGAUUGCUCUCGCGCGAACUCACUUAACUUUGGAGUCCCAAAAGGCCUCGUGCUAGGUAGAGAUGGGAAUAUACAUAUAAGGCUUACAAGAUCCACUCCCUGGGCGAUGUGGGAUGUUACAAUCCACUCCCCUUAGAGGCCCGACGUCCUCGUCGGCACACUUCCGGCCAGGGAUUGGCUCUGAUAUCGAAUUGUCACAUCCCGGGCUCGAAUCCGCCGUAGCACAAUAUUGUCCACUUUAGGCCCCGACCAUGCCCUCACGGUUUUGGUUCUGGGAACUCACACGAGAACUUCCUAGUAGGUCACCCAUCAUGGGAUUGCUCUCGCGUGAACUGGCUUAACUUCAGAGUUUCGAUGGAACCCGAAGCCAGUGAGCUCCCAAAAAGCCUCGUAUUAGGUAAAGAUGGGAAUAUACAUAUAAGGCUUAUAGGAUCCACUCCUCUGGGCGAUAUAGGAUGUUACAAUCAUAGUGCUCGUCACUAUGAACGCGAAGGCACAAGCAGAAUCGAAAUUUGAGUUACGAUGAAGAUUUUACAGAACUACUAAUAUGAAAAUACUUUUAAAAAAUUAUUAUUUUAUAUUUUAUAUCUUUAUUCAAAAUUUUAUAUUAUUAUAUCUUUAUUUUAAUUAUUUUUUAAAAGAUAUUUUAUUAAUUUAUUUUGUGGCCGUGGGGCCCACACCUCAACUUAUCCUCUCCCUCUUUUCCACAUGGGUCUCUCUCCCCCACAAUUAUGGGCUCUCUCUCUCCCUCGAAUCUCUCACACUCUAACUUUCUCAAAGUCUCUCAGUCGUAUCUCUCUUUCUCUGCAAAUUGAUCACCCAUCACCAUUGCACAUCGCCACUUCAGCGAGAUGGUCACCACGUAUCACCCCAACCACCGUGUCUCUUCCUCUCUCUCUUGUCACUUUCCUUUACCUCAACCUCUGUCUCCCUCACCUUCUCUGCGCUCGUGGUGUUAAGACACCGAGACCAUCACCAUUCCCAACGAAUCCCCGCCGUUCAUGACCUACGUAAGCUUUGGGGUUCCUUCUUUCUUUUCCUUUUUGAUGUUUAGGUCAAUUUCUAUGUCGGCAUGCUCGUUUUGGUGAGUUCGGAAUGCAGAAGCAACGAGGACAAAUUUUCCCCAGAUUUCGGUGAAAAUCCGACAGCUUUAGAGCUUUUUUCUGGCCAACUUCGACCACAACCAAGGAACCCAAUGGUAUAUUUCGAUUCCUUAUUCCUUGAGCUUCAAUUUGAUAUAUUGGGUUGCUAGUUUUAGUUGAGAUUUGAAGCUAAACAGAACCGGAGAAGUUCCCAACCAAAAUUCCUGUGUUCUUAUUCUUUGGGUUCGGCGGGUGCAACUCGUGUGCCCACCGGGUCGACCGAACCCAAUUUAAAAAAAAGGGCCUAAGCCCAAACCCGGCCCCAAUUAGACAACUGUUCCAGCUCGGCCGAGUUCUAAAAUGAGCUCAGAAUAUUCUAAGGAUAUUCUUUGUGUUGACUUUUGGGGAAAUUUAUCAAAAACCUCAUAGGCUAAUUUCAACGCCCUGAGUCCAUUUAGUGAAAUUCUAAAGUUGUAACGUAGUUGACCACUGUGGCGUCUUGGUUGACUUUUUAGAGUUGACCAUUAAGUUUUUCGUUGACUUUUUUCUAAAAUUUGUCAAGGACUCUCCUUAGCGUAUUUCGACGUCUUAAUUCCAAAUAAGCACUCCGUUUUCCAAAUUUAAUUGUCUAAGUGGAUUUAAGUAAUGGGUCCCAAUAUUAUGUUUAGGUGCAAUUACUAUCGAAGCCUCCAACUUCCUAACUUGAACGGAUGUGACAUCGCAAGUAACUAUGAGUGAGUCUUUUCUUUUAUAUAAUAUAUAUAUAUAUAUAUACUUGUUAGUAUCCAUUUAUACGUUUCAUAAAGAGUUUCUACAAUACGCCUAGAGUGACGUUUAUAAGUUUUAGCGCAUUGAUAGAAAUUAUGAAAUUAGGCUACAUCCUACAGGAUGUACGGGUAUGCGUAUUAUUAUUGAUGCCUAAAUUAUAUUUAUGGUCAUGAAUAGUAUUACGAUGACAUGAAUUAUCGAUUUACUGCUGUAUGAUUUUAUUUACGUUAUCUGCUCAUUGUUACUGCACUUGUGUUAGUACUCGCCCGGGCCAGAACCAGUCUUUCACGUGUAUGUGCACAUCGCACCGUAUGCUCACCUUGGAUCUAUCGUAGGUGCCAGUCCUGUCCUAGAUUGCUAUAAUCAAUUAGGACUCGUAUGUGCUACGCAUAGCGCCAAUCUUCACGUCCUGUUCAUGUCAAAAUACCUUUGCAUGAACUCGUGUGUUAGCAUAUGUCGAUGAGCACUCAAUAUGAUAUGUUUAUUUAUGCAAAAAUAUGUGAUUACGGACAUCAUGUGUUUACUUACAAAAUAUUGUGCCGUAUUGAAUUCUUGAGAUAUUGCAGCCUACGAUAAGUAUUUUCUUACUAUACGUAGUAUGUAUAUUUUGGAAACUAUACUUGUUUUACGAUGAGGGGUUAUUAUGUUUUCGAAAGGUUUUUACAAAGCUUUAUUUUUAGGACCACUCACCCUUGUUUUUCGCCCCUCUAGGUUUUAAUAGCUGAGCUUUUGUGUCGACGAGGAUUCUUGGCAAAUCUUGGUAUAGGUGGUUACCUUCGAUGGUAUAAUUCUCAUCCUACAUUACUGUACUUUACUUAUGCUCUGACAUCACGUGUGAAAUGAGUUCAUUUCCGCUCACAUGUGCACUCUUAUAUUUAGGCAAUUUUAGGUUUAAAUUUAUUAACAUAUUUCACCUCACUAUACUUUAUGGCUUCAUCACCCUUCUGGUGUCGGUUAGCACAACUCUAUUCGGAGUCCAGGUGGACAUUUUGGGUUGGGGUGUGUCAGUAUCACAUCAAUUCUCUAUAAUCAUCAAACCCAAAUGGAAAAGGAAGAUUUUAAGAGAGAACCACUCAGGGUGCGGAAAUUUGGAUUGGAAGGUGAAGGGUUUGGAUUGUGAGAGAAUAAAGGUAUAGGUAGGUUAGGGUUUAGGGUUUUUGGUUUGGGCAUGUCUAUUGGAUUUACCCACCAAAUGAAGAAGAUGACUUCUUCUUUUAAUUUUUUUUCGUACUAAUAUCAUUUUUAGUUUUAAAUAUAAAUAUAGUUUUUAAAGUUAAUUCACAUGUUGUUAUAUGAUUGUAUUUGUGAGACCCAAGUGGCGCCACAUCAUUGCACUAACAAAGCAAUUUGACAGAUUUUUCACAGAAAGACUCGGGGGAAAGACUAAAAUGAUUCACAACAGACAAAUUCAAGGACACUACUUUUGAUUUUCAUUGUUAAGGACCAAACUAAUGAGUCAUGUCAAUGUCACAAACCAUUUUGGUUAAAAAGUCUAUAAUUUAUUUGAUUGUUAAAUUUGAGGGUAUUUGCGCCUAUUUAAGUGAAAUUUUCAAUAUAUUUGAAAGUUUUCAUAAAAAGUGACAUUUUUUAAAUUAAAGGUUAAUUUUUUGUUAUAUUGCAUAAAUACUCGAUUAGGAUUGUGCCGUGGGCUGGGAGGUCGACGCCGCGGCGGCGGAAGGAACCCAGACCUAGAUUAUAGGUAAAACCGUAAAAGGUAUUAGACAUAUUUAUAGGCUGGUAUUUGUUCAAUUAAUCUAUGGGCUAGUAUUUGUUUAGUAAAUCUAUGGGCUGGUAUCUGUUUAAAUAAUAUAUGGGCUGGUGUUUGUUUAAUUAAAACAUGGGCUGGUGUUUCAAUAUGACUUGGAUUUAAGGUAAAAUUAUUAGAAAAUUUUCUAUCAAAAUAUGGGAAGUGUUAUUGGCACUCUAAAAUCUCAUUCUACACUUCUCAUAAAUAUAUUUUUUCUUCCUAAUAUAGAAAAUUUGAAGUAUAAAAUGAAAUUUUUGGAGUGUUAAUAACAAUUUCCUAAAAUAUUUGAUGGUCAUUACUUUUACCUAAUGUGAAGACGCAGAAGAUAAACAUUGAAUAAAAAAAGGGGAAGAUAAGAUUCUUAAAAAAAAAAGUUGGAUAAAUUAUCAUCCAAGCUUAUGAUAUUUUUAGUCAUUUCCAUAUGGGCUUGUUUGACGGGGUGAAAUAGAUUCGUACUUAGAGAUAAGAUUAGAAUAGCAGGAAUUUGAAAGAUAAAAAUUUAUAACUCAUGUAUAAAGAUAGGUUAGAUAACGCACUGAAUUCAUAACUCAUUAUAUCGUGUCCAUCUUACAUUUUGACACAGCAAACAAUGAACUGUGCUAAUUUUCUUUUUACUUAUUUGUUAUUAAAUUUUAUAGAACCCACAUGUGUGUCACAUUAACAUAUUAACAAAAGUUUUGACGAAAAUAUUACAGUAUAAUUGAUUUGCAGCACUCAAUUCAAAAGCAACAUUGAUCGAAUUUUACUUUCAAAACCACCUUAAUUAGUGCGUCAAUUUCUGUACUAUUUGUGUUAAACGACACUUUUUAAAGAAAUCUACUACUUUGAACGUGUGGUAUGUUGAUUUGAACGAACGGUAAGACCAAAACAUGUAGCCAGAAAAUUCGGUGUCUCGCCUUCCCAACUCAUUCGACCUAUAUAUGUGUGCGGAAACAAACAGAGUCGAAAACAAACAACGCACGCAACAUUCUCAGUUUCUCAUCAAACUACAUUAUUUUACAUUCUCUCUGUAAACCGUUGGAAUUUCGGUAGUUCUUUUCAUUACCCAAGAACAGAUUAGGAAAUUGAAUUAAGUUUUGAGUGUUUCCGUAAUUAUGUCUCUGGCUUCAGUCGGAAUGGGUGCUCUGGGAACGUCAUUUCAAAUGCUGUUUGAUGCUGUAAAAUCAGUGCAGGAGGAGAAUACAAUGUUCCAACACCUCCUCGGAGACAUCAAAUCCACACUGAACUCUCUACAACCACUCAUCAAAGACAUCGAAAAGUAUAACUCCAAGGAGGGACUGGAAAAUUAUGCAAUACAGAUGGAGGAAGGAGCAAAGCUUGUUCAGAAGUGCAGCAAAGUAGGCGUGUGGAGAAAACACACAUACACCAAGAAGCUUAGUCAACUGGACAAAUCUCUCCGAAGAGUGUUUGAUGUGCUUAAACGGCAGGGUAUGAGGGAUGCGAGGGAGACGUUAGUUUCUUUGAGGAGUAUCCAGACGGUGCUCUCUCGAAUAGAAGAGAGUUUGAAGAUGAAAAAUAAUCAGCCUGAAAUGGUUAAAUGUUCGUCUGCGGUGCCUGAAGCGCCAUCAGUUACAGUCGGGUUAGAUUUACCGUUGAAGGAGUUGAAGAUGAAGCUCCUUAAGGAUGAACAGGUGUCUAUGCUUGUGCUGACUGCUGCUGGAGGAUGCGGGAAAACCACCUUGGCUAAAAUGUUUUGUCAAGAUCAAGAAGUCAAAGGUAUGCUAAUUAAAAAGUAAUACACCGUGUAGAGGAUUAUGCAAGUAGAACUACGCGCUAGGGCCUAUAAAAUGUCCGCUAUACUCCCUCCAAACAUACACAGUAACCAAAAUUUGUUAAAAGAAAAACAACGAAGGGGACAUGAAACUAAAGCGCACGAAAGGAAUAUAAGAAAGAUUAGAAAGACCUAAAUGGGCAUGCCCAACAUAUAACAAGUGGUAGUGAUAUGAACUUGACAUGAUUUUCUUUGUACUAAAUGUAAGUUAAGCUGAUGCCUUCCUCUUAGAGUUAACAAGUCUUGCACUGAGCUACCGCUUGAUUACUUACUUGAUCUCAGAAUUGCAGACAUAUCUUGUCAACCUUAUAUUAACACCUUUCCUACAUUCUGUUUGGUUAGAUACAUUCAAGAACAACAUCUUCUUUGUCAAUGUCUCGAAAAAGCCCAACUUGGACCUUAUUGUACAUGAACUAUAUCAACGGAAGGGGUUCGAGCUGCCUGCUUUCGAAAACGAAGUCAUGGCAGCUAACUGGUUGCAACAAUUUCUGAAGGAAUCAAGACAAAAUCCUCUACUGUUUGUCCUGGAUGAUGUUUGGUCAGGAUCAGAGUCCCUUCUUGAGAAGUUUGAUCAAUUCAAGUUUUCAAAUUGCAAGAUUUUGGUCACUUCAAGAUUUGCAUUUCCAAGAUUCGGUUCUCCUUAUCAUUUGGCACCAUUGAAUGAUGAAGAUGCAAUGGCUCUUUUUCAGUAUUCUGCAUCCUCGGAGGAUAAGAGCUCUUAUACUUAUGAAGAUCCUUCGAGAAAGGUGAUUUCUUAGUCCACAACACACACACACACACACAUAUAUAUAUAUGCUUAUUUAUGCCUCAGAAGAGGGUAAAGAAAUAACGUUUGAGCAUCCACACACGUUAAUGAACUGUGAAGAAUGAAGUAAGAAGAAUGAAAGAGUAGACAGUUUACAAUUUUAUCAUCUUUAUGAAUCCAUUUAGAUGAUUUUCAAGAAUUUAAUCAAAUAAUAGUAAUUGAAUUCUUUUUGGAUAAUUAAAUUGCAGAUUAUCAAGCGCUGUAAGGGAUGCCCACUUGCCAUUGCAUUGGUCGGGAGAUCACUUCGCGGCCAGCCUAUAGAAAUCUGGCACAAAAGAGUAGUGGAAUGGUGCAAAGGUUCAUCUAUUCUUGAUUCUGACAAGGAUUUACUUGCUUGCCUCCAAAGCAGCUUAGAUGCCUUGGAUAAAGAGAAGGCUAUCAUCAAGGAAUGUUUCCUCGAUCUAGGUUCUUUUCCGGAGGACCAAAGAAUUGCUGCUGCCACCCUCAUUGAUAUGUGGGCGGAGUUAUAUGGUCUAGAUGAAGAAAUUCUGACCAUUGCCAACCUUCACGAGCUCACCACCCGAAGUUUAGCUAAUCUUGUUGUCACAAGGUAUGCAGGCUGCUCAUAAUUUUUUCUAUUUCAUUAUGUAUGCCGAACAAAUCAUUAAAUAAAUUAGUAUUGAUCAUCCAGACAUGAGGGGGAGACAGAUGGCUAUUACGCUGAACACUUUGUCACCCUGCACGGCAUGCUUAGAGAGUUGGCGAUCCAUCAGGCGAGUCAAGACCCAAUAGAACAUAGGAAACGACUAUUUUUAAAUAUCUGUGGGAACAAACUUCCUAAGUGGUUGACAGAACAAAAGUAUCAAGCGAUCAAGGCUGGGCUAUUAUCUAUCUCAACAGGUUCAAUCAAUCUCUCUUUAGUAAAUACUUAUACGCUCGGGACACACGUGUGCACACACACCCAUGCUCUUUCUUACUAAGACUUCAAUCGGACUUCGACACAUUUAAGUUCAACCCACGCUAACAUCUUAAAGCUUAUUGUUUGCAGAUGGAGCCUUCUCAGCAAAAUGGCCAAACAUGCAAGUACCCGAAGCAGAGGUUCUAGUUCUGAAUUUUCAAACAAAGAACUAUGCCUUACCUGAGUUUGUGGAGAAAAUGGAUAAACUAAAGGUUCUAAUACUAAAUAAUUACGGUAUGUUACCUGCUGAACUAGAUAAUUUUGAACUACUUGGUUCGCUAUCAAAUCUUAAGAGAAUUAGAUUAGAACGUAUUUCAAUUCCUCCCAUAAGCAAGGUCCUUAAACAGUUGAAAAGCUUGCAAAAGAUCUCUCUGUUCAUGUGUGAUAUCGGCCAAGGUUUCGUCAAAAAUUUAGAUGCACUGCCAAAUCUAGUGGAAUUGAACAUUGAUUAUUGCCAUGAUCUGGUGCAACUUCCUCCCAACCUUUGUGACCUUGUUCACCUUAAGAAGCUUAGCAUCACCAACUGUCAUAAGCUUUCUGCCUUGCCUGCAGACAUCGGAAAGCUAGUCAAUCUUGAAGUGUUGAGGCUUAGGUCAUGUGCAGAUUUGUUAGAGUUGCCAGGCUCGAUUAGGAACCUUAAAGUUUUAAAAUUUCUCGACAUAUCUGAUUGCUUUAGCGUAAAGGAGUUGCCAGAGGACAUUGGUGCAAUGUGCAGCAUGGAAAAGAUCAACGUGAGCCAGUGUUCUAGACUGAAAGGGCUGCCUGCUUCUGUUAUGGAUCUUGAGCAGUUGAACGAAGUGAUAUGCGACGAGGAGACGAAAACUUUAUGGGAACCCUUCUUGCCAAUUCUCACAAACAUGCGCAUUAAGGUGAUCAAAGAAGAUAUCAACCUAAAUUGGCUCAACAAGCUUCCACCCUAAGGCUAUGGCCCUUCCAUCAAUGAGUGUUGGUGCAAUGUAUGCAGUAUGAUUGUGUAUAAUGUUAUUUUUCCUUUGUAAUUUACUUCUAUUUUAUGUUUUAUGUGUUUUUAAAUAACCUGGCAGCACUGUAAAUUAUUGUAAGGCCAAAUUGAAUAAAUGAUCCCUAUGGUUAUAAGGUAUUUGGAAGAUAACCUCUGUGCUUAAAAAUCUUAGAUUUAAACCCCUAUGGUGUACUCCAUGAAAAACUUUAGUCCAAAAGUGAUUUUUCCGUUAACUAUAUGUUAAUAUAUGGGUAAAAUUGUACUUUGACAUGUGCACUCUUCCUCGUCUCUCUGCUCUCUCUUCAACACAUCCCCCACCAGUACCUCUUGAAGCAGGUUACUGAAACGCUGCUCCUUCACGUCAACCGGCAAUAAAUCAUCAAUCUCUUUCUCAAUAUCAAAUACUGUCUCAUCAACUGGUGCAUCCAUAUAACUUCCCAUACUUGAAGCUGCCUGGAUGGUUGAUUCUUUUAAUUCAUUUAGUCCCUACAAUACAAAUGUGUUUCAAUUAAAGCACGAUGAUCACCUGGUAAUUAUUAUUGUUGAUGCACAAAACUGGAGGGGUCUUGGAAUAACGUAAAUCCGACCGUGAAUCUGCAAGAAAGUAAAGAACAUAAGAUGUAUCGUGGUUCACCCCAAUUUUUGGGCUACAUCCGCACUGAUGUUGAUAUUGUUUCACUCUGAAUGAUGAAUAUACAAGAAGGCUAGAGCCAGUGUGCUGUCUAGCCUAUUUUCUCUCUUCCCUUGGCCUGAAACUUGACCUCCCUCAAUGAAGAGAGUGAGGAGUCCUUUUAUAGAAUAAGGGCUCCUCACUUAUUACAUAUUUGCCCCUUCAUUUAUUACAUAAUUACAUUUGAGUCCCCCGAGUAUUUAUACAAGAUCUAAAUACAGAGGCCCUAAGUAUGGUACAAACAAUAGUCUCCCAAGUCUUCAGUCAAGAGAGUCUUUUGGCUGGAGACUUGAAAUUCAGUCCAUGUGUGGGCCGAAGUAACUAGAUGUCGUCUAGAACUGAAUACUCGAUAUGAGGCGGUGCUCAAUAUGAAAUGAUACUCAACUAGAAGUAGCACAUGUUGCGAGGCUGCUCGACUUGUGGCUUAUAUUGCCUUGGUUGGCUCAGCUUGUGGCGUUGAAUGUGAAGGAGUCCCUUUUAUAUAAUAAGGGCUCGCUCCUCAAUACAUAAGUGAUGGGUUAGGAGUGAUGCUCGUGGCGAGGCGGUUGCUUAGCAGGCGGCGAUGUUCUCUAAUGAUGGUGAAGGAGUCCCUUUUAUAGAAUAAGGGCUCGCUCCUCAAUACAUAAAUGAUGGGGUAGAGUUGAUGCUCGCGACGAGGCGAUUGCUCAGCAGGCGGCGAUGCUCUCUAAUGAUGGUGAGGGAGUCCCUUUUAUAGAAUAAGGGCUCGCUCCUUAAUACAUAAAUGAUGGGUUAGAGUUGAUGCUCGCGGCGAGGCGAUUGCUCAGCAGGUGACGAUGCUCUCUAAUGAUGGUGAGGGGGUCCCUUUUAUAGAAUAAGGGUUCGCUCCUCAAUACAUAAGUGAUGGGCCAAGAGUGAUGCUUACGGCGAAGCGGUUGCUCAGUUGGCGGCGAUACUCUCUAAUGAAGGUGAGGGAGUCCUUUUUAUAGAAUAAGGUUUCGUUCCUCAAUAUAUAAAUAAUGGGCUAAGUCCCCCAAGUGUUUUUCAUGAGGCCCAGUUGCGGAAGCCCAAUAUAUGGUACAUAGUGUAGUCUCCCAAGUCUUCAGUCAAUAGAGUCUGUUGGUUGGAGACUUCAAAUUCAAUCCAUGUAUGGGUCGAAGUGGCGGUUGUUCGGAGGCGGUCUUUGUAUACCAUGCACUGAAGCUUUGUAGGUGAAGCUUUGAAGCUAGAGCUUUUGUAAAUGAAGCUUUGAAGUCAGAGCUUUGUAAAUGAAGCUUUUGAAACUGAAGCUCUUGUAAAUGAAGCUUUCGAAGCUAGAGUUCUUGUAAAUGAAGCUUUCGAAGCUGGAGCUCUCGAAGCUGGAGCUCUGUAAAUGAAGCUUUCGAAACUGAUUGACAUAAGUGAUGCUCAUGAAUGUUUAUGUUGAUUGACAUGAGUGAUGCUCAUGGAUGUUGACAUGAGUGAUGCUCAUGAAUGUUGACAUGAGUGAUGUUCAUGAAUGUUUAUGUAUGAUUGACAUGAGUGAUGCUCAUGAAUGUUUAUGCAUGAUUGACAUGAGUGAUGCUCAUGUAUAAUUUUGGAGUACUGGACGUACUUUUGAUCACCUGAUUGGUGAUAAUAGUGGCAGGCUGUUGAAUAAUUUUGGAGUACUGAACGUACUUUUGAUCACCUGGUUGGUGAUAAUAGAGGGUGAACCUAAAGUGGAGGGAUAGAGGUUGGAGUUUGAAGCCAUAGGGCCUGGCUCUUUUGGGCAUAUGGGCCUUCGCCCUUCACAUAACAUUCCAGCCUACUAUCAUUUUGCCCUUUUUUUUUUGGCAUGCUGCCUUCUUUCUUUAUUUAUGAUUACCCUCUGGUGGGGUUAUACAGAUGUCUCCAAAAGAUAAGAAAAAGUAAAUCACAUCAUUAAAAAAAAACUGUUGUGCUGGGACUUGGCAACAACGAGAUUUCUCCCUUCACAUCAACCUCAGUGGUCUAGCUAUUGGAGGAAACCUUCACGUGGAGGCAGGUUUGGUCCGCAGGCAUGAUCUCUCAUACUUUGAUAGUACAAUCCCGUGGCUUUUUCAGAAAAUGGGGGGAACAUGCACUCCCCUUCAUGAUGAAAGUUUCAUCUUUUUCAACAUGUUGAUGGGCAUCUUCUGGUCCAACAUGAAGUGGAGACGGGGGACCUUGGUGGGCAUCUUCUUAUCUUAAUCAUGUUAUCCUGUGGGAUAGUGGAAUAGUGGAACAUAAUAAAUAAAAGAGGUAUUUAUCAAUUUCCCCCCUGAACUUGUGAUUAUUGGCCAAUUUCCCCCCUCAACUCUCAUAAUUAGACAAUUUCCCCCCUUAACUUUAAUUUGGCCAAUUUCCCCCCUCAACUCUCAUAAUUAGUCAAUUUGCACCCUACUGUUAAUUUUUUAAUUUGAUCAUAAUUAAACAAGUGUGUGUAAGAAACUAAAUAAGAUGUAUGUUAAUCAUUUUCCUAAGUCUUUAUCCUAUUACAAAUAGAUUAAAAUUUAGAAUUUUACAAUUUAUCAUAGAUAGUAUUAUUAGUCAUAAUAAAUCAGUAUGGAGUAAUUUUAUUUGAUUUUUUACUAUACAAAAUUGAUAACGAAACGGAUUGAUGUGUACAUUUUUGUAUGUGAAUACAAUUUUCUUUAUAAAAGUGAGAGCUAAGUUCAAGUAAAUUGCGGAGAAUCGAGCUUUAGUGCAAAAAUGGCUAAUCAAUUCAUAAUUUUCGACUCCUUAUUAAGAAUAACCCAUUUUAUUGAAAUAGGUCGGAUCCAUGAGUUUAGGAUUAUUAUUUCUUCUUCUACAUGCUUUAAACCCGAUUCAUAACUUUUUCUUAUAAUCAACCCAUAUCACAUACUAAUUGUAUUAUGUUUUUGUACAUUUUACCCUAUAUUAUGCAGGUGAGUUUAUGUUAAUUUUAGUACUUUGUUGGAAGUUAUUAGAAAGAUUGAAAGAAAACAAAAAGAAUAGAUGAAAAAUUAAAAAAAUUAACAGUAGGGUGCAAAUUGACUAAUUAUGAUAGUUGAGGGGGGAAAUUGGUCAAAUUAAAGUUGAGGGGGGGAAUUGACUAAUUAUGAGAGUUGAGGGGGGAAAUUGGCCAAAAUUAAAGUUGAGGGGGGGAAUCGGCCAAUGGUCGCAAGUUUAGGGGGGGAAUUGAUAAAUACCUCUAAAUAAAAUAAAGCAUUCGUUGGGGACCACCAUCAUAGGGACCCGAACUCUCGAAUUCCAGAUUGUCGCACGCACUUUUGCUUUAUUCGUCGGUGUUCGUACCAUUGGUCCCAGUUGCCCUCCAUUUUUUGUAGGGGAAACAUAACUUCCACCAUUGUUUUCCUCCUCUGUUCAAAAACAGAUGGCGCAAAAUGUCUGUCUUUCUUGACACUUUUUGAAGCUGCUGCACCAACAGCUGAAUGAGUAUUUGGCAUUACCCUAAUAAAUUGGCUAUGACCUGCCCAUUCCUGCAGAUCUUUCAAUUUGAUACCAGCAUCAAUUGAAACAAGCAACUUCUUCCUGGAAAGCAGCGGCCUCAACUGCAAAACUACAUCUUUAACAACUUGAGGUUUGACCAAGAAAAUGACAACGUCAUUCUCUUCCACCACGUCGUCGUUUUUGGAGAUGAGAUGGACUCAAGAGGACUCGAAGGCUUGGCGUCGACUGGCGUCAGGGUGGAAGAUAGCGAUGCGAUUGGGAGGGAGAACGCCCGAUCAGAUGAUUCAUCUGGCGAUGCUCUCGGUCAUUUUACCAGCUCCGACAAACCCUAGCUUUUAUGUUUCCGUCGGGAUGGGUACCGCCUCCAUGGCUGCAAUGCGACGUCGUAUCGUUGCUAAGUCUUCUGAUUCAGUUUGCUUAGAUUGGGGAUUUAGGGUUACGGAAGAGAGAGGAGAAGCGGGGGUUUAUCAUUCGAUAAGCCUGUGAGCGUCUUUGGGGGAGAGCUUAGGGGCGAAGGCAGGAUCCGUGUCCAGGACGAUGCCGUUCUCGUCCAGCUUUCGCUUCUUGGUUGAGUCCAUUGGCAGAAGAGCAAGUUUAAACCCUAACCCUUGGGAAGAGAAACAGAGAGUCUAGAGAGAGAGAGCGAGUUGGGAUUUUUUUUGUUUACUAGCAGAGAGAGACCAGGCUCUUCUUGUUUGUGGUCAUGUGGAAUGUAGAGGUAGAAUGGUCGGAGUUUGGGGUUUGGUUUUCUUGGGUUUUUUGCAGAUUCACGGUGGAUAUUGUGGUGAGGUUUCACGGUGGUGAGAUGAAAAAAUGAAAGAGAACCGACAUAGCUUUUUGUGUCGAUUCCCACAGACGGCACUAAAUGUUGAUGCACAAAACCGGAGGGGUCUUGGAACAACGUAAAUUCGACCGUGAAUCUGCAAGAAAGUAAAGAACACAAGAUGUAUCGUGGUUCACCCCAAUGUUUGGGCUACGUCCACACUGAUGUUGAUAUUGUUUCACUCUGAAGGGUGAAUAUACAAGAAGGCUAGAGGCAGUGUGCUCUCUAGCCUAUUUUCUUUCUUCCCUUGGCCUGAAACUUAACUUCCCUCAAUGAGGAGAGUGAGGAGUCAUUUUAUAGAAUAAGGGCUCCUCACUUAUUACAUAUUUACCCCUUCAUUUAUUACAUAAUUACAUUUGAGUCCCAUGAGUAUUUAUAUGAGAUCUAAACACGGAGGACCUAAAUAUGGUACAAACAGUAGUCCCCCACCAUCAUUAGAGAGAGACUCUUAGCCCAUGAAAAAUACUUGAAGGACUUAGCCUAUUACUUAUGUACUGUGGAGCAAAGCCUUAUUUUAUAAAAGGGACUCCCUCACCUUCAUUAGAGAGAGACUCUUAGCCCAUCACUUAUGUAUUGAGGAGCGAACCCUUAUUCUAUAAAAGGGACUACCUCACCUUCAUUAGAGAGCAUUGUCGCCAACUGAGCAACCGCCUCGCCGCCAGCUGAGCAACCGCCUCGCCGCCAGCAUCACUCCUAACCCAUCACUUAUGUAUUGAAGAGCGAGCCUUUAUUCUAUAAAAGGGACUCCCUCACCAUCAUUAGAGAGCAUCGCCACCUAGCAACUGCCUCGCCACCUAGCAACUGCCUCGCCACGAGCAUCAACUCUAGCCCAUCAUUUAUGUAUUGAGAAGCGAGCCCUUAUUCUAUAAAAAGGACUCCCUCACCUUCAUUAGAGAGCAUCGCCGCCAGCUGAGCAACCUCCUCGCCGCAAGCAUCACUCCUAACCCAUCACUUAUGUAUUGAGGAGCGAGCCCUUAUUCUAUAAAAAGGACUCCAUCACCAUCAUUAGAGAGUAUUGCCGCCUGCUGAGCAACCACCUCGCUGCGAGCAUAAACUCUAGCCCAUCAUUUAUGUAUUGAGGAGCGAGCCCUUAUUCUAUAAAAGGGACUCCCUCACCUUCAAAGCCACAAGCCGAGCCAACCAAGGCAACAUAAGCCACAAGCCGAGCAGCAUUGCAACAUGUGCUACUUCUACUUAAGCAUCAUUUCACAUUGAGCACCGCCUCAUAUCGAGUAUCAGUUCUAGACGACAUCUAGUUACUUCGGCCCACACAUGGACUGAAAUUCAAGUCUCCAGCCAAAAGACUCACUUGACUGAGGACUUGGGGGACUACUGUUUGUACCAUACUUAGGGCCUCCGAAUUUAGAUCUCGUAUAAAUACUCGGGGGACUUAAAUGUAAUUAUGUAAUAAAUGAAAGGGAAAAUAUAUAAUAAGUAAGGAGCCCUUAUUCUAUAAAAUGACUUCUCACUCUCCUUAUUAGGAGAGGUCAAAAUUUCAGACCAUGGGAAGAGAGAAAAUAGGCUAGAGAGCAUACUGCCUCUAGCCUUCUUGUAUAUUCACCAUUCAGAGUGAAACAAUAUCAACAUCAGUGUGGACGUAGCCCAAACAUUGAGGUAAACCACGAUACAUCUUGUGUUCUUUACUUUCUUGCAGACUGACGGUUGGAUUUACGUUGUUCCAAGACCCCUUCGGUUUUGUGCAUCAACAAAUAUCAUCAAAUCUUCUAAACUACGGCCUUCUUGCCAUUGCAAAUCAAAGCCACAUGUUUAAUAUAUCAAAAAAUUUGAAAAUUAAAAUAUAUAUUCUUGUCAUACUCGAGAUGAGGCCUCCUGGUAAACCAAAGGCGUCUGCAUUUGUCGAUAGGCAUCUUGCAUAUUUCCAUACAGUUAGAUAAAGAAAAGGUUUUGUGUGAUUACCUGUUAUUUAAGAGUAGCCAAACUCUUUGUAUGCAUUGGACACUGUGGGAUGACUCCAUUUCAUGGAGGAAUUCCAAGCAGACCACACAUUAAAGUAUGCCAUGAAAAGCUCCAAUGAUAUAGAGGACUGGAACAUUGAGCAUGUCCUGUGAGAGGCCAGUCUUUCAAGCCUUUCAAUUCUUGUUGUUCGUAGAAAACAACGAGAGGCCAGUCUUGAAGCUUCCUGCCGAUCUCAAUGACGGCUUUCUUAGAAUUGGUUUGUGAAAAUUCAAAUUACAGAGAGAGUAGAGAAACAAGGAAGAGUGUACAUGUCAAAGUCCAAUUUUAUCCAUGUAUUAACAGAUAGUUAACGGAAAAAUCACUUUUGGGCUAAAUUUGGUAACGGAGUACAUCACAUGGGUUUAAAUCUGAGUUUUUUUAGCACAUGGGCUAUUUUCCGAAUACCUUAUGACCAUAGGGAUCAUUUAUCCGAUUUGGCCUUAUUGUAAUUAUUCACCAUGGCUAUUAUUGUAAAUAACAUGUUUGCACUCCUCAUUGUGCAACUCUUUUAUUGAUUCUCUUUGAUUUAUCCAAUCAAUGGGUGUUUGUAGGGGUGGGUUCAAAAAACCGAAAACCAAAAAAAAAUCGAGAACCGAACCGGACCGAGGCCGAAAAAACCGAAUCGAAAAAAACCGAACCGAAAACUAUCAAACCGAACCAAACCGAUAUAUAUAUAUAUUUAAUUAUUUUUUAUAAUAUUUUAAUUAUAAAAAUCAUAAAAAUAAAAAAAAAUAUCUAAAACCUAGAGGCUUGAGGGUUCGAACCCAAGCCUUUCAGGUUGAAAGGUUUCACUAAAACUAACCUGGCAACGGGUCUUGUUUUGUUAUGAUUGUAAGAUUAAAGUAUUUAUAAAGAUUGAAACCUAUAGUCUUUUGUGAAAUUAGAAAUCAAUAAAACCCUAGCCACUAGUGGUAGCAGCCAUACCUUUUUUAUUUUUCAUUCCCCUCUUCUCCUUUUCGCCCCUCCAUGUCCAUGCCUCCAAUUUCUCCAUUAUUUUCUCUCCGUUUCUCGAUCUUCUCACUCCUGGGUAAGAUCUCUAACCUCUCUUGUUUAUUUAGUUGAUUUAUGGUUUUUUUUUUUUGGAGUAAAGUCCAUGGAGGGAAUCUAAAAUUUUGGUGAUUGUUAUGGUUCGUAUUGCAGAUUUGUUUGAUUUUUGUGUUGUGAGAGUCUCACCCAUUUUUUUCCUUUUGUUUUUUUUUCUCCCCUGGUAUCAUUAUUUGAUUGGUUUUCCUCUUUUUUUGCCUCAGCUGCAGCAAGGGCAGUGACAGCACCACCACCACAACCAGUUGCAGCAACUGCAAUAGCACCACCUCCACCAGCUGUGGUGGUCUUGCCGCCCAACACAGCCAAUAAGUAUGCAGCGACCACUUUCAUCUCUGCUUGAGAUGGCUUUGGAUCUGCGGAGUGUGGAGAGAAAGGGUAAAUUUGCAGCCGAAUGCGGAAAAAAAGUACUUUAAGCUCCAGAUAUUAAAAAAAAUGCAUGAAAAAACCGAAAAAAAAAAUCGAAACCGAACCGUUUAGAACCGAACCCAGCCCUAGGUGUUUGUGCAAUGUAUGCCGGGAUAAGUGCAUGGAAAGAAAAUAAGAGUUCAAAAAUAACAACCCUUUGAUUUAUCCAAUUAAUGAGUGUUGGUGCAAAAUGUAUUAACUUUUGGUUGUUUCUCCACUCUCUCUCUUGCUACACCUCUUUAUCCCCUUCAGUUAAAUAUGCCAUAACAUUACUGUUUUAUUUAAGGGUAAUUUAAAUUAGUAGAUAAAAUUUUGCAAACUAAGUGACAUGGAAAUUGAUAAUUGGAAUAUGACUUAAACGUAGAUAAAUGUGCUUAAUCCUAUUGGUAACAUAUCAUUUAGUUUGCAAAUUUUGUCCUCUUAACAUUACUCAUAUUUUAAAUUAUUUAUUCAAGAGCACAACAUUUUUUUUACUAUUUUAUUUUCAACUAUAUAUGCUACAACACAAAAUUUUAAAAGCAGUGCAAUACCAAAUCAUAUGCACUAGAAAAUUCUGUAUCUUCUCGCCUCCUAAUGGCGCGUCAAAUGUCUUACCCGACUCAUUCGUUUUCUUUGGGUGAAAUUCAUUGCUCUUCGUUAAGUUGUAUAUAUGUGUGCUGAAACCAACAGACAGCUUACAUCACAUUCUUACUUUCUCAUCAAACUAAAUUAACAAAGAGGAUUAAGGGUUAGUUUGGGAUUGUUGUGUUUUGUUGAUGCACAAAAUCAGUGAGGACUUUGGUACAACAGAAAGUGUCAAGUUUGUGACCUUCGUUAGAUUGCUCCAGUCACUAGUGUGGAUAAGUAUGUAAAUGAAUAGAGGCAAGGAAGCAAGUAUAAGGUGUACGUGGUUCACCUAGAUUGGCUACGUCCAAGGAGUCGAGGAGUUCUCAUUAAUUGUGAAGGGUUUACACAAGUAUAUAGGUUCAAGCUCUCCUUUAAUGAGUACUAGUGAAUGAUUUAAUACAAAUGACAUUAGGGAUUAUUGUGGGAGAAUGAUCUCCUUUUAUAAAAGAGAGUUUCUAGCUUUGUUAUGGCUUUGACACGUGUCAUGCUAUGAUUGACCUUUGAUGUUGACAUGUGUCUCCUGUGAUUGGCCUCUUGGUGUUGACACGUGUUACGUUGUGAUUGGCCUUCUGGUUGAAGGGAAACUCUUCUGGGUCCUUGACGGUAUAACGCUGACCGGUGCUUAGUAGUUUCGGGAUUGGGGUCAAGUAUGGUACAAACAGUGCUCCCCUAAGUUCUCGAGUGAGGGAAGCUCCUCGGUUGGGGACUUGUAAGAUCCAAGCCGCUGAGUAAUCACGAAACUUCUAAGUACCGAAGUGUGGUAUUGUUUUCACUUGCCUUAUCUGUCUCAUAGGUAGAUGUGGCAUCUUCUCUGGAAGUACUUUUCCUCUAUCUAGUGGUGGUAUCUUUAACCGAUGGACAUGCAUAAGGUAAUGUAUCAAUUUCACUUGAAGCUUACUUGUAGUUUUGGGCUUGGACAAGCGCAAUACAAACCCUAUAGUAGGAGUCCCCCAAGUCUUUGAGCGAGGAGAUCUGCUGAAAGAGGUGACAGACAAAGUAAGCAAUCAGAGUUCCAAGCAGUCAGUCUUAGAUCAAAAGUUUGAUCUCAUGUUCCGGCUGAUUGUUCUCCUUCUUCUUAUUCUGUAGACAUCAACAAGGACAAAGAAAAUGACAUGGAGAAGAGAUGAUAUAAGAUACUUUUGCUUUUGAAGAAGUAACUUUCCACAUGCUUAUUCUUGAACUGGGCUGGAGGGUUUUCUGGUUUCCUCUAGAGUAUAAGGCUAACUUAAGAAUUUGAGGGUCAAAACAAGUCCAUCAAAUCAAGAGUGCGUUCGACCUUGAUGUUAUGGGAUACUUUUGUUGUUGACAAAGUAAUAGAUAAAUCGACACAUGUUCUGUUGCACUUGUCUCCACAUACUUCCUUGUAUCCUUCUCACUUACCCUAUCUGUUCCUCAGGCAGAUGUGGUAUCUUUUCUGGAAGCACAAGAUGUUGAAGAUGAAUACUCGAGAGAAAUGCCAGGUAAGUAAUCAGGCAAGGGGUUCCAGGCAGUCAGUUCAUGACUGGAAGCUUAAUUCCAAGUGCUGACUGAUUGCUCUCUUUCUCAUUGUCUUGCAGGUAAGAACAAGGGCAAAGGAAAAGACAGGGAAAAAGAAUGAUAUGGGAUACUCUUGCUUUAACCCCGAUGAUAUGAGAUACUCUUGCUCUGGUGUGGCUUGUUUGCAGAGGUAUUAUCGGGGGAAAGAAAGUUGAGUAUUUCGAGAGGCUUCGUUGGAAGUGCCCUCUUAGAUAUGAGGAAGGGUUGAGCAUUUUUGCAGGUCUGACUGUCCGUGAAGGAUGGAGGUAGCCAUAUAUAGGAGUUUCCCCAACAAGUAGUAAUGUUAUUCCUUUACCCUUCUUGGUCAUAGCAAUGUAGUGGGAGCUGCAAGCUUCACGUGUUUUAACUUUGUCAGCACUUUGAAAAAGUGGUCCAUGGUGUCUGGAGAGCUGAUAUUGCGUGUGAAGAUUGCAGACAAGCUUUAUCCAAGGAAAUCUGGCUCUUGAAGCUCAAAGAGUGGUGCCUUUUCAGUUUUCGGGAAAGAAGAUAUGUUAAAGAUUUGGCUCUCGAAAUUUGGAGAGCGUUGCCUCUUCGAUUUUUCAACAAGCAAUCCUAUUGGGAGUCUGGCUUUAAAUAUUCAGAGAGCGGUGCCUCUUUGAUUUUUGAGAAAGCAAUCAUGUUGGGAGUCUGACUCUCGAGAUUCGAAGAGCGGUGCCUCUUCGAUUUUUGAGCAAGUAAUCCUGUUAGGGGUCUGGCUCUCGAGAUUCGGAGAGCGGUGCCUUUUCGAUUUUUUAGCAAGUAAUCCUGUUGGGAGUGUUUUCUCAGAUGUGAGUAAAGGUUGAGCAUUUUUGCCAGUCUGCCUUGCCACGGAGCACGAAGGUUGACACACAUAGGGACUUUCCAGUUAUCAAGCAGUGGUGAUGUUCCUUUACCCUUGUGGGUAAUAGUAGGGUAGCUGGACCUUCAAAUUUUAUGUGGCUAAACUUUGUCAGAGAUCUUUGGCAAAGUUAUCUAGGGUACCCGAGGAAUUGAUGUUGCGCGUAGAGAUUGUCAACAGAUUUUACUCAAGAAAAUCCGCUUCUCGAAAUCCAGAGAGUGGUGCCUCUUCAAUUUUUGAACAAACGGCCCUGCUGCCCUUUCUUUUAUAGGGGCACCAAUUGUGUGCAGGAAGUAUGUUUAGAGAGUUAUUGCUUGUAGGAAUUUUCCCCUUAUUUUUGUACUUUAGAGAUUUAUUGGACCUCAUUUCUCCUUCAUCAUUUCUGAAAAUAUCUGGCCCAUCUGACCGUUGUUUUGACUUGAACUUUGGUGAAGAGGCAGCCAUGCCUCCUCAAGACAACAUAUGGCGCCCAUCUUUCUUAUCCCUUACUGGUUCUCUUACCGAUGGGGACUCUAUGAUGAAGAAUGAUAUGACCGCUACGGUGGUGGCCAGAAACCUUCUCACUCCCAAAGAUAACAGACUACUUUCCAAACGGUCUGAUGAGUUGGCUUAAGGAUUCUCUGGCUCUCAGUGUUUAGUGUGCGGGUUCUGUGUCUAAUAUGGCCCAACGCCUAUUUGCUCGAACCCGUCAAGUUGAAUCAUUGGUGACUGAAGUGAUAAGUCUCAAAUAGGAGAUCAGAGGGCUCCAGCAUGAGAAUAAACAGUUGCACAGGCUCGCACAUGACUAUGCUACAAACAUGAAGAGGAAGCUUGACCAGCUACAGGAAUUUGAUGGUCAGAUUUUACUUGAUUAUCAGAGGUUUAUGGGUUUGUUCCAAAGGCAUUUAUUGCCUUCAUCUUCUGGGGCUGUACCGCGUAAUGAAGCUCCAAAUGAUCAACCUCCAAUGCCUCCUCCUUCUGGGGUUCUGCCCAGUACUGAGGCUCCGAAUGAUCACCCUCCGAUGCCUCCUCUUUCUGGGGCUCUGCCGAUUGCUGAGACUUCUCCUGAGCAACCUUUGUGAAGGCUACCUCUUGUUUGUUUAUUUUGAUUCAUGUAUAUGUACAUAUUUGUAACUUAUCGGAGAUAUCAAUAAAUAAGCUUUGCUUCAUUUCAACGUAUUGUGUUAAAUACACCAAGGCCUCAUUCACUAAGUUCUUUGAAUUUAUUCUUUUGUUGAAGCUUAUAUGUUGAAGCUUUGUGAGUGAAGCAUAUAGGUUGAGGUAGUGCUCCCUUAAUUUCUCGAGUGAGAAAAACUUCUUGGUUGGAGACUUGAAAGAUCCAAAUCACUGAGUAGUCGUGAACCUUCCAAGUACCGAGGUGUAGUAGCAUAUGGUAGGAGUCCCCCAAGUCUCCGGUCGAGAGAGUUGACGAAGGAGGUGUCUUGCUAGUAGCCAAGUUUCCAAAGAAACAAAACUUCACCAUUUUCCUUUCUAAGUGGUAGCCCAAAACUCCUCCUUCAUUUGUAUUUGUUAUGAAAGUUGUUAGGCCCAAAGAAGGGGAGGCCUAGGCCUUUUUUUUUUUUUUUUUUUUUUUGAAUUUUUGAAUUUUUUUUUUCUCGAAUUUUCAAAAAAAUAUAUAUUUUUUAAAGCUUUAUAGGUAAAGCUUUGUAGGGUGAAGCUUUGAUGUUGAAGCUUUGUAGGUGAAGCUUUGGAGUUUGAAGCUUUGUAGGUGAAUCUUUGUGUUGAAGCUUUUGUAGGUGAAGCUUUUGUGUUGAAGCUUUGUAGGUGAAGCUUUUAUGUUGAAGCUUUGUAGGUGAAGCCUUUGAGGUUGAAGCUUUGUUGGGUACCAUGAAUUGAUUUUGCUUCACACUAUCUUGAUGAAGAGUGUGUGAAGCUUUUGAGAAUUGUAGUUGCCCUCCAUUUGUUGAAGCUUUUGUGGUGAAGCUUUGUUGGGUACCAUGAAUUGAUUUUGCUUCACACUAUCUUGAUCAAGAGUGUGUGAAGCUUUUGGCAUUUGUAGUUACCCUCCAUUUGUUGAAGCUUUUGUGGUGAAGCUUUUGUGUUGAAGCUUUAUAGAUGAAGCUUUGAGGUUGAAGCUUUGUUGGGUACCAUGAAUUGAUUUUGCUUCACACUAUCUUGAUCAAGAGUGUGUGAAGCUUUUGACAUUUUGGGGAAAACUAGAAAUUUGAAAAUGUGGGAGAGACAACACAUACAAAUUUUUCUUCCACACUUUGAGCAAGAGAUUGUGGUGCAAGCCACACCUUGUAGUAGUCAAAGGUUUGGAUGAACCAUAUAAAUUGAAUUUGCUUCAAACAGUCUUGAUCAAGAGUGUGUGAAGCUUUCUAUGAGUUGUAGUGUUUGCAUUGUUACAAAGGAGAAAUGUCCGAAGCAGAUGCAAGAGGGCUGAAGAGCUUAAUCUUCGUAUGCCAUGCACUGAAGCCAUUGUUGGCUUGCAAUAAGACCUUGUUGGUGACUAUAACUCUUGUUAGGCAUAAGUGUUCUCCUAGUUGAGUUGUAAAGCUUGAGGGUUUUUGAUUAUUUGUGAAUGCUAGGAGUUCACAUGUACAAGUUGUACCAUUCGUCUUCUGGUUGGUGGAAUGAAUGGUGAGUUGCUUUCAUCACUUUGAUUCAUGGUACGAAGGUGAGUUCCUUCAUCACCUUUUAUCACAUUUCAUCACCUGGUUGGUGGCACGAAGAUGAGUUCCUUCUUCACCUGGUUGGUAAUAAGAGUGGCAAGUUGCCAAAUAAGAUUAGAGUACGGGUUGUACAUUUCAUCAUCUAGUUGGUGGCAUGAAGAUGAGUUCCUUCUUCACCUGGUUGGUGGCAUGAGUGUUAAGUUGCCAAAUGAUAUUAGAGUAAGGGUUGUACAUUUCAUCACAUGGUUGGUGGCAUGAAAGAGAGUACAGGUUGUACAUUUCAUCACCUGGUUGGUGAGAAUAAGGGCAAUGUGUCGAGGCACAUUGUAGCAAGUGUUGAAUGACACAAACUAUGUUGAACCCUUUCGAAGCACAGUUGGCUUAUGUAUGGAUGCGUUGGAAUGUAUUAUGUUUAUGUAUGAAUGUGUUGAAAUGUAUGAUGUUUAUUUAUGAAUGUGUUGGAAUGUAUGAUGUUUAUGUUGAUUGACAUGAGUGUUGCUUAUGAAUGUUUUGCUAUGCAUGAAGGGAUCCAUGCUUUCGAUAUGCGAACCAUGUUGGUUGUAACACUUAGUAUCACAUACUUUGUGUCAAAGUACGCAUGUUGAAGCUCUGAGUUGGAUUAUAGGGGUAGGUCAGUGUAGACCAAGUGUUCCAGUGUUAGAAAUGCAAAAGACUCAGAAGAAGUUGUCUGAAUUCCCUCUUCUUUAAAUAUGUGCCGAAUGGCUUAUGUGACAAAAGAUCUCAAACGGUUGAGAGUCAAAACAUUUGUAAUGUGUAUGCCUUCUUAUAAUAGCAUUUCCUUUAGUACCUAGUCCUCCACUUUGAAAGAGUGAGGCUUGGCCCCAUAGUCAUAAUAGUCGACGGUACGUUCACCCCUGGUUUUCUUGAUACGAACUUUUAUCCCUCUUGUUGUAAUGGGCUUGCUGAGAGUAAAAAUCUUUCCUCUUACCAAGAGACAAAUAUGUUUGGUGACUUAGUGAGUAGCUAAAUGAGGCAGUAGAUGAUGCAAUGGGUGUCUUAAUGGCCAAGAUCUCCUCACUUGGUAGAACUUGACUUCCACUUCCCACUUGUUGAUAGGGGUUAACCAUAUAGGGGUUCCCUUGGUAUGUCCUUGCUUCGGCGGAAGCGUGGCUGUAAGCCUGUGCCAUCACCUCAGAGUAAGUCUUCCAAGUGUUGGCAUUGAUCAUGUACUUGAAGAAACAAUCACGUAGGCUUGUCGUGAAGGCUUUGAGGGCAGUCUUGUCAUCUGCCUCAGCGCAGCGAGAAUACUCAUAGCUAAAGCGACAUGCAUACUCUCAUAAUGACUCGUCCGACUUCUGGCGAAUAGGGUACAAGUCAUUUGCAGAAUGUAAGCGAUCAGUCUGAAAGAUGUGUUGAGAGACAAACAAUUUCCUUAGUUCUUCAAAUGAGUCUACUGUUUCGGGUGGAAGAUGACAAUACUAGUUUAGAGCUCCGUCAGAAAGGGUGGAAGGGAAAAGAAGACAUCGCUCUUCGUCGGUGUGCAUCCGAUAUGCCAUGGUGGACUCAAAGAGGUUAAGGUGUUCAAUCGGGUCCUCCAUUCUAGUAUAGAGUUGUAAACCAAACUUUUGUUUUGUCUUCGCUUGAAGAGGGGUGUCAAGGAUCCUCCUUAUGAUAGGGCUAGGCUUGGGUUGGUUCCAGUUAAGUAUCUCGGCCUGACGUUCGGCCUUCAACUUUUUUACUUCCUCAAGGAGCUGUAGGACAAUGGGGUCCUGAGUAGAGUCAUGUACCACUGGAAUUUUCUUCCGUAAGUCUCCAUUGUCUCUCAGAAGUAGAAAAGUUUAAGUAAGAGCGUGUGAUUUUUCCUUGGACUCGCCGUACUGACUUCUAGGGCGAGUCUGUCGGAAUACCUCCGAGUCCCCUGUACUUUCAUAUUCCUCUGGGACUUGUCGUUCCUUCCUUAGAUGGGCAGCUGGCUUGGGUCGUGGGAGGGGACCGAGUUUUUCAGAAACCCUUGGGUCAUUGAUCUUGGAGCUUAUGUGAAGGGGAUUCUCUCAAUGUUGUUUUAGGAAGUCUCGGCAGUCACGAUAAACAGCUUUCGAUCCUUCCAACUCUUCUGCAAGGAGGUGUCUUCCUCCACUUCUCCUGCUUCAGGUCGAAGCAGCUUGGUUGAGAGAAGUCUCAUGUUGAUCAAUGUUUUGAUGAUUAGCUCGCUCCUCAUUAGGGAUACCCAUGUCGAAGGAAGGUGACCCUCCGUGUUGAGGGGUACCCAGAUGAUGGUUGAUGUCCACAGGGGCAACAAGCUCGCGUGUUUGAGUACGCCUAGUUUCGUGGAACGUCUCGAAGAGCUUCUCAUAUUGUUCUUGGAGGAUCUCAUUCUUUAUUGCUAUCUUGAUCCUCCAGCUUCUCGACUUUAGCUUGAAGAAUGAGCUUCUUUCCUUCUUUCUUUCUUUGCUUCGCACUAGGUGUAAGAAGGGUGUCAUUAUGUGUGUCGUGGCUUCCUUUGCUCCCUAUGUUAGAGAGGGAUGCCUGGUCAAAAGAGAGUGUACAAAUGGUGGAAACCAGCUUGACAAAGUGAAGAAAGUGGGAAUAAGUGUCAUUCCAACAUACGGCGCCAAAUGUUGAUGCACAAAAUCAGUGAGGACAUUGGUACAACAGAAAAUGCAAGUUUAUGACCUUCGCUAAAUUGCUCCGGUCACUAGUAUGGAUAAGUAUGUAAAUGGAUAGAGACAAGGAAGCAAACACAAGAUAUACGUGAUGUAAGGUUAGUAUUUGUAGUGGUAGGUGAUAACAUUUAUUUUAUUCUCUAAGGAAUGUGUUUGGAAGGUUAAACAAUGUCAUUUAAAAAAAAAAAUUAAUGAGGUAUUACAACAAUUGAAAAUAAUUAUUAUAAACACAACUCUACUUUUUUUUAUUAAAGCAGCUUUUAAAAGCAACUUGUGGGCUGCUUUUAAAAGAUGCUCUUUGGAGUCUCUUUGUUUUGGUAAAUAUGUCUCUGGCUUCGGUCGGAAUGGGUGCUUUCAGAACGGCAUUUGAAAUGUUGUUUGAUGCUGUAAAAUCAGUGCAGGAGGAGAAUAAAAUGUUCCAACACCUCUCCCGAGACAUCAAGUUCGCACUAGACUCUGUACAACCACUCAUCAAAGACAUCGAAAAGUAUAACUCGAAAGAGGGACUGCAAAAUUUUGCAAUACAGAUGGAGGAGGGAGCAAGUUUUCAACAACUGUUACAUAAUCUCAGUGGCAUUCUCGAAUAUAGAAGAAAUGUAUAUCGACUAUUGCAGUGAUUUAAUAGAGUUGCCCGCCGAGUUUUGUGAUCUUAGUAAACUAAAGAAGCUCAGUGUCACUAACUGUCAUAAGAUAUCUGUCUUUACCUGAAGGGAUUGGAAAGUCGGAAAAUUUAGAAAUGUUCAGGCUAAGAUCCUGCACAGAACUGUCAAAGCUUCCAACCACGAUGAAGAACCUUGGAAAGGUAAACUUUCUUGACAUAUCUAUUUGCUUCAGCAUCAAGAUGUUGCCCAAAGACAUAGGUGAAAUGAGUAGUUUAAAGAAGAUCAACGUGAGACAAUGCUCAAGGUUGCAAGACCUGCCUCCAUCAGUCAUGGAUCUUAAGCAGUUAAAGGAAGUUGUCUGUGAUGAAGAGAUAAAAUACUUAUGGGAAUCUUUCUCAUUGCGUCUCAACAACGUAAGGAUAAUUGUGGCCAAAGAGAAUAUCAACCUAAAUUGGAUCCACAAGACUCAGUUCUGAUACCUGUGUUUCCUCGGUGAACGUUGCUCUUCAACCUCUCUUGACUUGUGUUUCAUUGUCUUCCUAUUUUAGGCUAUUUCCCAUCUCCUUUUCAGUUUACGCCCUUCGUUUCGUAAAUAGUAGUGUGGGAUAUUAAACCAUUGGUAUUAAAUAUAGAAAUUAUGAAAAUAACACAAGAAUUUCAAUAAUAAUAAUUACAAGGAAAUUCACAACAUCACAUGUGCACAAAAUUAAUAUAAACAACCAGAGAGAAAGUUAGAAAAACUGACAAACUUGGAGAUUGAGGCUUGCAUAAAUGCAAUGUCCUAAAGACAGAAUUUCGCCCCUACUCUUAUGCUUGUAGUUCGGUAGGCAUCCGUCUCCUAGGAUUCAACAAUCUAUAAUCCGAAGUCAAAGCAUUCAAUCUUCGGACUUUGGCUAACUUUAUAUAUUAUGUACUCUCAAGACACGACUCAGAAGUUUGACUAAGACAUUAGAGAAAACUAUUCUCAUAAUACUCUCACGACUAUACUAACGUGAGUUUAUAUAAAACCUAAGAUACUGGUUGAUUAAGAGACACAAGCAUUCAUGUAUUAGAUGAUACCGUUUACCAAAGAUUGCCUUGAUCCCUUUCAAAAGGUUAUGCAUUUUUCAUUCAAUAUUUUGAAUUAAAUAUUAUAAUUAUUAAUAUUAUAAUAUAUAAAUUCCAACAAUCCCCCACAUGAAUGAAAAAUUAGGAAGAAUUUAAGAGUACAGGCGAAAAAGAGAUGCAUCGGGAGAGGUAUCUUUUGGACUUGAACCUACCCUAGUGAAUACUUAUCGGAUUUACUUGGUGACGCAGUGAAUAUAGAAUCUUAAACUGUUCACCGUAAUAGUAAACCGAGACAAUAAGCAACACACAUCACUAAUCCUAAUAUAUUUUGGUUCAUAUGGUUGUGUUCAUUUUGGUCCUGAACAAAUCCCAGAUUCAUGAGAGCUUUAGAGAAUUUAGCCAUCUCAUACGCAUAGAAGCGACCCACUUCUACUCUCACAUAGGUGACCACUGAUUAAGAAUAGUCUACUCUAUUCCUCUUAUUUAUAAGAUAUCACUGUCAUUAAGUAUAAAUAUACAACCUAAAACCUCUGCAGACAACACACUUUUUCCAUCAUAGGAAUGAGGUAUAUAGUGUGUUAACUUCUUUGAAUCAUGCCCAACCAGUUUGCCUAUUGAACUUAGACCAUGGGAUCUCCAAUCAACAAAGUUAGGUUUCCGCUCGGCUGAUUCAUUAGUUAUGUUGGCUUUAGCCUCAUUCCCAUCGAUGAUCAACUUUCUCUCUAGUCUAACCUUUAAUAAUUGAAUCCACUACUAGGUUGACUAUUUUUAAUGGUGUGCACAAUCCAUCUUAUGAAAUUAUAUUUCAUACGAGAGGAGUUGUUUGACAUUACUUGAAAUGUCAAGUCCUCAAAAUUAUAUUAGAAAUCUCAAGAGUAAAAAUUAACUCUAAUUUUCUAUAUUUAAUACCAAUGGUUUCAUGGGUUUAUAUAGAAUCCAACUUCUACUUAUUAAAGAGAUGUAACUUUUCAUCUAUAAGUAUACAUCACUUAUUAAGGGAAUACACCUAAACAACAUAACCUUUCUAAGUAAUUUGCUAACACUAAGCACUUGGGUAAACUCCCCCACAUUUAAGGUAUUUGUAAGAAGAUCUCUAACCUUGCCAUACCUUAAAAUUAUUCAUUACAACAGAUGACAUCUUAAAUGUCGUUCAAUUAGCAAAUUACUUUUAACCAACUCCCACAAUUCUUUCAUAAUUGUAGUUGCUUUUAAUGCUAUCAUUAAAUCGAUCACAUUUUCCACUUUAAGAAGUAAGAAACAACUAAGAUAGACUCUAUCUAUCUUUUUAGGCCUUCAUGCUUCACUAGAAAUGAUGAGAAAAUCACUUCUUGACUUUCAUUCUUUCCUUACUCUGACUAACAUGCAUGAUCCGACUCAUAUGCUUACUUAAUAAGCAUCAUUAUGUCGAAUUCAAAUCUGUGAAAUGUCUUUCACAUUUUUAGUAUGGUCUUGUCCUUUUUUGAAAGACCCCCACACUUUCAUGAUUAUUUCUUUAUAUUAAUAUCACUUUAAAUGACACUCAAUAUCAUCAUGGGCCUCUUGUAAUUUAGAAAUAUAUCACUUCAAAGAAAGCAUAUAAAUGAUUUUGCAACAUUAUUAUCACUAUAUGAUAAUACAUCCAAUCGGUAUGUGGAAGUUUACAUACCAGCCAAUGAACACAUUUGAAUAUGCCAAUGACUAGUUGAAAAUGUCAUACCCCUUCACUGUCAAAAGCAGCACUUCAAAUGGCAUGCUUUUCCUUUGAAUCUCACAUGGUAGAUUUCAAUUUUCAAUUCCACCUUACAAAACCAUCCAUUUGUUAAAUAGUUGCAUAUUUAUGCAACUUUACCGCCACAUGGUUCAAUAUAAGUCUUGGACCUUGACCCCAUAAUUCAAUAAGCAUCUUUCGACGUUGAUAGAUAACUCAUCUAAAAUGAGUUCAGUUUAUUAGUUUAUUUUUGUUGCUUCUCAAAGCCAAAUUCAUCCACUUUCUGGGUUCUUAUCAUGACUGAAGGCUAGACCCAAUUCUGCAUAUGCACACAUAUGCCUGAGUAAUUGUUCAAUUUUCCUCAUACGUAUUCCAUUCAUUCCAUGAGUGGACAUGUACAUAUGAGUACUGCACUCAUCUUAUAUUCCAUGAUACCAUGGAAGUUGGGUUCAUAUCUUGUACUGGAGUUUUCCAACUGUUUCAAUACAAAUUUGAAACAACCCCAUUUUAUUUGUGUAUUCACUCUUCAUCAAGAGCUUUCGCUGACAUCUUUAUGAAUAUAAGGGUUUUCUCAACAAAAACCUAUUAAUCAUCAUCGUGCCCAAUCAAAUAUUGAUCUCCUUUGUCCCAAGAAAGAAACAUUGCAUUAGUCCACGAACUGGUACAUUAUGUCCCUUUUAGAUUUGCAAAUAAUGCAAAUUUUUGUAUGACUAUUGAAGAAAGUUGGGAUUCCAACAUAUAACCAAUUGAGAAUAUGGAGAACAAUCUAAUUCCUUAUAAGCUUUUGUUAUAUUUCUCAUUUCACCAAUGUGAAACCCCUUUUGUCUUCACAUCCUCACAAUCAUACCAUUUCACUUGGCCUUAUUCGAAACCUUUCUUCAUAUAAAGGAGACAAACACUGAACAUGGAUUUUAAGUAGAUCUGAUAAUAAUUGCAGUAGCCAUAUAAUAAAAAUUGUUAUCACUGUAUCGUUCUGGAAACUAGAAUCUUGAUCUUUUCUAUAUAAAACAGUUAUAGAGACAUGUAUAAAGUAACAGCCAAGUAUGAGAUUUCUAUAUAUCAAAGGAUUUAUAUAAUUAACAACAACAGCAACAACAGUUGCGGCAUGCAUAAUAAUUUACCAUGCCUCAAAGUUUAAAACAUUGUCUGAUCGCGACAUGCCUAGAAUGCCAAGAGAAGGUAAAUUCAAACUAACAUUAAUUUAAAAGCAGUUAGAUUCUAAUUUCUAAUAAAUAUAUAUAAGACAAAUAACCUUCUAUCCUAAUCAUCAUCAUCAUCAUCAAUAAAUCCCAAAAUUGUUGUGUUGUUUUGUGUGUGUAUAUAUAUAUAUAACUUUCAACACAUCAUCUAGCCCUGAUCUAUCUUUUCGUAGAAAUUUAAAGGAUUCAUGUCUUAGAUGCAUCGGUGAAAUAUACUGAUGUCUUCUUCUUUAUUUCUUCAAGAGGGCUAGGCUAAACAUAAAUUACAAUAUUUUCAUUGCGAAUCCCUAAAGUCCUAGGCUUUACUCAUAUUUUCUAAUUGUUUCAUAAACAAAUUUCUGUCUUUAGAUUGUUGGAGCAAUAUUAGAAAGUAUGAAAAUAACACAAGAAUUCCAAUAUUAAUAAUUACAAAGAAAUUCACAACAUCACAUGUGCACAAAAUUAAUAUCAACAACUAGAGAGAAAGUUAGAAAAACUAACAAACUUGGAGAUUGAGGCUUGCAUAAAUGCAAUGUCCUAAAGACAGAAUUUCGCCCAUACUUUUAUGCUUGUAUUUUGGUAGGCCUUCGUCUCCCAGGAUUCAACAAUCCAUAAUCCGAAGUCAAAGCAUUCAAUCUUCGGACUCUGGCUAACUUUAUAUAUUAUGUACUCUUAAGACACGACUCAGAAGUUUGACUAAGACAUUAGAGAAAACUAUUCUCAUAAUACUCUCACGACUAUACUAACAUGAGUUUAUAUAAAACGUAAGAUGCUGGUUGAUUAAGAUAUACAAGCAUUCAUCUAUUAGAUGAUACCGUUUACCAAAGAUUGCCUUGAUCCCUUUCAAAUGGUUAUGCAUUUUUCAUUCAAUAUUUUGAAUUAAAUAUUAUAAUUAUUAAUAUUAUAAUAUAUAAAUUCCAACAAGGUAUAAUCAUUUGUCGUUAAAUGAGCACUAUUUUGACAACCUUAAGAAAUUUUCUAAACUUGUGAAAUGUGAGGGGAAAUUUAAUAUCUGAGCAAUAAGUUUAAUGUGAAAGUUGUUUUUUUAGAGGGAAAAUGUGGUUUGUGUUUUUAAUGGGACUUCUUAAACUCUACUCUGACAUAGUUUCACAAUCAAUCCCUAUACACAGUUUCUUAACCUUUUGGUUUGAAAAUCUGUAUGUAUAGUUCAACAUCACAGUGUGAUUAUGCUCUCCCAAAAUAAGUUUUAUAAGUAAAAGGAACCAAAAAGAAGGGGUUGAAGAGUCUCCAUAAGACAAGAACUUUUAUGUCACAGAGUCAAGUAUUAAUCUCGUCAUCGGUAAGUUUCUCAAGUAUCUAUAUUCACAUUUGUUGGUCAAGUUUUCAGAAUUGUGUUCACAUAUAAUCUAAAUUCAUUGCCAAAUGUUGAGGAAUUGAUUGUUAUUGACUAUUGCGAUGAAUUGGUCUCAAACUACGUUUUCCAACCAACACGGUUUGAUCAGUUUUAAAAAAACCACUGUUUGAUUAGUCUCGUUCAAUACCAUUACGUGAUUAGCUUAAAUUUACUUUUCAUGUUCAAACUAGUUAAACUAAGAAAGAACGGGCCAUAUUUUCUUUCUUUUCAAAGUUGUUCACAUAGAAGUGGACAUUGACAAAGUAGAUAAUGAAUAACAUUAUAACAUUGUAAUUUGGAUGAAAAUACACAAAUCCAAUACUUUAAUUAGAUGCAUUAUACUUUAAAUGAAAAUAAAUAAAUUUAAUAUUCUUAGAGGUCACAAUAGAAAUUUCACAACUAAGAACGGAUUAGGGCAUGCCAAUACUUAAAAAGCCGACUUUUCUAAUUCAAUUCACAAGAUUCUCAAAACCAUUGCUCACACAUAUUCUAAAACUAAGGCUAGAGUGACACAGUUAAGCCAAGCCUACAUCUUUGAAGCUGAUAUCAAAUCUAAGAAACCAACAAGUCAAGUGAUGCAACUUUGGACCACUUAAACGAAUCCAAACCAGAAAACAAUUCCGAACCAUCACUCAACGGAAUCGUGGAGUAGAAGGGAUUUAGGACCAUCACUCAAAGGAAUCCAAACAAGGAUACGAUUCCGGACCAUCACUCAACGGAAUCGAGGAGUAGAAAGGAUUCCGGACCAUCACUCAAUGGAAUCCAAACAAGGAUAUGAUUCUGGACCAUCACUCAAUGGAAUCACUUGCACUAUCAACUUCUCAUGACCACUAUCUUGUCAUACAAGCAUAAAAGUUAUACAUAAUACUUCUCAUAAGAUUCUGGGUUCACAUCGUCCUAAAAACAAUCAUACACAUCAUAUUGAUCAUACAUAUCUAACCACAUUUCAUAAAUGUUUCCAAGCUACAAUCGAAUCACAAUUAAUAAACAUAGAUCGAUGCUAAAAUAAAAUAACACUUCAAUAGAAAGCACAUUUAAUUAACAAGUAUAACUCAAUAUGAUGCAACUAAUACAUAUAUCGAGACACACAUCAACCAAGAAUGACACGUCAUCGUGAUGAGCCAACUAAGUUCCAUCAAGCCUCAACAGCAAACUAGAGAUAAACGACACUCUAGAGUAUAACACGUUGACUAGAACGUUAACCGUCAAUAAGGUAGGUCCAUUAAGAUCAACAAUCUAAGGUUAUUUAAACCAGAAGAUCCGCACAUCAGAUUUCCGAUCCGUAAGUUCUCAAAGGUCCAACAACUGAUACCUAAGGUGCUCACAAAAUUGUACGACGAUCCAACAAUCGGAUUGUCAUCAAUCAUACAAACAAGUGGUAGUCCAAUUUGAUUACCACAUCAAACAAUUUAAUUUCGGGAAACCGAGCUAGACAUAGGUUCAUAGAGUCACUAGAAGGUAUUUAGUACUUAGACAACAUUCAUGGACGGUCUCACGCACCGCCACAAGCGAUGGUAGCCAUGGUGAAGGGUUUGAAAACCCAAAUUUUCAACCUUAACCAAAAAGGUUCAAAUUUAUGUGGUAACUAGAGCUCAACAAGGGAAACAUUAUUCACAACUAGGCCAAUGACAAAUUCUAACCGGAAACCAUCCAAAUUCAUCGGGAAAAACCGGGUUUCUAGGGUUCUAAACACCCAACUCUAAAACAAAUACGAAAGCACAAAACAAGCAUAUCAACUUGAAGAUUAUGAAGAGUAGAUGAAGCUUAAUACCUCACUCGAAAGAAAUGGUUGCCGAAAUCACCGGAAAAAUGACAAAAUCGUCGGAAACCAAGGAACUUUGCUGCCUCGAACUGGAAAAAUGGAUAAGAAAAUUGGAAAUGUAACACUGCAGAGAUGUAGGGCUCGUCAAGAGCUUUCUAUGGACUCCAAGAUCACCCAAAACGGAGAUCGGAUGAAGGAGAUAUGAGCAGAUCAAGUUUGCGGGUUAACGGGUCUAAUUCGCCCCAAAACGGGUUUUUUCUUCUUUUCUCUCGCCACACUUCCGUGGCUUUCUUUUCCUUCCCUCUUUUAGCCACUCCCGUGGCUUUUUCCUUCUCUUUUCAUUUUUUUUAUUUUUUAUUUUUUUAGCAACAACUUCAAACGUCCGUAACUAUACCGUUACAAUUUGGACUCGCAAACGGUUUUUGCCUAUACGUUCAUAAUCUCGAUAUCUAUUCGACAAUAUAAAUUGUGACCUCGAAUGGUCUACAGAUUUUAAAUAAUUAAUUUCCCGAAAAAUAAUAUAAAAUUUCUAUAAUACCAAUACGUAGAUUAUAAUAAUGAAAUCCAGGAACGGGAUUUGACAUUCUCCCCCCCUUAAAAAAAUUUUGUCCUCGAAAUUUUAGUAUCAAUUCAAUAUCCACCAAUGCCACAAUUCAACCGAAUGACAAUUUCGAAAUGGUAUUUACUCUUUAAUUAUAAUCGAAUUUAAUUAACAUCAAACUCGACAACAUCGAAUCACAAGUCACAAAUACAAUUAUCAUCGUCUCAGCACGACUUCACCACCAAUCUUUGCACAAUCACAAAGAAUGGCACUACUAAUAAGAAUUCAUCAAUAUACUCAUAAUUCUGGCAACCAUACCAACCAAUUUUGUAAUUACAAGCAUUUCCCAUUAUUCCAUUUAUGGUGAAUAAGAUCAUAACCUCAGUCUACGAGUUUAUUCAACUCAAAACAAAUAAAUUAACGGAUAGAUCAUCAUGAUUCUCACCCAUAUACUCAGAUUCACAGCAAUAUUUAUUGGCAGAAUAAAUAUUAGAAAUUCUAGCCAUACACAUUGUCAAAAUAUUUAUUAAACAUCAAGCCACAGUCUUCAUAACUUAAAAUAAUUACUAAAUUAUCAAAUCACAUUUACUAUUGGUUAGACAUAUACUAACAUAAUAAUUACAAUUAUUGGUAAACCAUCCACCAUCAUUGGCUAUACAUAGUCGUAACUACGAUUCUUUCUCAAAAUUUCUAGCCACACUCCCUUGCAAAAUAAUAUCCACCUUAAACCAUAAGUCUUGUUGGCUAAAUGAAUAUUAAAAUUUCAGCCAACCAUUAAAAUUGACAAAUCAAGUUCCAAAAUUCCAACCAAAAUUAUUGGAAUUUCCAAACACAUCACUAGGUAAUGGAAAGAAGAAUACCAAGUGAUCACAAAUAAACCGAAUUAUGAGUCAUUGAUUAAUUUGACUCAAAUUAUUUCCAUAUCAUCUAUUAUAUGCUUAUUUUUGCUCAAAAACAAAUUUUGACAUUCCUUUAGUGUUGUUUUCAGAGCAUACCUACGUCAUAUUUUACUACACAAGGAACGAGAUCAUAGGUAUCAAUGUAAACGUCGUGAAAACAAUCUUUGAAUCAAGAAUAGCUAUCAUGGCAGCAGUUAUUCUCUUCCUUACAAACGAAGGGUUAAAAUUUAGUCACCAUUCCACAUUCAACCAAUUUGUUUUGAAUCAAGGUUAUAGCGGUGAGACGAGCAUCGAUAUUAGAUCAUUUAUUGGCUGAGUUGUGCAAUAGCAAUUUUUAUAAACUUUCACAUACUCCAACACAAUGAAUAAGAUAGUAAUAAUUCAACCAAUUUCUUCCCAAUUUCUCACCAAAACAGAUUAUGCAACCAGUUCAUGUAUCAAUUUAAAGAUAGUCUCAGUCAUAGAACUAACUUAUCUCACAUUGACAAAGUCACAUGCCAAAUCUCAAGCCAUGACUAACAUGGCUAACAAAAUAUCAUAAUUUCAUACCAUAAUACGUUAAUGGUAAACCAACCAAUCAAGUUUAUAAUUAUCAACCUUUCGCGUCAAUUCUUUUCAUCAGACGAAGAAACUCAGUUGGGAAAGCAUUUAUAUUAAAUGAAUUCAAAUUUUCAUUCUAUAAUUUCAUUCAUAUUCACCCACCAUUCUCAUUAUAAUGGCAAACCAUAAUCACAGUUUAUAAUUUCAUUCCCCUUCAACAAAUCACCAUAUCUUCCUUAAAUGUUAACAUUUCCAACCACUUUUAUCGUUGGCCAAAACAUUUUAAAAUUUCUAUCCACACCUAUCAUUGACGGAAUAAUGAUUUCACCAUCUUUUUCUUUUAUUUCAAUCAGUGACUAGUAAUCUGGAAAAGAUUGUAAUAUACCUGACCAAUACACAUCACACUUUCUUUUUCUUUUCUUCUUCUUCUUUUUCUUUCUUUUUCUUCUUCUUUUUCUUCUUCUUUUUUUUCUUCUUUCUCACAUCUACGGGCCUUUUCCGCCCAUUUACACAUUCGCAGGCCUUUCUUGCCCAAUUUCACAUUUCCACCCUUAUAUCCACGGGCCUUUUGCCCAAUUCAAUUUCUCAAGUGCCAGGUCUAAUACAAACUCUCCAUCUACUUAUCACCACCUCAAAAUCACCUUAACAUUCAACAUUUUCAUAAUACAUAGAAAAAUAACCAAGUAGGCAAUUACGUGACUCCCUAAUGCGGAUUAACCAGCAGGACCACAAAUGGCCCCCCAAUGCGGAUUAACCAAGCAGGGUCAAGAUAAUCAGGUAGGUAGUGACCCCCCAAUGAGGAUUAACCAAGCAGAGUCACACCUGCAGAACUGUUAGGCAGUGAUCACCCAACGCGGAUUAACCAAGCAUGAUCACCCCUAAGUAUAAAUAGCCAUCAGGAUCGCCCAACGCGGAUUAACCAAGCGCGAUCCAUAUAUAGUAUGGUCCCCUAAUGCAGAUUAACCAAGUAGGAUCACUAAUGACCCCCUAUCGUAGAUUAACCAAGCAGGGUCAUAGUCUCCUAUUAGGCCUCAAUUUAACAACCAUUCCAAUAUGCAAUUCAAUUCACUUUUUCAAAAAUAUUAUCAAUCCAAUUUACUUCACUUCAUGAUGUUUCACAACAUAAAUAUACUUCUCACAUAACUUUCUCAUUACUUAAAGAACUUAGGGAAUAAUGCAAUACCAAUGCAAAUCAUAAUUCCCAUUAAUGAGUUUUUCAUAAUCACCAUGGAAAUUUCACCACAACACAAUGCAAUUCAUAUAUGUAUCUCAAAAGUAUAUGUGUCCAUAUAUCACAUGAAUGCAUCUUUAUGCCCAAAAAAAUUAUGAAAUCAUGCAACCACAAUGCAUAUCGUAAUUCACGCCAACAAGACUCGAAAAGGUUGUAUAUCAUAGAGUAUGAUCAUUUGCUCUGAUACCAUUAAAUGUUGUCACGCCCCGAUCCCGACAUACGUCUAGAAUCGACACGUGACGUCACCAAAUACCCAUAUCUAUCAUACCUCGCCUUUGGGAUAUGGGCAGAGCACAAUUCGAUAAUCGAAUCGCAUAGUAAUUUUACGUAUGCUUUAUGGCUGCAUUUAACCUCCUCGUUAGACUGCCUACGUACCCUAAACAGGGAUCAAGUCAUUCGUAGUUCGUCAUGUACUAUAAUUGACAUAUGUCACAGUCCGUUUAAGGCGAAGGGCAUAACAUUUCUCAAUCAAUCAAUAGCUUAACAAGCAUGAAAUUUCUAGACUCAAGGUUACAUAACAAACCCACCUGAAAGUCAUGAUUUCCCUUCCAGCUUCUGUAUAAGUCAUUAUGUCGCAACAUGAUACCGUAAUUCACAACAUAUAUCAUAUCAAGAAACCGACGAAGCACAAUACAAUUCUCUAGCCACAUUAAUUAACUAAUUUGCCCAAAAUAAUAACAACUAUAACCAUAUCUUCUAAAUUCAUACUUUAUGAAAUCAUAAUUGAAUCAUAGAAAAUCAUGAAGGAGUCACCCAAACGUCCAACAACUUUUCUAAUUCAAUUCACAAGAUUCUCAAAACCAUUGCUCACACAUAUUCUAAAACUAAGGCUAGAGUGACACAGUUAAGCCAAGCCUACAUCUCUGAAGUUGAUAUCAAAUAUAAGAAACCAACAAGUCAAGUGAUGCAACUUUGGACCACUUAAACGAAUUCAAACCAGGAAACGAUUCCGGACCAUCACUCAACGGAAUCGUGAAGUAGAAAGGAUUCUGGACCAUCACUCAACGGAAUCCAAACAAGGAUACGAUUCCGGACCAUCACUCAACGGAAUCGCGGAGUAGAAAGGAUUCCGGACCAUCACUCAACGGAAUCCAAACAAGGAUACGAUUCCGGACCAUCACUCAACGGAAUCACUUGCACUAUCAACUUCUCAUGACCACUAACUAUCUUAUCAUACAAGCAUAAAAGUUAUACGUAAUACUUCUCAUAAGAUUCUGGGUUCACAUCAUCCUAAAAAAAAUCAUACAAAUCAUACUGAUUAUACAUAUCUAACCACAUUUCAUAAAUGUUUCCAAGCUACAGUCGAAUCACAAUUAAUAAACAUAGAUCGAUGCUAAAAUAAAAUAACACUUCAAUAGAAAGCACAUUUAAUUAACAAGUAUAACUCAAUAUGAUGCCACUAAUACAUAUAUUGAGACACAUGUCAACCAAGAACGACACGUCAUCGUGAUGAGCCAACUAAGUUCCAUCAAGUCUCAACAACAAACUAGAGAUAAACGACACUCUAGUGUAUAACACGUUGACUAGAACGUCAACCGUCAAUAAGGUAGGUCCAUUAAGAUCAACAAUCUAAGUUAUUCAAACCGGAAGAUCCGCACAUCAGAUUUCCGAUCCGUAAGUUCUCAAAGGUCCAACAACUGAUAACUAAGGUGCUCACAAAAUUGUACGACGAUCCAACGAUCGGAUUGUCGUCAAUCAUACAAACAAGUGGUGGUCCAUUUUGAUCACCACAUCAAACAAUUGAAUUUCGGGAAACCGAGCUAGACAUAGGUUCUUAGGAUCACUAGAAGGUAUUUCGUACUUAGACAACACUCAUGCACAGUCCCACGCACCGCCACACGCAAUGGUAGCCAUGGUGAAGGGUUUGAAAACCCAAUUUUCAACCUUAACCAAAAAGGCUCAAAUUUACGUGGUAACUAGAGCUCAACAAGGGAAACAUUAUUCACAACUAGGCCAACGACAAAUUCUAACCGGAAACCAUCCAAAUUCAUCAGGGAAAACCGGGUUUCUAGGGUUCUAAACACCUAACUCUAAAACGAAAACGAAACCACAAACCAAGCAUACCAACUUGAAGAUUAUGAAGAGUAGAUGAAGUUUAAUACCUCACUCGAAAGAAAUGGUUGCCGAAAUCACCGGAAACCCAAGGAACUUUGCUGCCUAUAACUGGAAAAAUGGAUAAGAAAAUGGGAAAUGUAACACUGCAGAGAUAUAGGGCUCAUCAAGAGCUUUCAAUGGACACCAAGAUCACCCAAAACAGAGAUCGGAAGAAGGAGAUAUGAGCGGAUCAAGUUUGCGGGUUAACGGGUCUAAUUCGCCCCAAAACGGGUUUUUUCUUCCUUUCUCUCGCCACACUCCAGUGGCUUUCUUUUCCUUCCCUCUUUUAGCCACUCCGGUGGCUUUUUUCUUCUCUUUUCAUUUUUUUUAGCAACAACUUUAAACAUCCGUAGCUAUACCGUUACAAUCCGGACUCGCAAACGGUUUUCGCAUAUGCGUUCAUAAUCUCGAUAUCUAUUCAACAAUAUAAAUUGUGACCUCGAAUGGUCUACGGAUUUUAAAUAAUUAAUUUCCCGAAAAAUAAUAUAAAAUUUCUAUAAUACCAAUACGUAGAUUAUAAUAAUGAAAUUUAGGAAUGAGAUUUCACACUUAUAGUUUUGAAACAAAUAAUUUUACAUUAGAAAAGAUAACUUAUACUUUCACUAAAAAGGAGAGCUGAUUUUUAUUAAUUAACAUUGAAGUUUUUGCCUAUUCAAGAGAUGUGGGUCCUGUAUUUCAAUCAACACAUGUGAGUCUCAUCUCUAUUAAAAAAAUGAUACAAAUGAUGGUUACAAAUAAAUGAUAAGAAUAAUAUUUUUAUUUACAAAAAAAUUAUUAUGCACUCCUAUCUAAUAAAGUAAACAAGGUCAAAAGGAGGACAAAGUGGGUUUCUUUUAGCGCUAAUAUUCUUUUAGAAACUAUAUAUUUGAUUGUAUGAACAAUAAAGUCAUUGUACAAUUUAAAUUUAAAACUCAUAAAGAAAAUUAUACAAGGCAUACAAAGUUUAUUAAUCAACAUUGAACCUUUUGUGCAUAUUCUUUGAAAACAUAAGGAAAUUAUACAAUGGUCUCCUCACAAGAAAUUCUCAACUCUUUCAUUUUUUGUGAACUUGUGAUACACGCUAAAGGGGAUGAAUUCUUCAAUGAAAUUUUGACAUGUAAAAAUGAGACCUAUUCGUAAGUUUAUUGAAAAUAAUAAAGCUCAUAUGAGUAGCCCAGAAUAUAAUUUCCUUGUGUUUUCAUAGCAUAUGAACACAAAAUAUAAUGUUGCAAAAUAAGUUUGAUGUUUUAUGUAUAUAAUUAUAAGUAUAAUAUUUUCUCACCUUCUAGUACAAGUUUUGUGCAUAUUCUACAAAACCAAAAACAAAUUAAAACUCAACAUCAUAGCAAUAUUUUCUCAAAAAUAAAAAAGCAUUUCGUAGUAAACGAAUAUACUUUUCCCUCACACUAAAUUUCGUAAAUAUUUUAUGAAAAUAUAAGGAAAUUACACUAUGGUCUCCCCUCAAGAAAUUCCAAGAAAUUCCCAGCUCCAUUAUUUUUUGUUAACUUAUAAUUCAUGGGAUCAAUUUACCAAAGGACGUAUGAUACACGUAAAUAAGAUCAAUUUAUAAGUGCAUUGAACAUGACAUAUUAUGUUAAUAGAGAAACAUAUAAUUUUCUUAUGUUUCAUGGCAUGUGCACAAAAAGUUUUAUUGUUGAAAAUUUUAUAUGUAUAUAAGCAUAUUUUCUCAUCUUAUAGUAUGCUAAAAGGAAACCAAAUAGUAGCAUCUUCAUAAUAAAUUCUCUAACUUGCUUACACCAGGCCUAUAGUGGCGAAGCCACGUGAGGGCGAGGAGUGGCGUCCACCACUCCCCUAGCCUGAAAAACAAGACUGGAGCGCUGAUUUUGCCCCUCCCCUGCCGGAAAACCCACUGGUUCUACUAUUGUUGGUCUUCGUCUCCGACUCUCCGGUCUGCUUUGCAGAUCUAACUUUUUUUUUUUUUAAACAACCAGGCCAAAACAACGUCGUUUUGGACCUGGUAAAAAAAUUUUAAAAAGAAAAAGAAAAAAAAAUGAAACGGGCAGUUUUGAUAAGUUGGAAGUCAAAAAAAAAAAUUAUAUAGGGGGACCGCGUGUCCCCCAUUCAUUCAAUCUCUUCCUUUCUCUCUCUGUUGUGUCGUUUUGCACCUUUCCCCUUUUCAUCCUCCAAUCACAGCAGCAAAGGGCAGCCAUUGCUCCCCUUUUCGAAGCAGAAAAUGGAACGGAACUUCUGCACAGCAGCACCGUUUGGCAUUAGACCAAUUAGCACUCAACAGCAGCACAGCGCCACUGCCAGGGCCCAGCUUCCAACCAUCAAACACAAUAUUUAGGUAAAUUUUUUAAUUCCCAAAUUUAUAAUCCCUAACCCUAAUUAAUUAUUUAAAAUGAAUUUUGUUUAAUUGGUAUAGAAUCAUAUAGUAAAACACUCAAUGCACUAAUAUGGUUAUAGUUAUUGAUUAUUGAUAUGAAAUUAUGAAAUUAUUUUUUAGGGUAAAAAUUAAAAUUUGAAUUCUCGAUUAUUUAUUAAUUAAUUGAAUUAUUACAUAAUGUAUUACAAUUAUUCAUGUGAUUAGUUGAAUUGAAUUUUUAUUUAUCGAAUAAUUGUUUGUUUAUUGGUAUUGAUUAAUUGAAUUGUUGGUUGGAUUAGUUAUUAUGCAUACUAUAGUAUAGUCUACUCUAGGAUUAAGAGUCUAAGAAUUUUUUUUUUCUUUCCAUUUUACAGUUAUGUAAUGGAACGAUACUAUAAGAAACAAUGCUUAAAUCCUCCUUCAAACAUUUCGGGUAGUCCUUCUCCUUCAAACAUUUCGGGUAGUCCUUUUCCUUCAAAUAUUCCGAGUAGUCCUCCUCCUCCUUCAAAUAUUCCAAGAAGUCCUCCUUCGAAUAUUCCUAGUAGGUCACAACAAAGUAAGGCCACUGAGUUGGAUGAAAUAUUAGCUAAUCUUCCUGCAGACCCUGGACAUAGACGUCAAAUGCUUGAUUAUCCACCUAAUUAUCGUGAAGCAAUUCGUAGACACUAUCUCCAAAAUGAUCCUUGUCAACCUAGAGACCACAUCAUGCCAAGAAAAGUUUGUGACAAAAGAUGUUUUAUCAUCGGUUGGUUUGAUAAGUUUAAGUGUUUGGAGUAUAGUAUAUCAAAAAAUGCUUCAUUUUGCCGUUAUUGCUAUCUUUUCAAAUGUGAUUUCGAUCAAAUGGGUAGCACUAGAAGUGAUGUCUUCACUAAGAAAAGGUUUACAAAUUAGAAGAAAGGACCUCAAAAUCUUCGAGUCCAUGAGGGAGGUGUUGGAAGUCUUCAUAAUAAAGCUGUACAAUAAGCUAGAGAUUUGAUGGCACAAAAACAACACAUUGAAACAUUUGUGAGUAAGCAAACCGAUGAAGCUCGCAUUAAUUAUCGUACUUUCUUGAAUGCCUCACUUGAGUGUACAAGAUGGUUGUUAGGACAAGGUUUGCCUUUUCGUGAUCACGAUGAAUCAUUCAAAUCAAGCAAUAGAGGUAAUUAUUUGGAGCUUAUGCAAUUUCUUUCCAAGCAUAAUGAGCAAGUUAGGAAAGUUGUGUUGAGAAUGCUCCCAAGAAUCUUAAGUAUACUUCUUCCGAUAUUCAAAAAGAUCUUGUCCGUGCUUGUGCCAUUGAAAUUAUAGAUGCAAUCACUAAAGAUAUGGAAGGUGCAUUCUUUUCUCUUUUGGUUGAUGGAUCACAUGAUUCUUCAACUAAAGAGCAAAUGGCAGUAGUAUUGCGUUAUGUGAACAAAAAAGGAGAAGCAAUUGAAAAGUUUUUGGGUGUACAACAUGUCACUUCUACAACUAGUAGCUCACUUGAAGAGGCUAUUGAGAGAUUUUUUGCUACAACAAAUUUGAGUAUGUCCAAGUUACAGGACAAAGCUAUGAUGGAGCUAGUAAUAUGAAAGGUGAGCUAAUGGCCUUAAAACAAAGAUUUUGAACAAGUAUCCUCAAGCAUUUUAUGUUCAUUGUUUUGCACACCAACUUCAACUAGCUCAUGUAGCCGUUGCAAAGGGAAUUGAGGGCGUCGCCAUUUUCUUCAACAAUGCUAGUAUCUUGGUCAAUACUAUUGGAUCAUCGUGUAAGCAUCGUGAUGCAUUUAGAGAGAAACAACUAGAACAAAUUACAAAAACUCUUGAUAUUGUUGAUCUUGAAAUGGGUAGAGGGUUAAAUCAAGAGAGCAGUCUCAUGUGUCUUUGUGAUAUACGUUGGAACUCACAUUAUGGUACUAUAAUGAGUAUUAUUGUCAAUUUUGAAGCUGUGGUGGAGGUGCUUGAAUGGAUUAAAGAUGAUACCAACCAAGACAAUUUCGAAGAAGCAAGUAAGUUAUUCCAUGACAUACAAACUUUUGAUUUUGUGUUUCACCUUUUUUUUAUGAGACACAUAUUGGGAAUUAUAGAUGAGUUAUCACAAGCAUUACAAAAGAAAGAUGAAGAUAUUGUGAAUGCGAUGGCAUUAGUGGAGGUAUGCAAGCAAAGAUUACAAUCCUUGAGAGAUGAUGAUUUUGGGAACUUGCUUGAUGAUGUACAAAAGUUUUGUGAAGAGCAUGAUAUUGUUGUUCCUAACAUGGAGGAUUUGCAUUUCGUACCCGAAAAAUCAAGGCGUAAAGCUCCAAGACUCACAAACUUCCAUUACUAUCGUGUGGACCUCUAUUUUCAAGUCCUUGAUACGCAAUUAAAGGAAUUGAAUGAUCACUUCGAUGAGGUAAACACUGAAUUGCUUCUUUGUAUGGCAUGUUUGAGUCUGGUGAAUAAUUUUGCAUCUUUUGAUAAAGCAAAAAUUGUUCAUCUAGCCCAACAUUAUCCUCAAGAUUUUGAUCGUAUGGACCUCAUAAAUCUUCCAAUUCAACUUGACAAUUACAUUCAUGAUAUGAAGAUGCAUAGUGAGUUUUCAUCAUUGAGAGGAAUUGUGAUCUUGCAAAGGAGUUGGUGAAGACCGGAAGGUGUGCAAGCUAUAUCUUAGUGUAUAAGCUUCUUACAUUGGCUUUAGUGUUACCGGUUGCAACCGCUUCGGUGGAGAGAGCUUUUUAUGCUAUGAAGAUUGUGAAAACACCAUUGCGUAACAAAAUGGGAGAUCAAUUGUUAAGUGAUAACAUGCUUGUUUACAUUGAGAGAGAUGUAUUUGCUUUUAUUGAUAAUGAGCCUAUUAUGCGACGUUUUCAUGAUAUGAAACCUCACCGGCAACAAUUGUAAUUGUAUUGAUAAAUUAUGGAAGACAUUACUAUAUAAAAGGAUUUGGUUGUUGCUAUUCUUUUGAACUUUGCAAUCUUUUAACUUCGCCCCUCCCCCCGUCAAUUCCUGGUUUCGCCACUGCAGGCCUAUGAAUUCACUCGCAACAAAAUUUGAAUUGAGAAAAAAAUUCAUCUUACACUAUUCUCCAAUGAAAUAAGAAAGGUCAAAAGGAGGGCAAAGUGAAUUUCUUUUAGCAAUAAUAACAGUUUUUUUUUUUUGAACAAACAAUAUAAUCCAUACUAAGGAGGUGAGGGAGGUGGGCUAAGCCUCACAAUGACUAACAAUAAUGUGGUUCAAAUUCUUCUUUGGUGAGAAUCGAACCUAAGAACUCUUACUUACAAGUGAAAAGGAAUACUACUAGACCGUAGUACUAAGUUGCCUAAUAAUAGUUCUUUUAAAAACUAUAUAUUUGAUUACAUGAACAAUAAAGUCAUUGUAUAAUUUAUAUUUAAAACUCAUAAAGAAAAUUAUUUAGGAAAUAAAAUUAUAUUUAAAGACAUUCAAGUUUUAUUAAUCAAUAUUGAAACAAUUGUGCAUAUUCCAUGAAAGCAUAUUGAUGAGAUUAUAAUAUAGUCUCCCACAUGAAAUUCUCAGAUCUAUUAAUUUCCGUGAACUUGUGAUACACAAUAAAUGUGUGAAUUCUCCAAUGGACUUCUGAUAAUUGUAAAUGAAAUCCAUUCUUAAGUUUAAACUGGAAAUGACGAAGCAACCAAGAAGAACAAAGUAGACCCAGGAGGAGCCAAUAACACACCAACACAAAACUAAAAUACUCACUAGAGAUACUCACAAAUAACCUCAAGAAAAUAGUAAGGCUAGGAGAACGGAGAUGGGCAGCCAUUGGCCACAAGCUAAAGAAAGGGGUCAGGAGCUGUGAAUUUUAUAAAUAUAAGAUUUUAGUAGAGGAAAGGAGAGAGACGCUAGCAGUAGUUUCUUAUAUAUUAGCAUUCCAAGAAUCCAUCCUUUUGACUUUUAUUAAUGUAUUUCUAGUACAAUUUUAAUAAGAGUAUUAUCGGAAAGUAAAUAUGUAUUUUACACUAAUAAGAAAGAUGUAAAUUUGGGAGCUCAUUUAUUUAUGGUCUCUUUUAACCAAUGAAAAUGGAUAUACAUAUUUUUUUAGUCCACCUCUUAAAAAUGUAAAUAUACAUUUUAUUCACAUGUUUACACUAAUCCUUUGAGAGCUUUCCAACCAAAAAAAAUUAAAUUGUAGUACACCACAUGCUAUUAUAUAAUUGGAAAAAAAAAUUAAUUUUUCAAGUGUUAUUCUAUUUGUAUAAUGAUAUGUGUUAUAUUACUUUGUGUUUUGUGCACUGAAAAAUAUCUCGUAUCAGAUAUGCUAGUGGAGUACCAAUUUGGGGUUGUUGAAAUUAAUUUUUUUUUGUCAAAGGGUUGUUGAAAUUAUUUAAAAGAAUAAAUUGUAGCAAUGGUACCUCAAUUUUAAUGAAAUUAGAGCAAUGAUUCUUCAACUAAAAACCUAUUAUCAUUCGUCCUUCAACUCAUCAAAACGUGUAGCUGUGAUCCUUUUCGUCAACUUGGUCAAAAUGAAUUAUGUUGGAAGGACCAUUGCUACAAUUAGAUUAAAGUUUAGGGACCAUUCUCCAAUUGGAUUAAAAUUGAGAGACCAUUUUUUCAGUUAAAUUAGAAUUGAAGAACCAUUGGUAAUAGAUUUUUAGUUGAGGGACUAUAGCUGCACGUUUUGAUGAGUUAAAAGACCAAUGCUAAUAGAUUUUUAGUUAGAGAUCAUUAUUUCAAUUGAGUUAAAGUUAAUUGACUAUUACUAUAAUUUACUAUAUUUAAAAAGCAACUUAUUAAAAAAUCUGGUGAAUGGUGAACAUUAAAGUUUAAUGAAAAUUUUAUGAGGAUAGCAGUACCCUGGGUUUUUAAUUAAAAUUACAGCCAGUAUCUUCGCUUCUCCUUUCCCCUUUCUCCAUGUCGUCCUUCAAAUCGAAGGUUGGCGACCUUCAAUUACCUGGAGAAAUCAACAAUAAGCCAUAAUUCCUUCAAUUAGAGGAUGCUCUGCUCGUCUUCUGCUGACUUUUCUUUAAAUUUUGAGCUUACAGUGCUCACAUGGGAACAUAGAGAGAGAGAGAGAGAGAUAAAGAGAGAGAGAGAGAGAGAGAGAUUGAAGUUUUUAUGGAAGGAAAGAAAUUUGAGCUUUGUGUAGGAUAGAGCAGGCGAGUGAGAUUGCAUGCGACGAAUCAGUUAGGUUUCUGACUUCAAAUGGCGCCGUUUGUGGUCUGAUCCGUCCGAGUUAUGGAGAUCGGACAUUGGAGCUCCUAACUAGCAAUAAUUUGGAGCUGCAGAUUCGGUGAGAAAUUCAAAAUAUUUGGAAUGGCUAUGGGGAAACGGGAUGACACAGAGAGAUUGGGUGAUUAGGAUUGUGCCGUGGGCUGGGAGGUCGCGGCGGCGGCGGAAGGAACCCAGACAUAAAACCGUAUAAUUAUUAGAAAUAUUUAGAAAUUGAUGGGCUGGUAUUUGUUCAAUAAAUCUAUGGGCUGGAUAUAUGGGCUGGUGUUUGUUUAAUUAAUCCAUGGGCUGGUGUUCAAUAUGACUUGGAUUUAAGGUGAAAUUAUUAGAAAAUUUCUAUUAAACUAUUUGAUGGCACGUAAGUGCAGAAGCUGAAGAUAAACAUUGAAGAAGAUAAACAUCGAAGGAAAAAUGGGGAAGAUAAGAUUAUUAAAGAAAAAGGUUAGAUAAAUUAUCAUCCAACCUUAUGAUAUUUUCAGUCAUCUCUAUAUGGGCUUGUUUGACGGCCUGAAAGAUUUUGGACCUUAGAGAGAAAAUUAUAUUAAUAGGGAUUUGAAAGGUAAAACUUGUAACCUAUGUAUAAAGAUAAAUUAGAUAACAUAUUUUAUUGUGAAUUCAUAAUUCAUCAUUGUAGAUGUAAAUUUCUUUCUCCUUGUUCUUGGACAAAAUUGCACCUACAAAAUAAAUAACAACUUAGAUCAAGACCAAGAGCCUCACGCGCCCACGAUGAAUUAGGGGGGCUUUGGUCGAAAAACCUCUGAUGUCAAAAUUAGAAUUUUUAGAGAAAAUUGUUUGAAGAAUUUUGAGUGUUUAGCAAGAGUGAAACUUAGGUUUUUAAAGAAAAUAAGGAAGAAUAUAUAAGGCAUGGCCGGCCCCCUUGGGAGAGAAGAUGACCGGCCUCUUGUGUGUUUUUUUGGUGUAAUUGGUAGUUUAAUUAGCCAUUAAUAAAUUAAUUAGGUAAUAAAUCCAUUAAUUAGUUAAUUAACAUAAUUUAAAAGGAAUGUUUUAGGGGUUACCUCGUGGAGAAGAUAUGAUAAGGGACGGAUGAAAUAAGUUAUAAAUAAAUACCUAUUUGUGCACUUUUGACUUGAUUGUGAGAUGAUUGUCCACUGCUCGUGUGUAGUAAUUCCAGUGUGCCUCAAGGAUAAUUUUGUCAUUUUAACCCAACAAUCCACGUGUCGCCUCUUGAUUAUUUUUAGCUCCACAAUCAUGUCAUGUCCACUUUACUUUUUAACACAACAAACAACGAAUUAGAUUAAGGUCUAUUUUAACUAUUACAUGCUAACACAUAUUGUGCGAAAAAUUUCUUUUUAUUUUGUUUUGUAUUAUAAAGUGUUGAUUAUUUUAAAAAUUCUCGAAAAAGCUUACAUGAGGUGCUCAGAUCAGAGUCGAUCGUUUUCAAGUCGUAACCCUUUUCGGAGCUGUGGGGAAGAUGGUGGCUUGGUAGUUGGGUUGGGUGAUAUCCGCCUCUUAUGAAGCUUUUUCUAUUUUUUUUAUUUUUUAUUGUUAAUUUUCUUUUUAUUUGUUUGUUAUUAAAUUUUGUGGGAUUCACAUGUGUGUCACGUUAACAUUCUAACAGAAGUUUUGACGAAAAUAUAAUGGCAAAUUGAUUUGUAGCAUCCAAUUCAAAGGCUACACUGAUCGAUUUCAAUUUCAAAUGUCACCUUAAUUAGUGCGUCAAUUUCCGACUAUUUGCGUUGAAGACACAUUAUAGAAAAAUCUACUACACACACAACGUGUGGGGGGUGUUGAUUUGAACGCCCGGUGAAGUCACGGUAAGACCAAAACAUGUAGCCAGAAAAUUCGGUGUCUCGCCUUCCCAACUCGUUCGACCUAUGUAUGUGUGCUGAAACAGAGUCGAAAACAAACAACGCACGACAUUCUCAGUUUCUCAUCAAACUAAAUUAUUUUACGUUCUCUCUGUAAACCGUUGGAAUUUCUGUUCUUCUUUCGUCACCCAAGAACAGAUUACGUAAUUGAAUCAAGUUUUGAGUCUCAUUGUUUCCGUAAAUUAUGUCUCUGGUUUCGGUCAGAAUGGGUGCUCUGAGAACGUCAUUUCAAAUGCUGUUUGAUGCGGUAAAAUCAGCGCAGGAGGAGAAUACAAUGUUCCAACACCUCCUCGGAGACAUCAAAUCCACACUGGAAUCUCUACAACCACUCAUCAAAGACAUCGAAAAGUAUAACUCCAAGGAGGGGCGGGAAAAUUAUGCAAUACAGAUGGAGGAAGGAGCAAAGCUUGUUCAAAAGUGCAGCAAAGUUGGCGUGUGGAGAAAACACACAUACACCAAGAAGCUUAAUCAACUGGACAAAUCUCUUCGAAGAGUGUUUGAUGUGCUUAAACUGCAGGUUAUGAGGGUGCGAGGGAGACGUUGGUUCCUUUGAGGAAUAUCGAGACGGUGCUCUCUCGAAUAGAAGAGAGAUUGAAGAUAAAAAAUAACCAGCCUGAAAUGGUUAAAUGUUCGUCUGCGGUGCCUGAAGCGCCAUCAGUUACAGUCGGGUUGGAUUUGCCGUUGAAGGAGUUGAAGGUGAAGCUCCUUAAGGAUGAAAAGGUGUCUAUGCUUGUGCUGACCGCCGCUGGACGAUGCGGGAAAACCACCUUGGCUAAAAUGUUUUGUCAAGAUCAAGAAGUCAAAGGUAUGCUAUUUAUGAUUUCAACCAUACACAGUAACCAAAAUUUGUUAAAAGAAAAACAACGAAAGGGGACAUGAAACUAAAGCGCACGAAAGGAAUAUAAGAAAGAUUAGAAAGACCUAUAUUCUCUGUACUAAAGUUAAGCUGAUGCCUUCCUUUUAUUAACACCUUUCCUACAUUCUGUUUGAAUAGAUACAUUCAAGAACAACAUCUUCUUUGUCAAUGUCUCGAAAAAACCCAACUUGGACCUUAUUGUACACGAACUAUAUCAACGGAAGGGGUCCGAGCUGCCUGCUUUCGAAAACGAAGACAUGGCAGCUAACUGGUUGCAACAAUUUCUGAUGGAAUCAAGACAAAAUCCUCUACUGUUUGUCCUGGAUGAUGUUUGGUCAGGAUCAGAGUCCCUUCUUGAGAAGUUUGAUCAAUUCAAGUUUUCAAAUUACAAGAUUUUGGUCACAUCAAGAUUUGCAUUUCCAAGAUUCGGUUCUCCUUAUCAUUUGGCACCAUUGAAUGAUGAAGAUGCAAUGGCUCUUUUUCACUAUUCUGCAUCCUUGGAAGAUAAGAGCUCUUAUACUUACGAAGAUCUUUCGAGAAAGGUGAUUUCUUAGUCCACAAUACACACACACACACACACACACACACACACACACAUAUAUAUAUAUGCUUAUUUAUGCCUCAGAAGAAGGUAAAGAAUAACAUUUGAGCAUCCACACACGUUAAUGAACUGUGAAGAGUGAAGUAAGAAGAAUGAAAGACUAGACAGUUUACAAUUUUAUCAUCUAUACGAAACCAUAGUAAUUGAAUUCAUUUUGGAUAAUGAUAUUGCAGAUUAUCAAGCGCUGUAAGGGAUGCCCACUUGCCAUUGCAUUGGUUGGGAGAUCACUUCGCGGCCAGCCUAUAGAAAUCUGGCACAAAAGAGUAGUGGAAUGGUGCAAAAGUUCAUCUAUUCUUGAUUCUGACAAGGAUUUACUUGCUUGCCUCCAAAGCAGCUUAGAUGCCUUGGAUAAAGAGAAGGUUAUCAUCAAGGAAUGUUUCCUCGAUCUAGGUUCUUUUCCGGAGGACCAAAGAAUUGCUGCUGCCGCUCUCAUUGAUAUGUGGGCGCAGUUAUAUGGUCUAGAUGAAGAAAUUCUGACCAUUGCCAACCUUCACGAGCUCACCGCUCGAAGUUUAGCUAAUCUUGUUGUCACAAGGUAUGCAGGCUGCUCAUAAUUUUUUCUAUUUAAUUAUGUAUGCCGAACAAAUCAUUAAAGAAAGUAGUAUUGAUCAUCCAGACAUGAGGGGGAGACAGAUGGCUAUUACACUGAACACUUUGUCACCCAGCACGACAUGCUUAAGAGAGUUGGCGAUCCAUCCGGCGAGUCAAGACCCAGCACGACAUCACUUGAUUUAGUUGAGUAUUGAAGAAGUUACGGACGUUUAAAGUUUACCCAGUUUCCGGCGAGUUUUCUAGUUUUCCCUUGGACCAGUCAACUUUGAGGCUGUUGUCUGACCAUCUCUGGCAACCAUUGGGCUUCUAAAUAGGUAUAAUCUUAUUCUACACUUUCCUAUCUUCAUUUUGAUAUUAUGGAUCGAAUUUGAUUAAGAAACAAUUGAGUUACGAGGCUUUGAAAAUUGCCCAAACUUCCGGCCAAGAGCUCCGGGACACUGAACGGAGUUUUUAACAGAUUGACCACUAUGAUGGAUAGUGAACAAUCUCAGGGACCACUUCUAUUGAUUUGAAAUCUCAGGUACCCAAAUGAGGAGUUAUGCAAAUCUCAGGGACCAUUUUGGCUAAAAAGCCUAUUGUAAAUAACAUGUUUGCACUCCUCAUUGUUCAACUCUUCAUUGAUUCUCUUUGAUUUAUCCAAUCAAUGGGUGUUUGUGCAAUGUAUGCAGAAAAUAAGGGCAUGGAAAGAAAAUAAGAGUUAAAAAAUAACUUCCCUUUGAUUUAUCCAAUCAAUGAGUGUUGGUGCAAUGUAUUAACUCUAUUGGUUGUUUCUCCACUCUUUCUCUUGCUGAACCUCUUCAUUCCCUUUCAGUUAAAUAGGCCAUUAAAUUAAUGUUUUAUUUUAAGGGUAAUGCUAAAGACAUUAAAUUUGUAGACAAAAUUUUGCAAACUAAGUGACAUAGAAGUUGAUGAUUAGAUUAUGGCUUAAGUGUAGAUAAACGUGCUUAAUCAUAUUGGUAACAUAUCAUUUAGUUUACAAAUUUUGUCUCUAUAACAUUACUCGUAUUUAAAACUAUUUAUUCAAGAGCACAACAUUUUUUUUACUAUUUUAUUUUAAACUAUUUAUGCUACAGCACAACAUUUUAAAAGCAGUGCAAUACCAAAUCAUAUGUACUAGAAAAUUAUGUAUCUCCUCGCCUCCUAAGAGCAAGUCCACCCCUGUGGACUUUGCGCCAGCACCCAGCGCAUUUAUCCACUCAAAUGAACAGUAACAGACUCCAAUGAACAGUAAUAGGCCAAGGCAUCUCCACCCCUAAAACUAAAUAGCCUAGUCAAUUUUAUUAAAAUAUUAUUAAUUUUUAUUAUAAAAUAAUAAUUUUUAUUAAAGUACUCUUUGGACUCCAUUCUUCUUUUUCUUCCGUGAUUUUCCAACUGUGCUGUCAAGCACAGUUUCACCACUUUUUCUUCCCUUCUUCUUUUUCUUCUCUUCAAACCACCAAAACCCAUGUGAGAUUAGCCAAGUUCAGCCCUACCCCACGAGCUGCAACCACCAAACGAACCCGACGACCCACAAUCCCACCCAACCUUCCUCCCCGAUCCCCUCACCCACUGGUGCGCCAACCAAAACUGCAAACCCUUCGCCGUCGAUCCUCUCGAUCCCCGGAGCUCAUCCGAUUACGACUGGUUCUCCGACGCCGCCUCCGAUUCAGACCAUGACGUCAGCUACUUCGUCACCGAUCUAUUCAAUCGCUGCAGCUCCGAGCAACAGCCCAAGACCGAGAGGGAGAGUUUUGGAUAUGGAAGCUCGAGUUGGGGUGGUGGUGGAAGGAAAGCAGAGAGCUUCGAAUUCAGCUCAAGGAGAUAUGGCGGUAUCACCUGGCAUCAUGUAGGCCGGGCAAGAGCUCAGCACAUUCUGAGCCGGCCUAGAGACCAGCUUGGGCUGGGUGCCAGCCUAUCUGCUCGGCUGGAAUGGAUUGGCUGGGUGUCGGGCCAAUAAUUUGGCUGGGUGCUGGCCUAAAGGUUCCCCGGUGGAACUGCUCUAAUAACGCGUCAAAUGUCUUUCCCAGCUCGUUCGUUUUCUUUGGGUGAAAUUCAUUGCUCGUUCGUUAAGUUGUAUAUAUGUGUGCUAAAACCAACAAAUAGCUUACAUAUCAUUCUCACUUUCUCAUCAAACUAGAUUAACGAAGAGGAUUAAGGGCCAGUUUAGGAUUGCUGUAUUAAAAAAAACUAAUUAUGUUAUGCUUUAAGAAUAAUCAGCUGUAAAAUAAAGCUGAUGACCGUUUGGUUAAUUGAAUUUUAAAAGUGUUGUGAAUAUGAAAAGCAACAUAAAAGCGUUUGGUAAAAUUUAAUGUAAAAGUGAUAUGAUUGUAUACAAUGAUAGAUGGACAUAGUAGUAGGAGUGGGGGCAACGACAACAGUGGUGGUGGUGGUGGUGGAGGUGGUGGUUGCGGUAGAGGUGGUGGUGGUGGUGGUGGUGGUGCUAAUAGUGGGAUGUGUUGGUUGAGGUGGAAAGGUAACACUAGUGGCAAGGCGUGGUGGUGCUAAUAAUGGGAUGUGUUGGUUGAGGUGGAAAGGUAACAUUGGUGGUAAGGUGGUGGCAGUGGUGGCGAUUGCGGUUAUGGUGGUGUCGGCAGUGGCGGCAAUGAUGGUGGCAAUGACAGUUGUGGUUGUGAUGGCAAUGGUGGCAGUUGCAGUAAUGGUGGUGGUGAUGGUGUUUGCGAUAGCAGCAUCGAUGGUGGUAGUAGUGGUGGUGGCAAUGGCGGCGGUGCGAUAAUGGUAGUGAUGGUGGUGACAAUGAUGGUAGUGAUGAUAGUGGUGGAGGUUGUGGUCAUGGCAGUGGUGGUGACAAAAUUGGUGGUUGUAAUGGCGAUGAUGGCGUAAAGUUAGUAUUUGUAGUGGUAGGUGGUAGCGUUCACUUUAUUCUCUAAGGAAUAAAAUGUGUGUGGAAGGCUAAACAAUGUCAUUUAAAAAAAAUUAAUGAAUGUAUUACAGCAAUUAAAAAUAAUUAUUAUAGACCCAACUUUGCUUUUUAUUAAAGCAACUUACAUGCUGCUUUUAAAAACUGAUGUAUGAAGCCCAUUGUUUGGAGUCUCUUUGUUUUGGUAAAUAUGUCUCUUGCUUCAGUCGGAAUGGGUGCUCUCAGAAUGGCAUUUGAAAUGUUGUUUGAUGCUGUAAAAUUAGCGCAUGAGGAGAAUAAAAUGUUCCAACACCUCUCCCGAGACAUCAUGUCCACACUCGACUCUGUACAACCACUCAUCAAAGACUUCGAGAAAAGUAUAACUCGAGGAGGGAGCAAGCUUUCAACAGUUGUUACUUAAUCUCAGUGGCAUUCCUGAAUCUAGAAGAAAUGUACAUCGACUAUUGCAGUGAUUUAAUAGAGUUGCCUGCCGAGAUUUGUGAACUUAGUAAACUAAAGAAGUUCAGUGUCACUGUCAUAAGCUGUCUGCCAUACUUGAAGGGAUUGGAAAGUCGAAAAAUUUAGAAAUGUUGAGGCUAAGAUCCUGCACAGAACUGUCAAAGCUUCCAACCACGAUGAAGAACCUUGGAAAGGUAAAAUUUCUUGACAUAUCUGUAUGCUUUAGCAUCAAGAUGUUGCCCAAAGACUUAGGUGAAAUGAGUAGUUUAAAGAAGAUCAACAUGAGACAAUGCUCAAGGUUGCAAGAGCUGCCUCCAUCAGUCAUGGAUCUUAAGCAGUUAAAGGAAGUAGUCUGUGAUGAAGAGACAAAAUACUUAUGGGAAUAUUUCUCAUUGUGUCUCAAUAACGUAAGGAUAAUUGUGGCCAGAGAGAAUAUCAACCUAAAUUGGAUCCACAAGACUCAGUUCUGAUACCUGUGUUUCCUCAGAGAACGUUGCUAUUCAACCUCUCUUGACUUGUGUUUCAUUGUCUUCCUAUUUUAGGCUAUUUCCCAUCUCCUUUUCAGUUUACGCCCUUCAUUUCGUAAAUGUGGGAUAUUGCAAGUUAUAAUCAUUUGUCGUUAAAUUAGAACUAUUUUGACAACCUUAAGAAAUUUUCUAAACUUGUGAAAUGUGAAGAGAAAUUUAAUAUCUAAGCAAUAAGUUUAAUGUGAAAAUUGUUUUAUCAGAUGGAAAAUGUGGUUUGUGCUUUUAAUGGGACUUUUUAAACUCUACUCUAACAUAGUUUCACAAUCAAUCCCUAUACACAGUUUCUUAACCUUUUGGUUUGAAAAUCUGUAUGUAUAAUAAUUCAACACCACCAUCUGAUUCAUGCUCUCCAAAAUAAAUUUUAUAAGUAAAAGGAACCAAAAAGAGAAGGUUGAAGAUUCUCCAUAAGACAAGAACUUUUAUGCCACGGGGUCAAGUGUUAAUCUUGUCCUCGAUAAGUUUUUCUAGUAUCUAAACUCACAUUUGUUGGUCAAGUUUCCAGAACUGUGUUCAUAUAUAAUCUGGAUUCAUUACCAAAUCUAGAGGAAUUGAUUGUUAUUGACUAUUGCGAUGAAUUGGUCUCAAACUAUGUUUUCCAACCAACACAGAUUGAUCAGCCUUUUUUUUUUUUUAAAUAAAAAACUGUUUGAUUAGCUUAAACUUAUUUUUCUUGUUCAAACUUUUAAUAGUUAAACUAAUAAAGAAUGGACCAUAUUUUCUUUCUUUUAAAAGUUGUUCACAUAGAAGUGGUCAUUGACAAAGUAGAUAAUGAAUAAACAUUGUAAUUUGGAUGAAAUUACACAAAUUCAAUACUUUAAUUAGAUUUAUAUACUUUAAAUGAAAAUAAAUAAAUUUAAUAUUCUUAGAGAAGGGCACAAUAGAAAUUUCACAACUAAGAAUCGAUUAUAGCAUGCCAAUACUUAAAUAGCCGACUUGGCUUUGUAAUGGGAAGGGUACAAAGAAAUUUCACAACUAAAAAUUAAUUAGAUCAUGACAAUUAGGUAGAUGAGGGGUUCUUUUCUCCAAAUGAACUCUUGAAGUAUUUUUAUAGAAAACUUAUAGUUUUGAAACAAAUAAUUGUACAUUAGAAAAAGAUAGCUCAUAGUUUCACUGAAAAAGAGAGUUGAUUUUUAUUAAUUAGCAUUGAAGAUUUUGCCUAUUAAAAAGAUGUGGGUCUCAUCUUUUUAAUAGAGGUAUGACCCAUCAAUACAUAUUAAUCUCAUCUUUAAUAACAUUUUUUUUGCAAAAAUUAUUAGGCACUGCUUCCUAAUAAAGUAAACAAGGUCAAAGGAGGACAAAGUGGUUUUCUUUUAGCACUAAUACUCUUUUCGAAACUAUAGAUUUGAUUGUAUGAACAAUAAAGUCAUUGUACAAUUUAAAUUUAAAACUCAUAAAGAAAAUUAUACAAGGCAUAAAAAGUUUAUUAAUCAACAUUGAAACUUUUGUGCAUAUUCUAUGAAAACAUAAGGAAACUUUACUAUGGUCUCCUCACAAGAAAUUCUCAACUCUUUCAUUUUUCGUGAAUUUCUGACACACGCUAAAGGGGAUGAAUUCUUCAAUGAAAUUUUGAUACGCAUAAAAAUGAGACCUAUUCGUAAGUUUAUUGAAAAUAAUGAAGCGCAUAUGAGUACUCCAGCCCAUAAUACAAUUUCCUUGUGUUUUCAUAGCAUAUGCACACAAAAUAUAAUGUUGAAAAAUAAGUUUUAUUUUUUAUGUAUAUAAGUAUAAUAUUUUCUCAUCUUCUAGUACAAGUUUUGUGCAUAUUCUACAAACCCAAAAAAUAAAUUAAAAAUCAACAUCUUAGCAAUAUUUUCUCAAAAAAAUUAAAUAAAAUAAAUUUCACGGUAAACAAAUAUACUUUUCCACACUAAAUUUUGCAAAUAUUCUAUGAAAAUAUAAGGAAAUUACACUAUGGUCUCAUCUAAAAAAAUUCCAAGAAAUUCCUAGCUCUAUCAUUUUUCGUUAACCUAUAAUUCAUGCAAACGAGAUCAAAUUAUCAAAGGACGUAUGAUACACGUAAAUGAGGUCAAUUUAUAAGUGCAUUGAACAUGGCAUAUCAUGUGAAUGGGAAUAAAGAAGCAUAUAAGUUUCUUAUGUUUUCAUGGCAUGUGCACAAAAAGUUUUAUUGGUGUUGAAAAUUUUAUAAUGUAUAUAAGCAUAUUUUCUCAUCUUGUUGUAUGCUAAAAGGAGCAGAUAGCGGCAUCUUCAUAAUAAAUUCUCUAACUAACUUACACCAAGCUUAUGAAUUCACUCGCAAAAAAAAAAUUUGAACUGAAAAAAAAAAAAUCUUACACUAUUCUCUAAUGAAAUAAGAAAGGUCAAAAUGAGGGCAAAGUGACUUUCUUUUAGCACUAAUAAUAUUUUUUUUUUUUUUGAAUAAACGAUAUUAUCUACCCUAAGAGGGUGGGGGAGUAGGCUAAGCCUCACAAUAGCUGGCAGUAAUGUGGUUCAAUGUGGUUCAAAUUUGUCUUUUGUGGAAAUCGAACCUAAGACCUCUCACUUACAAGUGAAGAGAAACAUCACUCAACCGUAGUACUAAGUGGCCUAAUAUGUCACACCCCGACCCGGAAUGUCCAGUAGGACUCCGAAUCGAGCUGUGCUGACCGACACCUGGAAGGUGACGAAGUCAUAAAAUGUGAUGAUGUGGAAAAAAAAUGAAUAAAUUUAAACCUAAAAGUGCAUAAAUACAACAGUGCGCCGCGAACGGAAAUGAACCCAUUUCACACGUGACGUCAAAGCAUAAAUAAAGUACAAUAGAGUGGAUUGAAAAUCAUACCAUCAAAGGUAAUCUCCAAUACCAAGACUUGCCAUGAAUCCUCGUCGAUAUGAAAGCUUUGCUACUAGACUUGGAGGGACAAAACAAGAGUAAGUGGCCAGAACAUAAAGCUUUAAUAAAGACCUUCUAAACGAUAUAAUCCCUCACCGUAACACCUGUUUAGCUUCCAAAAAAUCAUACUACGGAUAAGUAUGAAAUCAAAAGUAUACUAACAUUAAAUCCAGAAGUAUACCACGACACAGCAUCUCAAUAACAAUAUAAAUAAUCAAGUGCUUAAUAACCCAUACUAGCACGCCAACCAUAUCUCAUCAAUCAAUACUAACACAUAAGUCGGAGUCACCUGUAGUGACCUGUACAACUUAUCCACAUCUCAUUAAUCAAUGCUAGCUCAUAAGUCGAAGUCACCUAUAGUGACCUAUACGACUUAUCCAUAUCUCAUCAAUCAAUGCUAGCUCAUAAGUCGGAGUCACCUAUAGUGACCUGUACGAGUUAUCCAUACCUCAUCAAUCAAUGCUAGCUCAUAAGUCGGAGUGACAUAUAGUGACUUGUACAACUUAUCCAUAUCUCAUCAAUCAAUGCCAGCUCAUAAGUCGAAGUCGCUUAAAACAUCAUAUAGUCAUGCCAUCACUCGAUCGUUCCAAAUAAAAUGUAAUCAUAAUUAUGCAUCCCACAUUUCACAACAUAUACUCACCUGAACUUAUCUAUGCAUCCUGCACUCACCUUCGUACUUUAAAGCAUUCAUAAUAAUUAUGUGCAAUAUAUACUUAUGGACAUGCCUUGAUGCAAUUCAAAACUUAACCAUAUCAUAGUGCUUCCAAAUAUAUAUAUAUAUAUAUAUAUAUAUAUAUAUAUAUAUAUAUAUAUAUAUAUAUAUAUAUAUAUAUAUCAAUACUGUGGCGUAAAAUGCACAAUCUAUAACGCCCUACUCCCGAACUAUUAAUUUUUAGGAAUAAUUAUUGGUGACAAGCUCAACUAAACAUUAGUUUAACUAACUAUCAAUACUUACAAUUCUUUACUUCAAAUUCUCGAUCCUUCACACAAUGAUUUAUGACCAACAUCCAAUCACUAAAUCAUAAGGUUAACUCUCACAUUUUCCACCAAUGUCCCUCACCUUGCACAAUUUCCCAAACAAGGCUAUUGCCUCAAUUAUUUAAUCUCAUUUAUGUUAUGGCUACAUCUAACGUCUCGUUAGACUGCCUACGUACCCUAAACAGAAAUCAAGCCAUUCGUAGUUCGCAUUAGUACUUCACAGCAUUCACAGUAAUUAUAUGAAAUAAUCAAUUUAUAAGCAUUUGUGGAAUUAUCAAUAUAUAUAUAUAUAUACACACACGAUAGAAAGGAAGAGACCCACUCACCUGAGGUCCGCGCUAUGACUCCCUAGCAUGAAUAUUGCGACAUCACGAACCAUCAUCGCCUAUAACAAUUAUCAAAUCACGUCUCAAAGUUCUUAUCAAUAAAAUAUGCAACUUACAUAACAUACAUCCCUGCGUAGUUCGAUUCGGAAGAUCCGCAUCACGGAUUUCCGAUCCCUUACUUCCAAAGAUCCACAUUAUACUUCUAGAACAACAUCCUAAAGUUCCAUUACGAUCCAACAGUCGGAUUUCCACCAAUUGCCAAAACCAAGUGGCGGUUAAUAUUUUAUUUUAUGAACUUAAAAAUCCAAUUCGGGAAGAUCCGUAUAUUGGAUUCCCGAUCCGUAAGUUCCUAUGGCCCUUAAAUAUCACGUACUAUAACAUAUUAAAGUUUGGGGACAAUCCAAUAGUCGGAUUGUCGAUUCAAAUAAUGACCUAUUAACGUAACAUAGAGAAUUUAGGUUCCAACAAUCAACCUACAUCAUACAAUUACCAAAACUGAGCUCAAGGUAUCUAAUUUAGCCUAAGAAUAACAUCGACUGCCCCCUGGCCACGCGACACCGCACGCACCGCCGUGGGUGGCAGUCGACCGCCCCGACUCGCCGGAAAAUCCAACUAUUUCCAAAAAUUACCAAAAUUUACAAGAAUGAAGAUCUCAAUGAGUAGAGUAAACUUUAUACAUGUGGCCAAUUCCAAUUUGGCCGGGAAAAGCUUCAAUUUCACUCAAACCUGCCGAAACCUAGAAAAUGGUGUGCUCCAAUUCGACCUCCAUACUCAUUCUGACGCCUCGACCAUUGCUUGGGCUUUAUGGUAAUUGGUUGGGUUAGCUUCAAUUUUUUACUGAUUGUCUCCAUACACCCACAGGGCCCACCGUCGGUUUUUCCUCCAAAAUACCACCAAAUUCUUCUAAUUUUGGGAUGAAAAUGGAAGAGAGAGAGUUAUGGUGGUAUUUCCAAGUAGUGAUUCAACACAAUUCACCGGAAAUUGGCCGGAAAAUGCACGAAUUUGGCCUUGAUACUCGGCCGGGUCGCACGGGUCAAGAAGGAGACCCGAUUUCCCCCUCUUUCUCACCUUCCUUCCUUUCCCUCCUUUCCUUUCUCUCUGGUUGGUCAGUCUCAUCUCUUCAUUUCCUCCGAUUGAGCAGCAGCCCUUCUGUCUUCUCUCUCCCGUUCCCCCCACUUCUUCUUUCUCUUUUUCAACUUUUAAAAAUCACUAAAUGAUAAAUAAAAUAUAGACAUUAUAAAAAUAUAUAAAUAGUGACUAAACAAAAGUACUUCUCGGGUUUACAGUUCUGUAAAACUUUAACCGUAACCCUAAAUCCUUUUCUGCUUACACCUAUGAGUCCGUAAUGUUGAGUACUUCAGGAAAACGCUAAAGGAUUAAUUCAUACACCUCGAUAUACGUUGGUCAACGGAAGUCAAGACCCUCGCCUCUAAGGGCAUUUUCGUAAAAACACACUUUUAAAUUUUGUAAAAACAUAAGAUUAGGGACGGGUCGUCACAUAAUAAUAGUUCUUUGAAAAACUAUAUAUUUGAUUGUAUAAACAAUAAAGUCAUUGUUUAAUUCAUAUUUAAAUUAAAACUCAUAAAGAAAAUUAUAAUUGUCACGCCCCAAUCCCGACAUACGUCCAAGAUCGACAUGUGAUGUUAGCUCAUCCCUGUUUAUUUAUCAUGUCUCGUCUCUGAGACAAUUCCAAAACGCAAUCAAUGAUUCAACCAAGCAGUGACUUUCCUUUAUUUCAUGGCUGAAUCUAACCUUUGCGUUAGACCCCAUACGUACCCUAAAUAGGGAUCAAGCCAUUCGUAGUUCACCAUUUACUACACUCUGACGUUUAUCAUAGUACAUUCUAACAGAAGGGCAUAUCAUCCCUCAAUCAAUUAUUAGAACUGGAAAAGCAUGAAAUUACUAGAUUCAGGGCUACAUAAUAAACCCACAUGACAAUCAAGAUUUCCACUUCAUCCAUCAUAUAAAUCACUAUGUUUCAACAUAAUACUGCAAUUCAUAGCAUGCAACAUCUAAAAGAACAAUCAACGAAGCGCAAUAUUAUUCUCUAGUCACAUUGGUCAAUGAGUCUAAUCGUAAUAAUAACAAUCAUAUCCAAUAUCGUUCCACAAUCACUCCAAUUAAUCAAUUCCAUGAAUCAAAGAAGAACGAUAUUAACAUUUAACUACGUUCAUCAAUCAAUAAGAUAACAUAUUAAUUCACAAAAUUUAAUAAAGGAAUCCUAUAUAAUUUCCUACUUGGAUUCCAAGUAAUAACAUGAUAAAUCUAAUUUAUAAACACAAUGUCUACUGUGAGCAAUUCCUAUUCACUCGAAUCUAGGGGCCGGACUAACUUUAUGGAAAUGAUAAAGAAUAAGGAUUCCGGACACUCACCGGAAUCCAACUAAAUUAUGGUUGCCUAUCAAACUAUACUAACCCUCAUCACCCCUGGAAUGCGUAUGGUCCCCAAUUGUGGAUAUACCAAGCAGAACCAUAGGCAUAAUCUAAGCGUGCAGGCAGUGAUCACCCAUCAUGGAUAUACCAAGUAUGAUCACCCUUGAAAUACGUAUGGUCCCCCAUCGCGGAUAUAACAAGCAGGACCGUAUCCUAUAGCUCUAGGUAGUGAGCACCCAUCGAGGAUAUACCAAGCAUGGUCACUCCUAGAAUGCGUGUAUGGUCCCCCCAUUGUGGAUAAACCAAGCAGAACCAUAUGCAUAGUCUAAUAAUGUAGGCAAUGAUCACCCAUCGCGGAUAUACCAAUCAUGAUCACUCCUAAAAUGUGUAUGGUCCCCCAUUGCGGAUAAACCAAGCAGAACCAUAAGUAUAGUCUAAUCGUGCAAGCGGUGAUCACCCAUCGCAGAUAUACCAAGCAUGAUCACCCUUGAAAUACGUAUGGUCCCCUAUCGUGGAUAUACCAAGCAGGACCAUCCUAACCACUGCUACAUGGUGCAGUCACAUCAAUACACAACAAGCACCAAAUUAAUAUGAAUCAUAAUUCCUAGCAUACACACCAUCAAUUCGACAAGACAACGAUCAUUGAAUCACAUCAUACACAUUCUAUAACAUGUGUCUAUGCCGAAAUAUAUAAAAUUAACUUUUUUUUACCAAAAUAAUUGUACAUACAUGAUUGUACCACAAUAUAUUAUAAUGAACCUAAAUGUAUGUACCAAAAUGUAUUCUAUAGAAUUAAUGUACCUAAAUGUUAGUACCAAAAUGUAUUCUAUAGAAUUAAUGUACCUAAAUGUUAUGUACCGAAAUAUAGUAUAUUAAAUUAAUGUACCUAAAAGUCAAUACUCAAAUGUGUGUACCAAAACGUACGUACCGAAAUGCAUUAUAUUGAAUUAAUGUACCUAUAUGUUUGUAUCGAUGAAUAUACCUAAAUAUUCAAAUGUAUUAAUGUACCUAAAUGAAGAACAUACAAAAUUGUUAUCAGAAUAUAUAUUAUAAAAAAAUUAGUUGCUUAAAUGUAGACAUUAAAAUAUAUUAUGAUGAAUGAAAUAAAAAUUAAAUUUAAAUGUAAUUAAUACAUUAAAAUAAAAAUAAAAAGAUAAAUAAAACAUCAAAAUAUAACUAAUAAAUGAGAUUAUUAAAUGUACUAGGCAUUAGAGCAUCUCCAAAGGAGAUGUCUAAAUUGCCAUGUAGGCAUACAACAAUAAAAAAUGGUAGCAAACUCUCUCCAAUCGAGCCUUCAAUUUCUUACAUGGCGCUGAGUCAUUUGAAGGCAAAGCAUUUUGCUGUUAUGUUUUUGAAAUAUUUGAUUGGUUGCCUUAAUAAUUGGACUCCACAAAAAGAUAAAAAAUUUAUUAAAUGACAUUAUUAUUUACUAUAUCGGAUGGAGCAAAAUAUUGUACAAAAUGUCAAAACUGCCACAUAAGCUAUCAACUAUCAUUUUUUAUGUUUAAAAUUUGACAUCUCCUUUGGAGAUGCUUUUACAAAGCAAAUCACAUCCAAAAACAUUGAAAGGAAGAAAUCAUUAAAGUAAAUAAGCAAAUGUGCAUCCACAACCCAAUUAAAAAAAAAUAAAGGAAACCACUUACAUAGAAAGGAAUCUCAUGAGAAGAGAAUUAAACUUCUCCCUUGGCUUAAAGUCAGAUUUCGAUGAAUUGGUCGGAAUUUUUUGUUUCUCCGUCGGGUGCUUCUUUUCUUGCCCUUGUUCUGCCCUGCGUGGUCAUUUCGAAGGAAAAUCGGGGUGGUAAAUGUGUUAGGGUUAUUGAUGCUUAGAUUGAUAUAAGAUUUGUCGAAAACGAUAACCGAAUGAAAAAGAUGUGAAGAUUUGAAGUUAGAGGAGCCAAAUGGAGAAGAGAAAAAAAAAUCAAGAACAGCAGCAGAGCUGCUAGUUUCACACGCAGUUCGAAUUUACCAAAAUCCCCUUUUAUUUAGAAAAUUCGUAAAUUUCUCGUUCGAAUUUCAAACUCCAAUUUGUUUGCGCUUACGUGUUCAUAGUAACAUGUACUAUCUAAUUAAAUAUCCGAAGAACAAUAGAAAAAUAUGAAAGGAUCAAAUACAUCCAUGUAAAAUCUCGUUUAGCACAAGAGGGGCAUCUUCAUCUUUUAACCAUUUCAAGAAAAAAUUAAACGCAGCAAAUAUAAACGCGUCGAAACUAAGAAUACAAAAUACCUAAUUUUAAAUCGUGAAAUCCGGAGAUGGGGGUUCACAAUAAUAUUUUAGGAAAUACAUUUAUGUGGAGCCAAAAAUAAUCACAAGGCGACACGUGGAUUUUUUAGUGAAAGAGGACCAAACUACCCUUGAGGCACACCGGGAUUCCUACAUGCGAGCAACUCAAAAAUGCUCCAAAGAGGUAACAAUUCAACAUUCAUCUCAUCAAAUUCCCUUUUUUGCAAAGUAACCUCCAAAAUAAUAUUAAUUGGUAAAUUAAUAGAUUAAUUAUCCAAUUAAUCCAUUAAUUACCUAUUAAAUUAUACAAUUUAACCUAAAAAUUGUUAAAGGGCUGGCUACUUCCUUUUCAUCCUCACCUUUCUCACUUUUCUCCAUUUUAUUAACCCAUUUAUACAAAUAAAUAAUUUUGUAACCUCCCGCCGAGCAGCCCAUUCUCGUGGCCCAGCCUGCUCCCGCCGAGCAGCCCAUUCUCGUGGCCUAGUCUGCUUCCACGGCCCAGCCUGCUUCUGCCGAGCAGUCCACUCUCGCGGCCCAGUCUGCUUCCGCCGAGUAGCCCACUCUCAUGGCCCAGUCUGCUCCCGCGGCCCAGCCUAUUCCUGCUGAGCAGCCCACUCUCGUGGCAUAGCCUGUUUCCGCCAAGCAGCCCACUCUCAUGGCUCAGUCUGCUUCCGCGGUCGAGCCUACUUCCGUAGCAUUCCAAGCAGCCCAAAUCGGCUCAAGACUAUUUCGACCAUUCGGACCAACCAUCAAGCCGAGGGCAUUUUCACCAUGUUUCUCUGUGGAUUUGACAUUUCCCAAUUUAAAUCUCGCGCCCGGAGCCUACCACACUUCCACUGCUCAAUGAGGCACAUUCCUUCCAAGCUCUUUCAAUCCAAAUGGCAAACAACACUUGUCUCGACAAGUUAUAGAGUUGAUGAGCGCCCUUGCACAACAAACGACCUUGGUGAAUCAACUUUUGCAGCUCACCGAGAUCCAACGUGCCCCGAACGAGGUGUCACGAAGUAGGAUAAGGGCAGACGAAUCUUUCCAGUAGCGUCAAAUGCAAGCAGCCACUCGAUCAGCCAUGAGCCGAGCGUUCAGGCAGUGUACAUUCCCGAUUAGGCCCCCAAGAUAGCGUAUACUCCCGUCUUAGCGCGCGGAUGAGUGUGCACUCUUGAUUGGGCCCGAAGACAAGUAUACACUUACGGUUGGAGUCACAUUCCGAUAAUCAACAUAAGAAGCCUUUCAGGCAAAGUGUUUAUUCGCGGCUGGGCCUGCAAGGAGUAUCCUCCACAUUACAUCAGAGCAGGCAGCACGACGGAUAGAGAGAAACAGUCACUCAAUCUGCCUCAAGUUCAACCGGCAGUCUGCGAAGGAGUAUCCUCCACAUUACAUCAAAGCAGGCAGCACGACGGAUAGAGAGAAACAGUCACUCAAUCCGCCUCAAGUUCAACCGGCAGUCUGCGAAUAAUUCCCUUGUUUGCCAAGAGUGGACCACAUGCACCCUGCCACGACGUAGACGAGCUGAGAACAUGGAAAAGUAGCCUAGACCAGUAGGUCAAGACCGGGGCAACCGAUAGCCCUGCCACCCCCAACAAAGGUAAAUUUAGGAAGAAGUAGAAAGGCUCAUGACCAAGCGAUUGCGUAAUUUCCCGCACAACGAAGUUAUUAAUAAGACACUCCGAUGAGACAUGACCAACAUAAGCGAGUCAUCUUUCAAUGACAAGAUCGAGCAGAAGGGAUUACCCCACAUAGAUUGUCGAAUAUAAAGAUAACUUCUGCUCUGACAAACAUAGCAGCUCAGCCUAAUGGCGCACCGGGGGCAAACGAGUACCAAAAGGACACAUUAACCCAACUACCAAGAACCGGGGGCAGGUUAAGGAUUAUUUCAGUUGUCUCAUCAGUCUAGCUUUCCUCAGCUGCACUCACAACAACGACUUCCAUGCUCUCCAGUGCGAUAGGGUAAACCAAUUCCCCGACACCCAAAAGGGUAUGUUCUCUAGUGCGAGAGGUUAAACUAAUAUGCUUUCCAGUGCGAGAGGGUAAACCAAUUCCCCAACACCAAAAAGGGUCUGCUCUCUAGUGCGAGAGGUUAAACUAAUUGCUCUCCAGUGCGAGAGGGUAAACCAAUUCCCCGACACCCAUAUGGGUAAGCUCUCGAGUGCGAGAGGAUAAACUAAUUACUCUCCAGUGCGAGAGGGUAAACUAAUUUCCCGACACCCACCUAGGUAAGCUCUCCAAUGCGAGAAGGCCACAUAGUUCAAAAGAUCAAAUGCUUGAAGAUCAACUAAGUAACAAAUGGUUAGGGGGUAGCAGCUACUUUUACACUUAACAGUUCGAUCAUCCGACACUUCGUCUUCGACAACUCCGAUCUUGGCAACUUCAUCCUUGACUACUCCAUCUACGACAUCUGAGAAAUCAAACUCAAGCAGUUUCCUCAUUUUUGGCAAACAGCCCAGACGUGGCAGCCCAAAUCGUUGUCCAUGCCACGCCAUUUCCUCGGCCUAUGCUGAGCCAAUCCUUGGCUUCAAUCAAGCCAAGUAACACAAACAAUGGCCUUUGCCACAUCACCUCCUUGGCCCAUGCCAAGUCGACUCCUGGCCCCUACCAACCGAUGUGCCGUACCACCCCGAUGGUUGCCCCGUGGCAGCACCUUUCAAGAAGAAGAUAAGGAGAAUUAAGUUUUUCUUACAUCGGUGCGGCGUGGAGAAGACGAAGAAAGCAACGAAAAACGGUCUUUUGCACGGGCAAGAUAUAGAAGAUUGGUAGAGGAGGGGGAACAAGUAUCAUCUAAGCUCUCUCUCUCUCUCUUGUAGGGUAGAAUAAAUCACUUUUCAAAGUUGAUUUAAUAACCCACUUAAGGUGGACUUAAAUAAGCUUUGGGAGAAAUUUAUUUUCCUUUCCUAGAAGGAUCUAAUUUCAUAUUAAAGAGGGAAUCUACAUCAAAAUAGGAAGCAGUUCUAAGUUUCCUAGAGCAAGAAGAUCUCUACACCUGCUGCCUUUUUCUACGAGUAGUCCAGCAGGUGUGGGGGCAUUUGUGGAGCCAAAAAUAAUCACAAGGCAACACGUGGAUUUUUUAGUAAAAGAGGACCAAACUAUCCUUGAGGCACACUGGGAUUCUUACAUGCGAGCAGCUCAAAAAUGCUCCAAAGAGGUAACAAUUCAACAUUCAUCUUAUCAAAUUCCCUUUUUUUGCAAAGUAACCUCCAAAAUAAUAUUAAUUGGUAAAUUAAUAGAUUAAUUACCCAAUUAAUCCAUUAAUUAACUAUUAAAUUAUACAAUUUAACCUAAAAAUUGUUAAAGGGCCGACCACUUCCUUUUCAUCCUCACCUUUCUCACUUUUCUCCAUUUUAUUACCCCAUUUAUACAAAUAAAUAAUUUUGUAACCUCCCAUUUACUUCUUUCAUACUUAAUUAGCCUAUAAAUUGGCUAAUUAAGCCAAAACCAUAACCACAAAAUCCCUUGAAAAACCGGCCAUCCUAGCCCUAUAAAUAGGCUCCUAUUUUCACCAAACACUCAUUCGAAUACUUUGGCAAAAAUCCCAAAAAACUCUCCAAAUACUUUUCUCUCUAAAUUCUAACUUUGGCAUUGGAGGUUCUUCGGCCAAAGCCCCCCCCAUUCAUCGUGGGCGCGUGAGGCUCUUGGCCUUGACCUAAGGUGUUAAUUGUUUUGUAGGUGCAAUUUUGUCCAAGAAGAAGAAGGUGGGAAUUUGCAUCCACAAUUUAUACUUACAAAGACAUACAAAUUUUACUAAUCAACAUUGAAACAAUUGUGCAUAUUCCAUGAAAGCGUAAUGAGAUUAUAAAAUAGUCCCCCACAUGAAAUUUUCAGAUCUACAAUUUUCGUAAACUUGUGAUACACGGUAAAUGUGUGAAUUCUUCAAUGAAUUGUCUGGAGCCUAAAAUAAUUCCAAAAAUUCUAGAGGCAACACGUGGACUUUUGUUCGAGAAAGACAAGAUUGCCCUCAAUAACUGGACAUGCUCCUCAGAUACUCCCAUGCGCAGCUUACACCCCUGAAGGUCUCAACAGUUAAAUACAGUCUACACAUAGCUCACCUGCCCUUAGCAAGGAAAAGUCAAAGCAUGAAAGAUAAGGAUUAAUUACCCAAAUCCUAUCUUUAAUACAUUCCCAAUUGAAGAUUAACUCCAAUCAAGUAAGUAAUCCCAAUUUAAAUCAAUUAGGGAUAAUUACUCCAUUAUCUCAAGAUAUUAUUUCCUAUUUAAUAUCUUGAGAAUAUUUCUCCAUAAACAUUGAUCAAUAGGAUGCCGCCAUGUGUAGGGUAAAACCCUAACACUAUGGCCAGCCCUCUCCCUUAUAUAUACCCCAUAUUCUACCAAAUUUCAAAAGCUUUUGCUACCCUAAAAAAGCCCUAAUCACUUUACUCUCUCAGAGAAACUGAUUUAGGCAUCGGAGAUCCAUUGGCCUAACGCCCUCCCCUCCACCUUGUGGGCGCGUGAGGCUUAGGUCUUUGAUCAAAGGUGUUGAUUGUUUUGUAGGUGCAUUUUCGUUAAGACUGAAGACAGUGGAAAUUUGCAUCGACAAAUUAGUGCUUUCAUUGAGAGCUGAUUCAAAUACUUGAAGAAGCCUUUUGCAUUUGGUUUCUAGAAUUUUCUGUUACGUUGAAUUUCUCACAUGUAUCAAUUAGUUUUUCCUAGAAAAGUUUCUUGAUCAAUCCCUAGAGAAAGGAUAUAAUGGUAGAAAAUUCAAAAACCACGACGAAAGGAGUGUAAGUACAAGGACUUGGACCGGAGAGUGGAGAUGAGGACAUGGCCACACGACGGCGAUCCUCAAGGCUCAAUGGGAUGGCAGGAGGAUCCCCACUGCCACGGAAUCGCACCACCACCGUUGCCGCGACCCAGUAGCCACGACAAGGCCACCAGGCCACGGCUCAGGCUCCUACAACGCUGCCCUUGCAGUGGCCCAAUCCCCAAAACCCUGGGCAGGAGGCCUAAAGCCUGGCAGCUAGCACAGCAAGCCCAGGACAGGAGGCCCAGCCCACCGCAGUAGCAAGCUGCAUCGCGGACCUAAGCCCACAAGAGCCUAGUAGACCUGGCCCAGCCAGUAGGAGCAGCCCAAGGACAGGCGGCCCAAGCCCAGCUCACUGCUAGCCGAGCCCAAGCUUGUGAGGAGCAAGGAGCGGCCCAGCGUCAGCCAGCCCACGCGCUACCCUAGAGCGUCCCCACACAGACUCUAAUUGCGCAGAUUAAAGUCUAUUUUAACUAGUACAUGCUUACAUAUAUUGUGUGAACAAUUUCAUUUUAUUUUGCUUUGUAUUAUAAAGUGUUGAUUAUUUUAAAAAUUCUCGAAAAAGCUUACAUGAGGUGCUUGGAUCAGAGUCGAUCGUUUUCGAGUCGUAACCCUUUUCGGGGCAGUGAGGAAGAUGGUGGCUUGGUAGUUGGGUUUGGGUGAUCUUAGCCUCUUAUGAAGCUUUUCUAUUUUUUAUUGUUAAGUUUCUUUUUAUUUAUUUGUUAUUAAAUUUUGUGGGAUCCACAUGUGUAUCACGUUAGCAUUCUAACAGAAGUUUUGACGAAAAUAUAAUGGCAAAUUGAUUUGUGGCAUCCAAUUCAAAUGUUACACUGAUCGAUUUCAAUUUCAAAUGUCACCUUAAUUAAUGCGUCAAUUUCCGAAUAUUUGCGUUGAAGACACAUUUUAGAAAAAUCUACUACACAACGUGUGGGGUGUUGAUUUGAAAACGCACGGUCAAGCACGGUAAUACCAAAAUAUUUGGAAUGGCCAUGGGGAAAAUUCCGUAUCUCGUCUCGCUUGAACUCGUUCGCUAACCUAUAUAUGUGUGCUGAAACACAGAGUCGAAAACAAACAACGCACGUAACAUUCUCAGCUUCUCAUCAAACUAGAUUAUUUUACUUUCUCUCUGUAAACCGUUGGAAUUUCUGUUCUUUCAUCACCCAAGAACAGAUUACGUAAUUGAAUUAAGUUUUGAGUCACUUUGUUUCCUAAAUUAUGUCUGUAGUUUCGGUCGGAAUGGGUGCUCUGAGAACGUCAUUUCAAAUGCUGUUUGAUGCGGUAAAAUCAGCGCAGGAGGAGAAUACAAUGUUCCAACACCUCCUCGGAAACAUCAAAUCCACACUGGAAUCUCUACAACCACUCAUCAAAGACAUCGAAAAGUAUAACUCCAAGGAGGGGCGGGAAAAUUAUGCAAUACAGAUGGAGGAAGGAGCAAAGCUUGUUCAAAAGUGCAGCAAAGUUGGCGUGGGGAGAAAACACGCAUACACAAAGAAGCUUAAUCAACUGGACAAGUCUCUUCGAAGAGUCUUUGAUGUGCUUAAACUGCAGGUUAUGAGGGAUGCGAGGGAGACGUUGGUUCCUUUGAGGAAAAUCGAGACGGUGCUCUCUCGAAUAGAAGAGAGAUUGAAGAUAAAAAAUAACCAGCCUGAAAUGGUUAAAUGUUCGUCUGCGGUGCCUGAAGCGCCAUCGGUUACAGUCGGGUUGGAUUUGCCGUUGAAGGAGUUGAAGGUUAAGCUCCUUAAGGAUGAAAAGGUGUCUAUGCUUGUGCUGACCGCUGCUGGAGGAUGCGGGAAAACCACCUUGGCUAAAAUGUUUUGUCAAGAUCAAGAAGUCAAAGGUAUGCUAAUUAAAAAGUAAUACACCGUGUAGAGGAUUAUGCAAGUAGAACUACGCGCUAGGGCCUAUAAAAUGUCCGCUAUACUCCCUCCAAACAUACACAGUAACCAAAAUUUGUUAAAGAAAAACAACGAAGGAGACAUGAAACUAAAGCGCACGAAAGGAAUAUAAGAAAGAUUAGAAAGGCCUAAAUGGGCAUGCCCAACAAAUAACAAGUGGUAGUGAUAUGAACUUGGCAUGAUUUUCUUUGUACUAAUUGUAAGUUAAGCUGAUGCCUUCCUCUUAGAGUUAACAGGUCUUGCAAUGAGCUACUGCUUGAUUACUUGGUCUCAGAAUUGCAGACAUAUCUAGUCAACCUUUUAUUAACACCUUUCCUACAUUCUGUUUGGAUAGAUACAUUCAAGAACAACAUCUUCUUUGUCAAUGUCUCGAAAAAGCCCAACUUGGACCUUAUUGUACACGAACUAUAUCAACGGAAGGGGUCCGAGCUGCCUGCUUUCGAAAACGAAGUCAUGGCGGCUAAAUGGUUGCAACAAUUUCUGAAGGAAUCAAGACAAAAUCCUCUACUGUUUGUCCUGGAUGAUGUUUGGUCAGAAUCAGGGUCCCUUCUUGAGAAGUUUGAUCAAUUCAAGUUUUCAAAUUGCAAGAUUUUGGUCACAUCAAGAUUUGCAUUUCCAAGAUUCGGUUCUCCUUAUCAUUUGGCACCAUUGAAUGAUGAAGAUGCAAUGGAUCUUUUUCACUAUUCUGCAUCCUUGGAGGAUAAGAGCUCUUAUACUUAUGAAGAUCUUUCGAGAAAGGUGAUUUCUUAGUCCACAAUACACACACACACACACAUACAUAUAUAUGCUUAUUUAUGCCCCAGAAGAAGGUAAAGAAAUAACAUUUGAGCAUCCACACACGUUAAUGAACUGUGAAGAAUGAAGUAAGAAGAAUGAAAGACUAGACAGUUUACAAUUUUAUCAUCUUUAUGAAACCAUUUAGAUGAUUUUCAACAAUUUAAUCAAAUAAUAGUAAUUGAAUUCAUUUUGGAUAAUUAAAUUGCAGAUUAUCAAGCGCUUUAAGGGAUGCCCACUUGCCAUUGCAUUGGUUGGGAGAUCACUUCGCGGCCAGCCUAUAGAAAUCUGGCACAAAAGAGUAGUGGAAUGGUGCAAAGGUUCAUCUAUUCUUGAUUCUGACAGGGAUUUACUUGCUUGCCUCCAAAGCAGCUUAGAUGCCUUGGAUAAAGAGAAGGCUAUCAUCAAGGAAUGUUUCCUCGAUCUAGGUUCUUUUUCGGAGGACCAAAGAAUUGCUGCUGCCGCCCUCAUUGAUAUGUGGGCGGAGUUAUAUGGUCUAGAUGAAGAAAUUCUGACCAUUGCCAACCUUCAUGAGCUCACCGCCCGAAGUUUAGCUACUCUUGUUGUCACAAGGUAUGCGGGCUGCUCAUAAUUUUCUAUUUCAUUAUGUAUGCCGAACAAAUCAUUAAAGAAUUAAGCAUCGAUCAUCCAGGCAUGAGAGGGAGGCGGAUGGCUAUUACACUGAACACUUUGUCACCCAGCACAACAUGCUUAGAGAGUUGGCGAUCCAUCAGGGGAGUCAAGACCCAAUAGAACAUAGGAAACGACUAUUUAUAAACAUAUGCGGGGACAAACUUCCUAAGUGGUUGACAGAACAAAAGUAUCAAGCAAUCAAGGCUCGACUGUUAUCUAUCUCAACAGGUUCCAUCAAUCUCUCUUUAGUAAAUACUUAUACAUGUGCGCUCGGGACAUGGUUUGUGUGCACACACACACACGCUCAUUCAUACUAAAACUUCAAUAGGACUUCCACACAUUUAGGCUAAUAUCUUAAAGCUUAUUGUUUGCAGAUGGAGCCUUCUCAGCAAAAUGGCCAAACAUGCAAGCACCUGAAGCAGAGGUUCUAGUUCUGAAUUUUCAAACAAAGAACUAUGCCUUACCUGAGUUUGUGGAGAAAAUGGAUAUACUAAAGGUUCUAAUACUAAAAAAUUAUGGUUUGUUAUCUGCUGAACUAGAUAAUUUUGAACUACUUGGUUCGUUAUCAAAUCUUAAGAGAAUUAGAUUAGAACGUAUUUCAAUUCCAUCCAUAAGCAAGGUCCUUAAACAGUUGAAAAGUUUGCAAAAGAUAUCUUUUUUCAUGUGUGAUAUCGGCCAAGGUUUCGUCCAAAUUUUAGAUGCUCUGCCAAAUCUAGUGGAAUUGAACAUAGAUUAUUGCCAUGAUCUGGUGCAACUUCCUGCCAACCUCUGUAACCUUGUUCACCUUAAGAAGCUUAGCAUCACCAACUGUCAUAAGCUAUCUACCUUGCCUGCAGACAUCGGAAAGCUUGUAAAUCUAGAAGUGUUGAGGCUUAGGUCAUGUGCAGACUUGUUAGAGUUGCCAGGCUCGAUUAGGAACCUUAAAGUUUUGAAAUUUCUCGACAUAUCCGAUUGCUUUAGCGUAAAGGAGUUGCCCGAGGACAUUGGUGCAAUGUGCAGCAUGGAAAAGAUCAACGUGAGCCAGUGUUCAAGACUGAAAGAGCUCCCUGCUUCUGUUAUGGAUCUUGAGCAGUUGAACGAAGUGAUAUGCGACGAGGAGACGAAAACUUUAUGGGAACCCUUCUUACCGUUUCUCACAAACAUACACUUGAAGGUGAUCAAAGAAGAUAUCAACCUAAAUUGGCUCAACAAGCUUCCAUCCUAAGGCCAUCCUAAGGC
RNAcentral lists this long non-coding RNA (113563 nucleotides) under Malus domestica (apple). Its description in RNAcentral is "long non-coding RNA (MDOM_LNC014961)". Lineage: Eukaryota; Viridiplantae; Streptophyta; Magnoliopsida; Rosales; Rosaceae. The record is from RNAcentral.